GCAACAACCUCUGCUUGCGCUGCCAGUUGCCGGAGCGGCGCCGAGACCCGAGAAAGCUGGCGAGCCGCCAAAGCGCCCUCUGCCGCCUCGGCCUCCUUCCCCUCCGUUGGCCAUCACCCGAUCGGAGCGCAUGCGGGCGCAGUCGCGUGGGGGGUGGUCGGUCGGUCGUUGGCGGAACGCAUCGGCGUCACGUACCAUCGCGACCGUCUGGCACCCGAGUGUAAGCAUUGACCAUUCAUUGAUGGUGGGCAGCCUUUUUUUUUCACGUUUCGGGGCCGCAGCGGAUGCCGGUGGCGCCCUGCGCACAGCACUCCAGCAGCAGCAGCAGCAGCAGGAUCGCUUGCGCUCCAAGGGAAGGCUUUGCCAGGAGAGAUGCCGGGCCGUGCCUGCCGUGCCGGGACGGCCUUGGGUAACCAAGGCAUGUGUCGGGUUCACUUGUGCUGGGGCCCCGGCUUCGAACUGUCCUGCACCGGAUUACUUUUUCUCCAACGCUUGUUUAGCGUUUCGGUGCUCCAAUCUCAAAUCUCUCGAACGGAGGUGCCGAUGGAUUUGAGAGUUUUGAGGUUGGGAGGCUCUUCGAGGUCGAGGCAUCCCACGUCGUACUCCAUCGACCAUCCGAAGUUGCCGUGCGCCCGUGCUACGAUACGAUCACGACGUCCUAGUGGUGCCCCGAAUCUGAGCGAAUGUCUCGGUUCCAUGAACGUAGCAGCUCUCGUGCGCAAGGGAACGAGCUAGCACUGUUGACGUGGCCGGUGAUUGGGAUCCAAACAAGGCUGAAGCUAUCGUGUGUACUGCACGACGAUGUUACUAGAUGUCUAGAUCACCUGUGUACACGUACAAACGAAUUAUCAGCCGGUAUUAAUUGCCAGCGAUUUUGGCCGCCGUAGUCUGGACUUUGGACACACGGCACAUGAUGAAACCGCAUGUGUGUACUUAUACCGUUAUACGCUACUGCAGUCCUGGUAUGGACGUACAGUACUGGUGCUACCGAAUUUAUUUUAUGCAGCGACGACACACGCUCCCAAAAAAUUUUACAAAAUUUUUUAAAUUCUUUGUCACAUUAAAUCUUACAGCAUAUAUAUAAAACAUUAAAUAUAAAUAAAAGAAAAAAAACUAAUUAUACAGAUUAUUUGUAAUUUGCGAGCCAAAUCUUUUAAAUCUAGUUAGUCUAUAAUUGGACAAUAUCUGUCAAAUAUAAACGAAUUUGCUACCAUGUCUGUUUUAUCAUUUUUUUUCAAACUAAACAAGGCCAAAACUGUCCUCCUGAGAAAAACGUGACACCUUACACAUUAUAAAAAAAAACGCCCAAACGCUACGGGGACAACCAACGGAAUGUAAACAAACAUGAGUAUCUUUUCACAGUUGUGAAAUGAUAUGAUCCUUCAAAGCGCAAUCGCUCUCACCUUUUUGCAUCCAAGGCCUUGUUUAGUUCCGAAAAAUUUUAGGAAAUCGACACUGUAGCACUUUCGUUUGUAUUUGACAAAUAUUAUCUAAUCAUGGACUAACUAGGCUUAAAAGAUUCGUUUUGUCAAUUUCGACCAAACUGUGCAAUUAGUUUUUAUUUUUGUUUAUAUUUAAUAUUCCAUGCAUGUGUCUAAAGAUUCGAUGUGACGGGGAAUGUGAAAAAUUUUGCAAAUUUUUCAAGAAAGUAAACAAGGCCCAAGAAUUGAGGAAUCUGGCGAUUUUUUUAAGGCAGAAAAUCGGCGGGCACGAUGGAACACCAACGAUACGAAAACGCCGUAGAUACGAAAGGACGUCCAGCAGCUAGAGAUUGCGAGCUGUCUCGUCCAUGAUGAUGCCGGGGCAAAAGCGCAGCGCAUCUCUGUCCGUCCGCACGUGAACAGAGGUUUUGGUGCGUCCGGUCAAAAAGGUGACAAAAGUCGAAAACAAUCAAACAAACAGCCAACUGAAGAGUACUGCAGCCAACUCGCGUCCCGCUGUAACUACGGCAAAGAGCCAAGCAAGCCGUAGCCCGUAUGUACUACGAGAAGUAUUAACUCGCCGAUGGAUCAGGCGGUUUUGUUAAUCGGAGUUUCAGUUCACGACAGGACAUUGCAACUCAUCAUGCCAUGCGUGACCAGCUUCAAGCAUUCUAUUUAGUACUGGUAGCAAUCAAGGGCAUGUUCAAACGAACACGGACUCAGCCUCAACAUUUUGAAGAGUUUAUUACUCUAUUUAUGCUUCUUAAUAGAGGCAAGGGCAGAUCCUGGAAACGUGGCAAAAGGAUAGACGGAUCUGGUGGUUCAAUUCAACGUUAGGCGAGCAUUGUAACCGUGGAACAUGUGGACGUUUUAUUCCAUCUGCAUUCUGCAUUACACGGAUACGCACACCCCAGUCACCAGGACAGCAAAAAUGAGCAGCGCUACAGCAGAUCAGAUGCGAGAGCCUCCCAGAAAAGGCGAUCCGGGACCGCGCGCAGGCGCUGGACUUGGAUCGAACCGACGCCGGCUGCCGCCCCGCUGUUGGGUUACUUUUCGGAGGCGUGCCAGCCCGCCGCCAGCAGCGUGGCCGGUGGCCGGGUCCGGCCGGCGGGACAAUAAUUCAGCAGUUCGAUCCGGCGACCGGCAGACGCCGACCCCGCCGGCCCCCCAAGACACUUGCCGCGCGCCGCACGCGGCAAGACCGAGCCGCCGUGCCGGCUGGUGGUGCCGCUCUACGGCUGUCAGGCACAGCUGCUCGAGGCGGUGCGGGCCUUGUCGAGUUCUCUCGGGUCUCGGCUGUCAGGCCUAACCGCGUGGGACGGUCGGACGGACGGGACAGGGCUCUUCCGAGGAGGAGCUGCCCUUGCUCCUGCAGUGUUGUAGCACGGGCGGCUCUAUGGCCGUGGUGGGCUGCUGGCACACCGGUACGGCCAGUAAAAGCGCCGUGCUCCACACUUUGGACUUGGGUAACCGGACAGCUCAAUUACUCAAGAAUGAUUGCACGAACAACUGCUGAUCGAUAAUAGAUUACUCCUACCUGGCUGGCUGGUGAGAUCUCGUUUCCGGGUUCAAGGAACCAUCGACGUGGACUGUGUCACGUUCAGUGCGGCGGGAUAUCAAGACGGUGCCACACUGCCACUGCACUCCAACCAACCCGUUUCCGAAAUGCAACAGCCCCGUUGAUUACGAGAGUGCGGGGCGGGAUAUCAUAGUGAAGCUUCAUAGUAAAUGGUUUAGGAGAGUUAUUCUGUCCAUGCACAUAGUACUGUAUGUUUUGAGCCGUUAACAGUAGAAGAUGGCCGUACGCCAACGACAGCGAAGGUGUUUGCGUCGUUAAACAGCAGAAAAUGUCCCUGCGCUAGCGACAGCAAAGGUUGUAGUAGGUUGUUUUAGUAGCUGGAAUUUGGCCCAUACUGUAGCGUGGAUGAGCGGCUGGGCCAAAACCUACUUUCCAGUGGACGUGAAGUGAACUGUGAACACCGAACACAUCCGGAUGUGCUUGCCAGUUGCAAUAAACACAAAGGAAGUGGCUGAAAUCUGGACCUGUGAUACGCUGCGCCCAGAGUUCUGAAGAACAGAGCAAUAGGUCAUGGAUUCACUUCUUCAGACUUUCAUACAGAAGCAUUCGUGGUAUCCGCAAUAAGAACAGAAGUCACUUAUUCAGACUUUCAGACAAAAGCAUUUGUGGUAACAACAGAACUGGCACCACCAUCCAAAGACCAAAGUCAAGACACCUGGAUUUAUCAGCAUCGAUUCAGGAGCCCAGGAGAUUUUCUCAGCAUCGAUGCAGUCAACACUUGUUCAGUCGAGACCAAUCUGUUCAGACACUUCGAUUUAUUCAGUAUCGAUUGAUUCAGAACUGGUAGUGGUAGCACCCCAUCCAUAGUCAAGACACUUCGAUUUAGCCAGGAGUUUAUCUUCUCGUGCACACUAGUAUACAAAAAAGAUCAUACACUUAUAGCAUACACAUAAGAGAAGAGACAUCUCUUGGACGCUAAAUAAUAAUACACAAAAAGUUCAGAGAAAGACAUCGCUUGUUCUUCAAUCACAGCAUUGAAGAACUACGAUCAUAUAUAUAUUAUAUAUAAUAACAACUCUAUCUAUAUAUAAUAACUCAAGACUAGUAACGACGCAUACGAGUAUACUAUCCUCACUACCUAAGAGUCUCUCUAUGGCGUGGGGCUACAAAAAGCACUAAACUUGUACCCUGAAACUAAUAGAUACACGCGCGAACAGAAGGGCAAACUGAAAACCUUUGAUGUGAUAUAUGUACAUCUAGACCUCGGAGCGCAAGCUCUCAAACGACGCCGACAGGUUGACGGCGAUGCCCUCCAGGUUCUUGCCCCGGAGGCGCGACCUUGCAACCCUGCGUUGCUUGGGCGCGCCGGGGCCGUCCUCGUCGUCGCCGGUUUCCUCGUCUCUAAAAACAGACUUCGCCGACGGCGUUGAAAACUUGAAAUGCAGCUCCCUAGCAACAAUUGUCUGCAGAGAGGGGAUUCGAAUAAACAAAUGUUAGAGUUCGACUGGAGCCAAGAUGUAUUCCGGAUCAGGACUCAGGAGAGGACUGAAGUCAAAGGAUCAAAAUUCUUACCGCUUCGUUGACUGGUUUUGACACCAGGAGGAGCUGCCUCAGAUCACUGUGAUUCACCUUGCACAAGAUUUUAAUCUGCAAAGUUUUGACCAAACUGAGAUAAGCAAACAUACACAAGAGAACCCAAUUCUGAAUUGAAUCAUAGUAGACUGGAGUGACAAAGAGUGACAGUCAGUUUUUUUAUAUUGGAAUGGAUCGUUCGACGGGCGGAAAGAAUAGAAGGAACUGGGGAUAAGAAUAGAUCCAAGAGCAAUUACCAGAACAUCUUGCGGCAGCGACUCAAUGAGGUUGACAGCGUCGUCCAUGUGGAACCGGACACUGCGCUGCUUGCGCAGGGUGCGCACCGGCGAGUGCGGGCUCCGGGAGCCUGGAGUCGGCGAGACGGCGACUCUCUUCCUCCCGAAGAUUCUUGUGCUGCUCCUGCAGUUUGAGAAGCUCAAGCUCGUGGCAAGAUAGCCCUUCUUCGCGUCGCCCUGUCCAAUUGCCAUUUCUCCUUUUGUUUGUUAUAAACUCUGUCUGGCGAUUCAAGAUCACUUAUCCAAUCGGAAAUCUUGUAAUGAAGAUUAUCUGCAUGAGAUUGAAGAUGAGAAUCAACAUCCUGAAAAUAAAAUAACUAGAUUCACAGAUUUCCAUAAAAAAAAGCGAAACCGAAAGGAUAAUUGGGGAAGGCAAACAGAGCCAGCCGCCAACACAAGCCGAACCGCAAUUGAGAAUCAACAGCAAGAUCAUGAAUCAAUCAAUCAGCUCUAAUCCAAUCCCCCCCACCCACCCCCGUCUCAGCACAAGCAAUCAGAGUAUCAUCAGACUACCAAAAAACAGAAUAGAACGCCAGAAGGGGCGGAUGCACGGGGGUUGCCCCGGCCGCACUCGCAAAGUCGCGAGCACUCGCCCCCUCGGCCCCUCCCCCUCCGACGCCUGCUGCCCAGGCCCGGCGCCAGGCCAUCCCCUGCUCAGGCCCUGCUUUACGUGUAUGAAAGAAUCGAACGCCAAAUCGAAAUAGGGUUUCGAGAUCGGGAGGAAAAUUUCACCUGUUCUUCCGCUCUUCAAUCCCAAACUCCGCCGUCCUCAACUCGAUAGCGAUGAUCAAACAGCAACCUGGGAUGUUUCGCCCUAAUGCUAAGCAACCAAACCAAAACCUGCGGCGAAUGCUGGAGCACCAAACCUUAACGAGGUAAAUUAGGAAACAGCUGCCUCCCCUUCUCCGUUUUUAUAGCAGCCCCCGCAUUUGCUCCUCUGCAGGUGAGAACCUGCCUAGAAAAGUCCUCCGCGCAGGGGCCUUUCUAGAAAAUUACAGGAACCGCCAGAAUCCAAGGCUGGUUCGUGCACGGGAUAUUUUUCACCUCCCACUCUCACGCGGCGCUGACGCCGCGACGAGUCUCUGACACGCGGGGCCGUGAGUCUUGGGCCCAGCAGUCGGUGUCUGCGGGUCGCGAGAGGUGGUGUUGGUGCGGCGCGGGAUUUACGGGAGUAUUUUUUUUCGAAAUCGACACGGGUUGGCGCGCAGCUCGUGCGGGGCGAGGACCGCGUUGGAUCGGACGGCGCAGGGAGCUAGCGGAGCGGGUACGUGGCACGAUCGCGGUGGCUCUGAAACUAGCCGUUGGGCCGCGGGUGGUGGGACGUGGUCGUGGCCCGGCGGCGGCGGCGACUGGGUGGGGUUUGGUGACGUGGUGGCUGACCGGCGGAGAUUGGAUCGCCACGCAAAUAAAGGGAACGAUGCCCCCACGCGAGCAAGUCGGUGGAGGUCGGUCUGUCGCCGCCCCCCGGCCGGUUUAUCGCCGCGUGUAUUUCGAGUUGUUCUUCGUAUAUUCUAUAUCACUUUUGUUUAAAAAAAAUCUCCGAUUUCCAUGGGACAACUGGCCUUGAGUUGCGAUGCGCUGUUGUUUCGGAAUGCUCCGCGGCGGUGAAACGGGGAGCAAAGCGCGGUGCGCGGCGGCUGCACGCGGCGUUGGAUUGGGACGCAAGUAUACUCUGCGGCUCUGUCCACAGCUCGGUAUGUGGACUGGAUUAAGAGCAUCUUGGAGAAUUAGCCAAAUUAUAUACUAUAAAAGUAAAUUUAGCUAUUGUUAAAAGAAAAAACGUUUCAUUCUACCUUAUUGGCUUUUUAAAUUUGGAUAGCCUGUCUAACUAGUCAUCCUUUAUAGAGUCUGUUGAAAUACUCUAAUAUUUUUUUAUCAAAUCUAUUUUAAAGAGUAGCUAAAUUAGUAAAUUUAACUAGUUUUUUUAGAAAAUCUUUUAGAGAUGCCCUAACGAGGAAAUUCAGAGGAUGCAUCGUUUCUCGUUGUCCAUGUGUUUUGGCUUUGAUUAACGAGAGGCUUGAUGCAUUUGUUGUCAUUAUUACUUCUGCCUAGAUAAGAAAAUCCGUUAUACGUACCGAUUACUUUCGGAAAGAAAAUAUUCGAGUGUUCAUGCGUUUGUAUUUUAAUUCUGAGACACUUUCUUGUUGCGAGUGUAGUUUGAGAGCGUUGCAUUUUGACCACGUCUGCGGUAAUACACACACGAGUCAAAGACAACACGAGGACUGCGUCAAAUAAAAACUUCGGCCUCCGUGUCCUAGUGGGGUAGUGGCCUAGUGGGGUUGGGCCGUUGGGGUGCCUCCGUGUCCGUAGGGCGGCCGUUCGGAGGAUAGCUUCGACCAAUCUUCCGUCGCGGGCGGCGGCUCGCUCUAGGGCCGGCGCUGCCGUUCCGAGCAGCCCAAGAAGCAUCGCUCUUUCUGUCCUGACUUUUGCUUAGCAACGAAGCGUGGAAGUGCGUGCACGGAAAAUCACGAUAGCCACACGAAGCAGCCCGCGGGAGCCUCCGCGACCGCGCUGUGUGCGCGCGCAUCACAUCGGGGGCGCGGCCCAGCUGCGAGGGACUGGGAGGAUGUCGGGGAGCACGUCGGCCUCUGUCGCUCGACGGACUCGCUGCGGCGCGAAAGCGGAUUAGGGCACUCCUAACAUUGUAGUUUCUAUACAUAUUAAUAUUAAUUUCUAUAGACACUAUGUAUAAAAACUAUGCUUUCAAUGGAUAGUUUCUAUACAAUAAUUUGUUAUCCAAUCAUAUUCAUUUUCUCUCCAUUCUCAACCAAUCAUAUCACUUUAUGUCUUGGAUUUCGCGUAGACAUGGUUUCUAAGUUAGACCUAGUUUCUAUGAUUUUUGCUCUCUCUUCAAUAACUACCUUACCACAUCAGCAAAAUGUUUAGUUGGCACCAUAAUUAAUGUCUAUAGAAACUAUGAUGAUUUCUGCAUUGGGAGUGCUCUUAGGGCACUCCCAAUGGUUAUUAAUGAUAAUUUCUAUCUGUAUUAAAUAAGAUGACACCUAAGCAAAAUACUGACAUGGAAACUGUUUCUUAGGAGAGAAACGACGUCUACACUUGACCCGAUGCGCAUAGAAAUCACGAUCUCGGCGUUGGGGAGAAACUACCGGUUUCUACAGCAUGCUAGCCGCGCUCGCUCGUACGCCACCAAGGGAGCUCACCGGAGCUGCCGCGUUGACCCGCGCCUGCGCGUACCGCCGCUAGAAAUCGUUGGAGCUGCCUCGUUCGCCGCUGCGCUGUCUGUCGAGGUCGCCUCGCUUGCGCGCACCGUCGACCUGUCCACGGAACUCGCCGGAGCCGCCUCGCUCGCGUGCCCCGCCGCGCUGGAACACGGGGAGUAGCCAGAGCCGCAGUGCGGAGCUCGCUCGCGCGCGCCGCUACCCUCGCUUGCCGCCCGCGCUCGCUUGUGCCCCGGCCCGCAAUGUCGCGCUCUCCUGCGCUAGCCAUGCUCGCUUGCAUCCCGCGAGUGCUUGCUCGCACUGCCACGUUCGCCAGCCGCUACGUGCGCUCAACCGUGCUGCUGUGAGUGGCUUGCCGGGCGCCGCGAGCUCUCUUAUGCGGGCAGGCAGGAUAUUUAUGUGUGGCCUUGCUGUAGCUCGCGUGUUGGCACACAAUACUGGGAGAAGAGUCACAUGCGGGCGUUGUCCGGUGGCGUCUACGGUGGCGGCGCACAUGCAAGCGCCCGAGAGCCCAGGCUGCUGGUGAUGUAGUACACAGCUAGGCUUUCUGUUCGCUGCUCUGCUCCUCAUGUUGCCUUUGCUCCUCUUCAGAUUGAUGUUGGGAGAGAUGCAAGAGGAGAGAGACUAUCAAAUAAAGAAAGACUGAAAGAGACAUAAGCACAAUAUUUAUUACAUAAAGACACUCUCAUUGUGUAGUGUAGUUUCUAUUGAUUAAAUUUUGAUGACGUGGUACUCUUGGACAUUGUGUAUGGUUUCCACGGUUGGGACUGCCCUUAGUGCGGCGCAAAGGUUUUAGCCGCGUCGUGUGUUCCAAGGGAAAACGAAACUUGUAGCUCUAUCAUCUUGUGGUCUGAUUAUUCUUUUUAAUUUUAUUUAAAGUCACGGUCUGAUUAUUCUCUUCGAAUUUCAAAACCACAUAUUUUCUAUUUACAUUUUUUAAGUUGGUUUGUUUUGAAGCUGAUUUUAUCGUUUUUGGUAAAAAUGGGUGAAUAUUAAAUGAGAUUUUCAAAUUAUAGAAACUAUCUUUAAGUUUCUAAAAAUUAUGAUAAAGCAUUCCAGAGAUAAAUUGAGAUAUGAAAAGCCAAAUAAAUAUCUAGAGCUCUCAAAAAUAUAAAGAAUCAAAAUAAAAUUAGACUUAGCUCUAGCAAAAUGAAACCGGCACAAAUGCAUUUAGCCGGUGCAUGUAUGUGCCAUGCAUGAUGGUUGCAUCUCAUAUUUUUGUCAUGAAAGAGAUUUAUAACAACAUGCUUUCACAUCAGUUAGAUUGUUCUAGGAGUUUACCACAUUCUUAGAUUUUUUUUUUCAUUUUUCUAGUGGUCAACCAACUUUUUAUGAAGAUUUUUCAUGUCCCAUUAUACCUCUAGAUUUUUUUUCUCUCAAAAAUUUUAGAAACAUUUUUCAUGUUUUAAAAUUUCAUCUAGGAUUUAUUGAUUUUUAUUUAACUAAAAAGAACAAAACCACCUUCAAAACUAGUUCAAUCAAGUGAAGGGGAGAGGUAACCUUCAAAACACCUAAAAAAUAAGAGUUUACAAAGUAAGAUGUCUAGUUCAAAAAACAAAAUAAGAAAAAAAAACACUUCAAAAACCUUCAAAACACUUCAAAAAAGUAAGAUGUUUUACAAAGUAAGAAAAAACACAGCACACAAAUAGUUAAGGAGAUAAAAUGGACCUUUUACUUUUUUUUAGAAAUAAAAUGGACCUUUACUGUUUCUGUAGCUUCCGGGAUCAGCUGCGUUCAAGUUUCUGCCUAGUCCCAUGUUAGGCAUGGCGUAAUUCAUGGGCCGUGAUCCGUGGAGACAGUGAAAUAAGACUUUCAAGAUUUCAAACCAUUUGCUGACCUGAAGUUCUGAACAAGAACAACCGCGCCCUUCACUCCUUCAUCCAGUAACGAUACAGGAUCCUUGCAUCUCGACGAAUGAAAAAUUCUCUUUUAGUUUUUUUUUUGGAGAACAGCUAGAGCAUCAUUAAUCAAAAGAUCAGGGUUACAAUCAAUGUUUUUGAUAUUCCUUAAUCUAGGUGGGGCUACAUGCCACUCCACCACCUGAGAAUUAGUGGAUACCAAACGAUCACUCUGAGAGUCUGAGUAGGAGUCGGGGGGAAAAAACGGCACCAUCGGUUUGCAGCGUUGCAGGAUCUGGACGCAAGUAGCUUGAUCCGCUCGCUAUAGUGUAUCGUCACUGUCCUGGACAUUAUCGUGUGCCUGUUGCAUUGCAUGAGUAACGAGCUAAACGGCCCUGCAUGAGUGCAUGUGCCGAUCUGGCACGACGCCAGCUGCUGCGGUGCCGCCACGUCGUUUGCGAUAGCACCGCGUGAGUUUGAUUCGUUUCCUGUCCGGGCCCGCCAGUGUGCUCGGCUGCUCGCUCACUCUAGAUGCAACAGAGGCACGAUAAGGAACGCGUCUCGGCAAGCCGCAGCAACGUCGUCCCGGGGACUCGAUCAGGGAGAGAGCCGCGAUCGAUACGAGUCGAGCAAGCAGACAGGCAACGUCUUUGGCAUCUUUGGGAAACCGGAUCGCCGUCACGCUGGUCAGAAGCAGAUGAUUCUCUCCGGUUUGCAGUAUAGGCCGCCGGAUUGGCGUGGCGACACAUCCACAUGACGGGAUAUGAUCGGGAUCAGCCGCGGUUGCUGGUAUUGUAGAUCUACCAGUCUAGAUGGUUUGAUGGCUGACGAGGACAGGGGAUAUCGUACGCGAGGCAGGAAGGUUCAUGAGGGAGGACGGUAGGUACUUCCCGAAUGGGUGCGGCCGAAACUGACGGCGCAGAAGACUGCUGUUAGCAGCAAGCAACUCCAACAGCUUAGGCCCUGUUUAGUUUUUCACCGGGCCUUGUUUAGUUCCCAAAAAAUUUUGUAAAAUUUUUCAGAUUUCCCGUCACAUCGAAUCUUUAAACGUAUACAUGAAGUAUCAAAUAUAAAUAAAAAUAAAAACUAAUUACACAUUUUGGUCGAAAUUGACGAGACAAAUCUUUUGAGCCUAGUUAGUCUAGGAUUGGACAAUAUUUGUCAAAUACAAACGAAAUUGGUACUAUUCAUAUUUUGCAAAAAAUUUUGCAAGUAGUUAGCAAAAAUUUUCAAGAUUCCCCGUCACAUCGCAUCUUUGGUUACAUGCAUGGAGCAUUAAAUAUAAACGGAAAUAAAAAAUAAUUGUAUAGUUUACAUGUAAUUUGUGAGAUAAAUUUUUUAAGCCUAGUUACUUCGUAAUUGAACAACGUUUGUCAAAUAAAAACGAAAGUGCUACAGUAAUAAAAAAAACCAAAUUUUUUGCGAACUAAACAAGGCCCAAAAAAAUUGUGGAGACUAAAGGUAGUCUUUAACAGAUGUACUAUUUAGUUUUAUAAAAUAGAAAGUUGGUUAUUCUUUGAUUUUCGCUGCCUAUAUAUAGCCAACCACCGACACAUCAAGCUUUACGAUUUUGUAAAAUAGGAAGACUGUUGUGAAUCUUUUUUUAAAAAAGUUUUCUAAUUUACAAAAUGACUAAAUAAUAGAAUUUGGCUAGUAAUUUUAGUUAGGGUACUGUAGUUGCUUAUGCUCGGCGUUGCGGUAUGCGGUGUGCGCGUUGCGGUAUGCCAGUAUGCCACAAUGAUAUCUGCAUGCAUGCAGCGGCAGAUGAGAGAACGGCCGAUGUGCGCCGCUGGAGCCAACAACCCGGCGGCGCGGGGCCCGCCUUAUAAAGAGGACGACGCACCUCCGCGUCAGCGUCAUCCGCCCGUGCGCUCGUGUUGAUAUAGGUCUUGUUUAGUUCGCAAAAUUUUUUGUUUUUGGCUACUGUAACAUUUUGUUUUUAUUUGACAAACAUUGUCCAAUCAUGAAGUAACUAGGCUCAAAAGAUUCAUCUCACAAAUUACAGGUAAACUGUGCAGUUAGUUUUUAUUUUCAUCUAUAUUUAAUGCUCCAUGCAUGCGACCAAAGAUUCGAUGUGACGGAGAAUCUUGAAAAUUUUUGCGAACUAAACAAGGCCAUAGUACUCCUACUACUGGAAUGCAUACACGGCCGCCGGAUGCAUGCACGGCCGAGCUGGCCUGGCGGGCGCCGGCGCGCCGAAACCACUCUAGCUUUGAUGCUGUGGACUGUGGUCACUGGCCUCAUCUCAAAUAAAACCUGUGAACGGCUCAAUGACAGGCAACAUCGAUCGGGAGCAUUGGAUGCACAGAGGGUCUUGUUUAGUUCCAAAAAAGAUUUUAUAAAAUGGACAACGUAGUAUUUCCGUUUAUAUUUGAUAAAUAUUAUCUAAUUAUAGAUAUACUAGACUUAAAAGAUUCGUUUUAUUUUUAUCUACAUUUAAUAUUGCAAACAUGCGCCGCGACACUAGCACUUUCGUUUGUUUGUGGUAAUUAUUGUCCAACCAUAGAUAACUAGGCUCAAAGAUUUAUCUCGUAAAUUCUGACUAAAUUAUAUAAUUAGUUUUUAUUUUCAUUUAUAUUUAAUAUUGUAUAUAUAUGUUUAAAAAUUCGAUGUGUCGAAGAAUCUGGAAAAAAUUUAGAUAUUGAGGUGGAAGUACCCAGGAAGCGCGUGCUGAAGCUGAACGAAUCGGAGGUGGGCCAGGACCCAGGUGGGUUGGAGGAGGGGGCGCGUCCGUCACACCUAAGGCCUUGUUUGGAUGUUGUCGUAUUUACUCCAAUCCAUGUGUGUUGGUGUGGAUUGGGAUGGAAUUUAGUUCAAGUUCCACUCUAAUCCACCUCAACACAUGUGGAUUGAUGUAAAUACGACUACAUCCAAACAAGGCCUAAAUGCAAACCACGGCACGGGCACAUUGGUGCGCGCUAGGUAGCAAGCGGCAAACCGGUGAGGUAGCGGCCGCCGCUUCCGCGAACGUGACCCUGCAGGGAAGGGUGUUUUCCAUGUGCGUGCUAGACCGAUCGAGCCGAUGACACGAGCAAUCCUAGCAGGGAAGGGUGUUUUCCGUUGCGCGUCAUCAUCACAUCAUCGGCAGCAAGUAUUUUAACGUCCCGAAUACUACGUCCUCAUUGGCGGCCACGGGAAUCUAUGUACGUACACGGAUGAUCGAGAGCAAAUAAACCUCAUCUUCCUCACAUACCGUUGCUCACAGCAGUCACAGGGUAUGACAGCGCUCUACUGUCUGUAGCGCAUUUCUUCGCAACCACCAUUGCAUGCAAUUAAAUUACAGUAUCAAGUACUGCUAGUAGCGGAGCAUCCGAUCGACCCAAUCCAAGGACCGUGCGUUAUUACCCUUUGAUUUGAUCAAGGACGCUGUGCCUACGUAUAGCUGUCCUCCUCCUUUCGCAGUCGUCCAAAAUCAGAACCCAGAGGCAAUAGUACGUAAUACACAUCACAUAUAUAUCCAGAAUACAGCUACUAGUAUGUACUCCGAGAUCUGGGGUAGACUAGAGUACACCAAUUAUGCAGCGCCUUUUUGUCCUGUCACGUACACGGCCAACGAUGUGGAACGCGACCGGUAUAGGAGUAUCUCGCAUAUACGGAUGGUACAGUCCCUAUCCAUCUGCCGUGGCGCACUGUUGGCGUUCAUAUUAUUGAGUACACUAGGACAGGCGAGCGGAAAUGCGUCCAGCAGUUCUUGUACUUGUACACAAGCAAUUUGGUAUGUUGAAACUAGUUCUUCAGUCCAAGUUAAGGUAAAUUAAACAAAGCUUAACUCACGACCUUUUCUGUUUUCUAAACUCAUCAGUCACCGCACCUGUCAAACGACCGUUGAUUACUUGAUUAGCAAUCGCAACUCACAGUCUCACAGAAUAAUAAAAUAGCUAAAAGUGAACCUCUGUCCGGGCCAAGUUAGAACUUCAUCAGAAGGCUAACAAGGUCAGUAAAAUGAAAUGAAACUUAGAUGAGUUACAGUGGAGAGUUUUAUAGCGUUGUUUCUAAGGUUAUCAUGUCAAUGAAAUGAAACUUGGAUGAAACACUCACUCUUAAAGAAAAGUUUUAUUCCAUGGUUUCAUAGAUAUUUAAUUUCUAGAUGAAAUCCAUUUCUUUUCUCUCUUCUUAAAUACACUGUUAUGUCAUCCAAAAUGUCUAUCUGACAACCUAUUUAAUGUGAAAAUGAAACUCAGAUAAAACUCCCACUAGUCAAUCGCAAAGACAUGACCUGGCCAUAGCACAAAUGGCAAAUGUAUAUAACACAACUGCUGGCGGUCAAUCGUCAUUGCUGAUUGUCGCUGAUCACACAAGUGGGAUUAUAACAUCAUCAUAAAUUGAUUGAUCAACGUUGCUAAUAUAUGUUCCACUGAGCAUUGGAAGAUACACCAAGAUCACAUUUGGAGUUCAAAGGGGGUAUUGAACUAACAACUUACACUGUGCAUGUUGAGGUGUUUUAGUUUUGUCAUCAUAAGGUAAACUUUUCUCAUUUUUUUUGUCAAGUCUAUAAAAAAUUAUAUUAACACCUAUAAUUUAAUAUCAAAUAAAUUUAAUACUAAAAAAUAUUUUACGGUGGAAUUUGCUGAAACCAAUAUAAUAUAAAUUUUCUACAAAUUAACUUAAUCAAACUUUAAAAAAUAAAUUUUUAAAUGGAACAGACAAAAUUCUAAGAUGCUCGAUCGCCUCCUAGGAGAUAGUUCAUCUAGCCGUGUAAUGAAUCCAAGGAAAGACGAUUAUUGAAUCUGAUUGUGUUUUAGGAUAUGCUAUCUUGUGUAUGUAAUAACAGACUGCCUUGAGCAUUUCUUAGCGUGAGGCUUUAAAGUGUAGUCAUGGUCCUCCGGGACUGAGGCGUCCUUGUUCUGAGAUAGACCGCCUCCGCCGUGAACAACAUUCUAAAAAUAUUAGCCAUAUGUACUAUGUAGGGUCGAUCUCAAAGCAUGGACGCCACUAGUGAAGCCCUUCCCGGAGAGCUCAUGGCUACUCCUCUACUUUCCCUGCCACGUUGAACACCGCCACCAUCGCCCUUCAUUCCCUUCCUCUCUUUGUUACGCAGGCCUAGACCUGAAACGACGUCCUCCAAAUGCGUAAGGGGUUUUAUGAGAAGUUGUUAUGACCCCUAGCAUGUAGCUGCCUAUAUAUGUUGCAUGGCCACGUCUGAUGCUGGUGAUGGUGUGACGAGUUUGGAACCGUUGGUGUACCACAACUGUAGAUUAGAGAAUGUUUCAAAAGAUUGAGGACCCAACCUGCACUUAUUCUAUAAAAUUUAUCUUUUAUACCUCCUCCAUACCCGUAAAGAAAGUCAUAUAGGACAAUGAAACGGUCUCCAAAACCUAAUUUUGACUUCUUAUUUUUAUAAAAAUAUUUAUCAAAAAGUCGUAUAUGUAUAUUUUUAUGAAAGUAUUUUUUAAGACAAAUCUAUUAUAUGGUUUUCAUAUUUCUAAACUGAAUAACUUAAAAGUUAUCCAUGAUUUAUAUGCUCAAUAUUUAACCUAAAUUUUAUCAAAACGACUUUCUUUAUAAGUAUGGAGUGAAUAUAUUCUUUUAUCAUUAAAAUAAGUUUAAUUGACUUUCAUGAUUGAUUUAAGAAUUAGAUAAAAGACCAGAAAAUUAUAUUGUAACUACAGAAGUGUUUACGUACCAAAUAUGGGUCACCGUCUAAAAUAUUUUGUGUCGUAGCAUGCUCGGUUCUAAAAUAGCAUGAUCCUAGUCGCUCUACCGUUAGGCAGUUAUGCUUUUAAUUCUUCAGAGUUGCUGCAUCCGUGUAGAAAAGAAUGUAAUUCUAAUUUUUCAAAAAGUUAAACAGCGCUUCAAGUUUGACUUCAUUUAUAUAAAAACUACUAUCAUUCAUAAUAUAAAAUAAGAAUGAUAAAUUAGUUAUAGAAUAUAUUUUUAUAAUAAAAUUUAUUUGGAGACGUAAAUGUUAAUAUCAAAGUAAAUUAUACGGCCGGUCCUUAAAGUAUUACGUAGUUUUCAUUUAGGUCCUCUAACUACGAAAUCGCACGUCUCACUCCCUAAUGUAUUUAAGUGAUCUCAUCUAGAUCCCCAAACUACGAAAUCGCACGUCUGACUCCCUAAUGUAUUUAAGUGAUCUCAUAUAGGUCCAAAAUAUACAGAAGGAGGGUUAGAAGCUGACAUGGUCAUCCAUAUAGAUAUGAUUUAAGCACAUGACCCCUGAUUUAAGCCCACGUGUGCAGCCGCUGGCUCGUUCCUGAUCACCAUCACAGCGCCCGCAGCAUACGACCUUGUCAUGUAGGCAGCAAUGGCGGCCGGUUACACUGCCGAGCGGGGUAAGGUAGAUAUGAGAGAAGAGAGGCUUGGUUUGCGGUUAUCCGGUAUUACGCUCACUCGUGUGACCAGCCGCUAUUGCCGUUUACAUGACCAGAUCGUAUGCCGUGGGCGCUGUGAUGGUGAGCAGAGACGAGCCAGCGGCUGUACCCGUGGACUUAAAUCAGGGAUCAUGUGCUUAAAUCAUAUCCAUGUGGAUGAUCAUGUUAGCUUCUAACCCUCUUUAUGUGUAUUUUGGAUCUAUAUGAGAUCACUUAAAUACAUUAGGGAGUCAGACGUACGAUUUUGUAGUUUGGGGACCUAGAUGAGAUCACCUAAAUACAUUAGGGAGUCAGACGAGCGAUUUCAUAGUUUGAAGACCUAGAUAAAACCCACAUAAUACUUUAAGGACCGACCGUGCAAUUUAUUUGGAGACGUAAAUUUUAUUAUUAUUUACUACAAAUAUAGUCAAACUUGAGUUACUUUAUCUGACAUAUUCUUUGCUGGAUGGAGUAAGUACUACGACGCACGUCAGCACGUGCCAGCGCGUUCUUCGUUUACCACGGCACACCGGUAAGGAGUAAGAACGCGAAUCCAUCGAAGGCACUCACGUUCGGCUGUUCUUCCUGUAUCCAAGCUGCAACAACCUACAGAUCGAAAAGCAUAUAGAACCAGCAAAGCAAGGUGAACUGGCAAAUCCAACCCUGUCCGUUACCAAAAUUACAGCUUAACACCCCUGAACAAGCUAGUAGCUGCGAAGCUACUGUGGUCCUGUCCAUAUAAAUACUGCAUCCGGCAUCGUCUCUGACCUGCAACUUACGAGCACCCAAGAGCAUAGACAAGCACUCACACACACUAUCGCGGCAAUGGCCGACACGGCCGACGCCCCGCUCCUGACGAGCCACCACAAGCAGGCCAAGCUGGCCAACAAGGCGCCGUCCAUCGACGACACCAUCGAGACGUACAUCGGCGCGACCGGUUCCAUGCAGCUGCUGAAGGCCGUCCUGCUGGCAUUCGCGUGGGCCUUCGACGCGCAGCAGGUGUUCAUCUCCGUGUUCACGGACGCGGAGCCGGAGUGGCACUGCACGGGCGCCUCGGCGUCCUGCUCGCCGGCCGCACCCCCGGCCUCGCCGUGCGCGCUCCCUUCUGGCGCGUGGGCGUGGGACCGGCCGGCCGAGACGACGGUGGUCUCCGAGUGGGCGCUCAAGUGCGGCGGCCCGGCCCUCGUGUCGCUCCCGGCGUCGUCGUUCUUCGCCGGCUGCCUGGCGGGAGGGUUCCUGCUCACCACGCUCGCGGACUCGCUCCUCGGGCGCAAGAAGAUGCUGCUCACGUCCCUGGUGUCCAUGUCCGUCGCCGGCGUGCUCACCGCGUUCGCGCCGAACGUGUGGGCGUACGCCGCGCUGCGGUUCGUGUCCGGGUUCGGCCGCUCCAUGGUGGGCACGUGCACGCUCGUCCUGUCCACGGAGCUCGUCGGCAAGAGGUGGCGCGACACGGUGAGCGUGGCCGGCUUCAUCUUCUUCACCGUCGGCUUCCUGUCCCUCCCGGCGCUCGGCUACACGUUCCGCGAGGCGUCGUGGCGGAACAUGUACCUGUGGACGUCCGUGCCUUCGCUCUGCUACUCCGUCCUGCUCUACUUCCUCGCCCAGGAGUCGCCGCGGUGGCUGCUGGUGCGCGGCCGGAAGCAGGACGCCAUGGAGACGCUGCAGCAGAUCGCCUCGCUCAAUGGCAACAGCAUCACGUCCAGCUUCUCCAUGCUGCACGCGUGCAACAUGCAGGAGGACGACGGGGCCUCCGGCGGAGCCGGGGGCGUGUUCUCCACGAUGCGGUCGAUGUGGGAGCGGCCGUGGGCGCUACGGAGGCUGGCGGCGAUCAUGACGACCGGCUUCGGCGUCGGCAUGGUCUACUACGGCAUGCCGCUCAACGUCGGCAGCCUGGGAACCAACAUCUACCUGAGCGUCACGUACAACGCUUUGGCUGAGCUGCCGUCGGCCAUCCUGUCGUUGAUCUUCAUCGGCAGGAUCAACCGGCGGAGCUCGGUCGUCGCGCUCACCGUGGCGGCCGGUGCCUUGAGCCUCGCGUGCGUCGUCAUCCCGGAGGGCUCGGCGGCGCGAAUGGCGGCCGAGUUGCUCUCCUUCUUCUCAACCAUCACCGCGUUCAACCUCAUCCUGAUCUACUCCAUCGAGCUGUUCCCGACGUCCGUGCGCAACUCGGCGGUGGGGCUGGUGCGGCAGGCGCUGGUGCUGGGCGGCGUGGUGGCACCCAUGCUCGUCGCGCUCGGCCGCGAGCGGAGCUUCUGGUCCUUCGGUGUGUUCGGGCUCUGCAUCGGAUGCCUGGGGCUCUUCGCCGCCUGCCUCCCGGAGACCAGGGGGCGGAGCAUGUCGGACACCAUGGAGGAGGAGGAGCACAAGGAGGCUGCCGCCGCGGCUUGCACCGGCGCAACCGACAUCAUCGCCACCAAGGAUGAUAGCGACCUCGUGUAGCAAACGUCCGUGUGGUCAAUCACGAAGCUGUCAGGCUGCCUCUAUCCAGUCUUGUACCGCUGCCGCCAAGUUGAUGCAUAUAAUUCAGUUUCAGAAACAGUUGUUGAGUGUCUGCAUGUAGCUAAAAUCAGGGGCCACAUUCACAAAAGCAGAACUCGAUCCAUAUCGAUCGGUGAAGCUGAAGCACAUGUUCAAGCCACAUUGACAAAUUAAGUCAAUGCGGAAAUGUUGGCAGAAAAAAAAAAUCCACUGCCACUGACGGUAUAAAACAUGCCAAGCUAACACAAGUGUAGUCCGAACUUACAAAUUUUUAGAUAGUUUAUAUGCUUACUAAAUCACGUAAACACUAGAGACAGAAACCAUAUCCCAAUAGAAGUUUUUUUAAAAAAUGUUUAAUAAUGUAUAAACUCACCUAUCAUCUAUCUAUGACAUUUUUUCAUAUCUUGAUUUCUGUAUACACAUAAUUUCUUGUCUAAGAAACUAUUUCGUCCUCUCUCUCUCUCUCAACUACAAUAUCGCAUCAUUAUUUUGCUUAGUUUCUAAGUUGAGAGUGUCCUAGUCAUCCUCAUAUAUGAUGAGAGCCAAACCUGACCUAAACCAACCCAUAUGCCACAACACGGUAAUGGUUUAUUUCUCACAUAUUUGCUCCAACUUAUGCAUCGUUGCUUAAGAAGUGAGAGGAGCAAAGUUGGUGAAGCAAAAAAAAGUGUUCACUAGCUCCUAUGUGACUUUGCGAAAGAGAUCAAAAAAAGUGUUGGUCACAAUAUGUGAAUGAUGUUGCUAUAGUACAAGUGAUAGUUGGAGUCAAAGUUGGUUACAGCCAUACCACAGGACGUCAGAGCCUCAACAAAUGGUAUCUCUAUGGGUCCGAGAAAAAUACGUCUCUAUCUUGCCACAGUUAUGCUUGCCUCCUAGGAGUACAUAUAUUUAUUUAGGUUUGCCUUAUUGCCUAUCAAAACUUUAGUCUAGUCUUCUCUAGACCUCUAGCUAGAGGUGGACUAACCCAUAGGGAGAGGUCAGGUGGCCACCCUACCUCCCUUAUGGGUGCCCCCAGCAUACUUCCGUGUGGCGGUGUCGGUCCACCUCGUACAACCAACUGAUGACACGUGAUGUCUGAGCGCUUGAGCUCGAGUCGAGGUUGAAGGCAAUGGACAAGAGUGGCUACAUGAGCCUCAUUUAGGCUUAGAGCAGACCGCCUUGCCUAGGCUAUAUCACAUUCUUUUUCUCUUGACGCCCUAAAACCCUUCCUCACUUCUAACAUCAGGGGAGAGCUAGGCACUACGAUGACUAAGUUAGUUCUAGUCAUCAUCACUCCAUCAAUUAAAUCAACCAUUAAAUGGUUAAUUUAGAAGGAUUUGACAAAUUCUGUUAAGGUCAGCUGAUUGUAACUCCGUCCCUAAUUAACUUCACCCCAAUGCAACACACUAUACCCAUGCUUUCUCUCUAAACUCAUGUUAGUUUUGUCUUCACGUCCUCACUCUCAUCCCACUCGUAUUUCUCAUCAUAUAGGUGGUUCCCGCCAACACAUCCAUGUCGCACUAAACCACUAAGGGCUUAUUUGAUCUCAUGCAUGGUCUAAAGUUUAGCUACUAAAGUUUAGGCCACUUUAGUUCUUGAGGCUCUAAACAUGUGAUUAAAGUUUAGCCAACCUCGCCUUAAAAGCCAUUAGUUCUUUAGACCAUAAACGUGAGCUAAUUAAUGAAAUAUAAAGUUUAUCCCUUAACUUUAGCCAACCAAAUCCCAGUAAAUGAAAUCCAAAUGGAAUGUAACCCUCUCCUUUGCUCCCCACCAUUAGUCUUGCCCACUAUACUAUCUUAUGCUCACUGCCAACUUAUCGCCUACGCCCCGGUGGGUGUGGUUCAAGUUUGUUCGUCGGGCCCUACGUGCCUUCAUUUAGAUAUUUAUUAGUUUGAGCAACAACUAACAACUAUCACCUUCCAACCACACAUCGUCAUACUCAUCAUAUGCAUAUGCAGUUUGAAUUAAAGUAAAAUCUAUGCAAACUAGCUAGAGUAGGGCUCAUCUAGUGUCAGGUGCUCUCUAUAUUUUAAAUUAUAAGAUAUUCUAGAUAAAUUAUUUUUACUAUAUAUCUAAACAUAGUAGACAAUUAAAUGCAUCAAAAAUUAUGUAUCUAGAAAAAAACAAAAUAUUCUAUAAUAAUUUAGAAUUAAUGCAGGAAUACUAUACGUUUAAAAUUGAACGACGACUAACGGUUAGGUCCCCGAUAUAUCAAUCCCAGACUCAAUCUAUUUUGUAUUCAAAUGAUCAUGAUCUGCACUUUUUCCUUUUCUAUUCUAUAUUGUAUCUACAUGAGUUUUUACUAUAUACUCCUAUCAGACUUGGUUUGCCCUUUUCGCUUUUUCUAUAUAUGGUCCAAUAGGUUUCCUCCUCCGAAUAAGCCAGGGCUCAAUUUUGGACUAUUCAGAAUUCCAGAUUGACAGCAUCAGUGAGACCGAGAGUACAGACUCCGUACUUUCAUAGGGAGUGUCGUUGUUCAACGGCCUGUGUAGGCUGUAGCUGUUACGGAGUAUUAUUGUUUUUUUAAAUCCUGGCUGAGUCAGUGGUGACCCGGUGAUGCCAAAUUGCCAGUCGAGAGAUCCUAAUGUGAAGCGCAUUGUUUCAGUUUGUUCUGGAUCACAACUUGCGUGACGUCGCUGGCUCAUCAAAUAGUACUGAUAGGUGAUUAGCAAUUUAGUGCUAAAAUAGGCUAUCAUGAUCUGGCAGGGGGCCAGGAACAUGGUGCCCGUACAUGAGAUGCUUGUGUUGUGUGGAGGCAUUUUGUCAAAAAUCAGAAUCACGUCAUCUUCUCCUGCAUGCUGCCAUGGAACAUGUGUGACAGUGUGAGUGAGCGUGCAUGCAUGAUGCUUGCAGUUGUGCCGUGGGUCUAUCCCUUCAUUUUCAGAUAUAUCUUCAGGUUUCCUUGCAAAAGAAAAUAUCUCUUGAGUCUUGACCAUGUCACGUAACAGUAGGUCUAUAUAGACACAAGUUAGGCAGGAACUUUGGACUCGCAUGCGGCAAGCAGAACAUCAAGGCAACACAGAAGAUCCUGGAGCACUAAUUAUGCUUGCAUAAUCUCUCGGUGACGUGUGAAUGACCCGGGAACUGACAAAAGACGUUUUGGCCUUGUUUAGUUCGUAAAAUUUUGGUUUUUUGGCUACUGUAGCAAUUUCGUUUUUAUUUGACAAACAUUGUCCAAUCACGGAGUAACUAGGCUCAAAAGAUUCAUCUCACAAAUUUCAGGUAAACUGUGUGAUUAGUUUUUAUUUUUAUCUUUAUUUCAUGCUCCAUACAUGCGACCAAAGAUUCGAUGUGACGGGAAAUCUUGAAAAUUUUUGCGAACUAAACAAGGCCUUUGUUUGGGGUGUGGGAUGAGCCUUCAGAUCGAUUCGGACGGGCCUUGGUGCCUUGCUGCCACCAUCCGGCGCCCUCUGCUGUACAGUACUACGAUAUGACCAGGCCGAGUCAGCAGAUCACGCUUUCACCAAUCCGCGAGGAUCCAUCAAUUAUGGGACCGAGGCCUUGUUGAGUUCGUAAAAACUUGUGAAAAACGGCACCGUAGCACUUUCGUUUUUAUUUGACAAACAUUGUUCAAUUAUAGAGUAACUAGGCUCAAAAGAUUCAUCUCGCGGUUUACAGAUGAACUGUGCAAAUAGUUUUUUUUUUCAUGUAUAUUUAAUGCUCCAUGCAUGUGACGCAAGAUUCGAUGUGACGGGGAAUCUUGAAAAUUUUUGCGAACUAAACAAGGCCUGAAAAAGGCGUGUUCUUGGUUGAGACGUCUUGAAUCUCAUCUUUCUUUCUGUUAGAACAAGGCUAAUAAUAUAGCCAACUGGCUAUAAAGUUUCUUUACAGUUUUCUUGUAGCUCACUUAUAUAAUAAUUAGCUCAUCAUUAUCUCCUCUUCUCUCUCCUCCACCUCAAUAUUUAGCCGGCUUAUAGUCUACUAUAAUACUUGCUCUUAAAAUAACGACGUCCAACAAUCCAAGCCAUCCCAAUCUUUGAUUAACACGCGUGUGCCGGCAACAAUACAGAUGCACGAUGUCUUUCUUGUGAAGCACCACCGUCUGCAAGCGGCAGCGGGACAGGCCUAGAGUUAGGUUUUGAGCUUGGGAUGGCUGGGACGAUGGCUCGCUCAAUGACAGUGGCGAUUCAAGGGCCACGAGGCGUAGCAACAAUGCAUUGCUGGUCGGACGGUUGAGGACAACUCGUGGACAAGAUUGGCGGCGGGGGCGACCAAGUACAACGUUAGUAGAGGGCACGGCUGCAACAGCGGCGGAGGAGGAGGGAGGUGGGCAAUGAGAUCGUCAGCAUGCUCGUCGAUGACCUAGAAAGCAGAAGAGGCUUGCAAGGGAAGGCGUAGUUGGAACUUGGAAAGGUAACGAAAACAUAUACUAUUAUAUAGUUGGAACUUGGAAGGCGUAGUUGGAACUUGGAAAGGUAACGAAGACAUGUGUGCUCUGAUAUCAAAAUGGUAUCAUAAUACUUUAAGUUUGAGCAUUUUUUUUUUGUAUUUUAACCAAAGAAAUGUGAUGUUCACAACAUUGUGUCUAUAGUCAGUCGUCUCUAUUAAAGGAGUGUUCAUAAAGCAUGAGCAUUUAGGACAUAAUUCAAGUCGAUCCUUGGAGAGGUUGCGCGUAGCAGAUCUUGCGUGGUAAGAACCUCUGGUUCAACCGAGACACCGGAGGGACGUAGAGCUCGAUCUCUCGUCUCGGCCACGGACUUUGCUGUUGAUUUUUUUUUUUUUUUUUUUUUUUAGCACGGCUGCACGCGGGUGCCUUCGGCUUUCGGCCUUUGUUUGGGCUUUGGGCCACCACAUCCACUUUCCAUCGAACGGCUCAUCUAACGGCCCUGAAAUCGUGCAGCCCAGUCUGCGAUUGAAUGAAAGGAGGAAUUCCAGAACGGCCUCCUUCCAACCACCUGAAACUCUGUAUCUAAUUGCUCUGUAAACCCUGAAACUCUGAAUCUAAUUGCUGAGGAUCAAACCAAUCGUCCAUGGAUAGAAUUCCCUCAGAAAGGGGUUCAUCAUCUCAACUUCCAUUGGACUGCCGUGGUCGGUUCAUAAUCGUAUUUAUAUGAUUUUGAACAAAAAUAAAUAUAUAAAAAAUGGAGACGUUUAAAGCCAUUCUGGUGCUUAAAUAAUGAUAAAUGUGUUCCUAUAAUCAAACACAGAUAUAAAUAAUGUACCAAUAUAUCUGUACUAAGAAGGUUUCAAACGGGAAGUAGUGAAUUAUGAAGUUAUAGCUCGUGUCGAGAUCUGUAAUUCCAUAUAAAUCUUUUAUCUAUCUGAACUAAUGAAAAAAGUUUUCUUUUUCAAGAUGCGCUGUGUAGAAAAGAGAUACCUCACCAUUUCAAACGCAUAGAUUUAAAUCUCGCCAUUUCAGUUGGUGAAAAUAGUACAUUUCUAAAAAAAAUUAUUCAGACAAUACUAUUUUUCAAAACACAAAUCAAUUUAUUUUUCUAAAAAAUGUCAUCCACCUUGGUCACCAGUGCAAUCAUGUCAUUGGACCAGCACAACCAGUUCCUAAACCUCCACUUCGAUUUGCGGGAGUAAUAAGUGUAAAAUACACAGGCGGUCCUAAACUUCUCUCUAUGGAUGGUAAAUGGGUUGGAUAAUUGAGGUGUAUCAAACACACUCCUGAGGUAAAACUCGUAGCAUUUUGUCACGGUGCCCUGCACAGGGACUCAGCGACUUGCCUUCAGUAACCUCCUCCAUUCAUUCCUUCAAGGCCUAGUUUCCAAAAAAUUUUGUAAAAUUUUAAAUUUUUUAGAUUCCCCAUCACAUCAAAUCUUAUGACACAUGUAAAAUUUUUAUUUAUAUUUAGUGCCUCAUGCAUGUGUCGUAAGAUUCGAUGUGACAGAAAAUUUCAAAAAAUAAAAUUUUACAAAAAAAAUUAGAAACUAAACAAGGCUUUGGAGGAAUGGACGGAGGAGGUAAGUUACAUUGGGACUUGUUGAAGGCAAGUCAAUAAAUCCCUCUUCGUGGCCCUCAUAUCACCCUAUGGAUGAAAGUUGCAUCCACGCCGAAGCCCACAAGUGAGGACCUCUCAGGUGUGUAAAUAGUAUAGGCAAUAUAUCAUCAUGAUUACAUUAAUAUGUAUAGAAAUAUGAUAACAAAUAAUUGUUUCCCAUCUCUGUAUCACAUGUCUAGUCAUGUAACACAAAUGUAGCAAGUAAUUAAAAUGAAUUAAAAAACUAAUGCCUAGUUAUUCAUGAGUCCAACUGCCACCCCUACUACUUGUCCUAGGGUCUCAUCUCAUGCUCCCUCUAUUUUAAUUCUAAGUUGUUUAGUCUUUCUAUAUGCAUAAUUUUGCUAUGCACCAAGAUAUCCAUCAUGUCUAAAUACACAAUAAAAACAAUAUCUCUAAAAUCUAUAACAACUUAGAAUUCAGAAUGGGGAGAGUAUGAUUUAAACUCUCGAAAUACCAUCUUAGGUCUUGGGCUUGCCAUAUGAUGUCAUCCAAUUUCAAAAUCUCAAAAUGAGAUUCUCCAGGUUCCAUACAAUCUGGCCUCCCAAACUUAUAGAGCUAUGGAGGGCUUACCCAAUGCAUUGGCGGCCCAGGCUUAGUCCGGGUAGUCCUAGGUCUACCCUAGAUUUUGACCAAAAUUACUAGUACUAGUUAGAUUUAGGAAGUCUAAAAUUAAAAAUUCCAAUGUUCUAAAUAUUUCAUCCGUUUUUAGACUUUCCCUCCUCUUGGCUAGUGUUUACUUGCUCUUGGUAUCCACUUGGUCUAAAUUAUGUUUUGGAUUAUACUAUAUUGAAUACACAUAUUUUUGCUAGGCAUACUCUGAGUUCAAAUCCUGGGUCCGCCGCUACACCAACGUACCACUGUGGAGCAUAGCCAGCCGAUUAUUCAUCUUUUUUGAAGCAUUUUUGGAGCACGUGUUGCAGCGAGAAAGGAGCUGCGCGCCUUUGUUGUCCCUAUGAAAAUAAAGCAGAGCACUUGGUAAUAAAGUUGUUCACUUCCGUUAGACCAAGGGAGGUCCCCUCGGAGUUUUGAGAGCUCUUUUUUUGGGUACGAUUAGUACUGCUGCUUUUGGCUGAGUAGCCCGGCCCAAACCAGUGUGCCACGUAACGCUGUGGGACCAGGUGAUGGAGGACGAUGGGAGUCAGCCAGUUGUCCGAGGUGGCAGCGGCGCCACCUCCAGAAUCCAGUUCCGCUCCCCGAUUGGGCGGAGGCAAAUCCAGAAAUCUCCACCUCACAUCCGCCGCUAAUCGCCGCUCGCUUCUCCCCCCCGGCAACAAAACACACUUGUGCUACAAAUAUGUCCACGUAACCCUUCUCCAAGCCUUACCACUCCACGGUUUCAAUCAAAAAAAAGAAAAGAAAAAGCUUAGCUUAGCUUUGCUCGCCAGACAAACCGGAGCAGAGGCAGAGCUGCAGCAGCAGAUGGCGUCGACGAUCAUGGCCGCCACCUCCCGCGUCGUCGCGGCCAAGACGCCGUUCCUCGGCCAGGGCCGCGCCGCCGCCAAUGCCAGCCCCCUCCGGGACGUCGCCGCCGCCGCCAGCGGCCGGAUCACCAUGGUACGUAACGUAACGUAACGUAACGUAACGUAACGUACGCCGAGGUGGUCCAUGGCACACACGUUGUUGGUUUCUCGAUCGAUCCAUCCGGCAAUCAAAUCAAAUCAACUAACAACGAGAGUGAUGCUCGCCUUUUGGAUUGCAGGGCAACGACCUGUGGUACGGCCCGGACCGCGUCAAGUACCUGGGCCCCUUCUCCGCGCAGACGCCGUCGUACCUCACCGGCGAGUUCCCCGGCGACUACGGGUGGGACACCGCCGGGCUGUCGGCGGACCCGGAGGCGUUCGCGCGGAACAGGGCGCUGGAGGUGAUCCACGGGCGGUGGGCGAUGCUGGGGGCGCUGGGCUGUAUCACCCCUGAGGUGCUCGAGAAGUGGGUGCGCGUGGACUUCAAGGAGCCCGUCUGGUUCAAGGCCGGCGCGCAGAUCUUCUCCGAGGGCGGCCUGGACUACCUCGGGAACCCCAACCUGGUGCACGCGCAGAGCAUCCUCGCCGUGCUCGGCUUCCAGGUCAUCCUCAUGGGCCUCGUCGAGGGCUUCCGCAUCAACGGCCUCGACGGCGUCGGCGAGGGCAACAACCUCUACCCCGGCGGCCAGUACUUCGACCCCUUGGGCCUCGCCGACGACCCCGUCACCUUCGCCGAGCUCAAGGUCAAGGAGAUCAAGAACGGCCGCCUCGCCAUGUUCUCCAUGUUCGGAUUCUUCGUCCAGGCCAUCGUCACCGGCAAGGGGCCACUCGAGAACCUGCUCGACCACCUCGAUGACCCCGUCGCCAACAACGCCUGGGUCUACGCCACCAAGUUCGCGCCAGGGUCUUAAGCUAGCCGGACACGGCGGCGGCGUGCCGGGACAUUGUACACUACUCGUUUGUCUUGUGACAUUACAUUUGUACCAUGAACGAAUGCAAAUAUUCUUGUGCUCUCUCAUCAGAACUCAGGAACGUCGUACUGGCCACUAGUUUUGAUCUUCCAUUCCAUCCAAUCCAUGUAUGCUCCGUUUUAGUUGUUAACUGAUUUGUGUCCAUAUAUGUAGAUGUCUCUACUAUUAUUUUUUUUGUUACAAACACAAGCAGUCCGGAAGUAGUGCAGAAUUCAGAGGCUGCUAAUUACAAUAGGCGUAUUUCCAAACUGUGUACUUAGGUAUAUAUCCCUGUGUCAGAUGCGCAUUUGGGGAAUAAGGCUCUGAAAGGGGUCCCAGAGAAGCCGAGGAAAAGACUGCAACAACCUUGUAAUGGAAGAAGAUGACAUCUGGUGGUGGUGGGAGACUGAUAAAACAAGCACUUCCUUGAGUAGUUUGUCAAUUUAUACGAUAUAUCAGCUUCAGGAGGGUGUUCACCAACAGAUGGAUUCUAUAAUGGCGAAUUUCUUCUGGCAAUGGGCCAAAUGAAAAUUUUAAAUAUCAUGUGGUAAAAUGGAGAAAUCUGUGUUUACCUAAAGACUUUGGGGGAUUAGGAAUUAUAUGGAGACUAGGACUAUGAAUGGGGCACUUAUUGGAAAACAGGGAUGGAGAAUGUUGCAGGCUGAUAAAGGGGGCCAAUGUUUCAGUCUGUUACAGAAGAAAUAUCUGGGCAGACAUCCUUUUCUACAAUGUGGGAGGGAGACAGGUUCACAAUUUUGGAAGGGUGUUUUGAAAUAUAGAAAGAUCUUGAAAUUGGGGCUGUCAUACAGGUGAAUAACGACCGAAGCACUAGAUUUCGGGAAGAGAUAUGGGUUGGAAAUACACCUUUAAGGCUGGAUAGAGAUUGUUUAAUAUGUGACUGCUGGGAGGGAGAUGGUUGGAACAUAAACUUUAGAAGGGCUUUAGGGGAGGCUGACAUGCGAGAAUAGGAAAUAUUAACUAAUAUCUUAGAGGAGUAUAGAUCAAAUGGGGAGGAUGCUCAUUUUGUUUGGAUACUGGAUAAGUCAGGAAACUAUACUACAAGAUCAAUGUACAGAAGACCAAUUUUCAAGGGGGGGGGGGGGGGGGGGGGGGGUGUUCUUAUAUAAGGUUGGAGUAGAUUACCAAAUAAGAUCAAGGUGUUUAUAUGGUUGGCUGUUCAAGAUAGACUUCAAACAGGGGUGGAUCUCAAGAGAAGUGAAUGGAAAGGGAACACAAAAUGUUGUCUUUGUGGGGGUGAAUGAGACAACACAUCACAUUUUCUUCCAUUGUCAUAUUGCAAGAGUGGUCUGGUUCUGUUUUAAGGAGGCAGUUUGCAAGAUGUUUUUGACAAUUGGAUUCCUUUGGGAAACAACUAUCAUAUAAAACUUUUCAUGCUGGCUAUUAUCCUUUGGGGUUAGAAAUAAGAUGGGGAUAGAGAAAAAGUUCCCGAAGUCAUCUAACUAAGUUUUUUUUACAAAAUCUUUGGUUUUUCUCAGAAGUGGCAAAUUCUUUUGAAAGAGCAUGAUGCCAAGCACUCGGACGACAAGUUAAAGCAUAUGAGAAGCUGGUUGAUGGACUUCUGGAAGCGAAUUGAAGCCUUGGAAGUAGAAGGGGUGAUUUGAGUUUCUUUUGUGACUAGUGUGUGGAUGGUUUGCUUGCAUUGUGAAGCCUGUUUUUUUGUGCUCCUGUUGUUGUAGUUUGGUAGUAGCUUUGAUAGUGCAGAAUAUGGCGCGAUGCUAGCACAAUUCAGAGUAAAAUGCCUUGCACAUUUCAACAAUUUUCUAACUGUACACAUCUUACAAUACUCUGCUUUCGCAUCUCUAUGCGCUCAUGGUGGAUAAUCUGUAUUUAGUUACCCUUCCACACGUCAGAUUUAUCACUCUACAUACAUGAUGACAUACAUACACUGUCAAGUGACAACUCGGAUCUAAUUUAAUAUACAUGUACAGAACUCUGGCUUCACCUAUUGGCUAAUUUGAUCUUUUUGACACUCAAACACCCGACGGGUAACAGCACCGCCACCAACGAUGGAGGUCAUCAUCUCGCCGGGCCGGGCUUCUGCGAUGAGAGAACCGAGGCUGGUUCUUUGCGCCUGCCCUGGCAUUCUUGGUCACUUUCCUUGACCCAGUGGUGGAAAAAUGUAAUGGUGAUUUUCUUACACGUUUCACUUCGAGCUCUUCUUUCCCCACCAUCUUUUCCGAGAUUUCUCGUCAUGGGUGCCAACCUUAUUAAGGUUUACCUUCGUCUCCUUCAACCGAGAUUUGUAGUCCUUUUUCCAUGUCGCAAAGCGGUCCUUGAGCUUCCGGAGUUCCUCAUCUGGGUUCAUAUUUGGACCAACCUGACCGGACUUGACUGCAACAAGGAAGCCCGCAUCGUCCUCAAACACCUGCCGUCUGUCUUCAAACUCCUUCGCUAGGUGGUUCACAGCAUUUACUCGCCUAUCCGAGUUUCCUGCUGAAACUUUAGCUUCAGGGUUGUGGUUGUGAUGUCUUGAUUCUAUCACUUCAGGUGUAUGGGUCCCAGUGGACAACGUAUCUUCAGAGUCAUACUGGGCAUGUGUUGGAGUAAAAUCAGUCCGAGCGGCUCUAGUGGCCGCAUCAUCAGCAGCUAGGCUCUUCUUAGCAGCAACAAGGCUCAGCUGAAAGAAAUAAAUAGGAUCACAUCCAAAUUCUUCUGAAGGAUGAUUAAAAAGAAAACUCAAGCCACAAAAUUAUAUACCACUAUUUUCUAAUAGAAUAUUUAAUUGCUCUCUCUUUCUUUUCCCUUUUUGUUGAUGGCUCAUGUUGAUUUUCAACUCUACAACCCAACUUGCUUGGGACUAAAAGGCUUUGUUGUUGCUAUGUAUUUUCAACAGAUCAAGCAUCCAGUUUCUAUGCUACAUAGGUAACGUAAAAUUCAAUAUCAGAGCAAUUGUUCUUUAUUCGUUUAACACAUCAGCAUUAGAAAAAUUCUUGAAUAUUUUCAUAUGUCAUCCCAUGAGGAGGUUAUGUUGCAGUCUGUCAUUCUCAAACAGAUGAAUUCAUGUUGCAAGAAUAUAUUGAUCCAUUCUUUGAACAUACAAGCAAACAUACAAAUAAUCAACUAGAUAAUUACCUGCAGAGAAGAGAGCUGUCUCUUCCAUGCCUCUUCCAUAGAUUUCAUUUUGGCCUCAUACUCCGACCAUUUCCUCUCAUACUGUUCCAAUUGCCGUUUUAGCAUUACAUUUUCUUCCUCCUUGUCCAGCAAUGCAGCCUCAGCUUUCGUAAUACGAUCUUGAAGCUCAGUGAUGACUGGUUCGUGGAGAUAAUGCCCAUUCAUUUCCUGCCAUUGGAUGCCAAUGUUAGGAACUACUAUACCUUUUACACUUAUGUAUUAGACAGCUGAACAGAUUCUAUAUAACUUCUUAUACAGUUGGAUAUCACAUUAACAGAAAUUUCAGUAAAGUUAGUAACCAUGCUUAUGCAAAUUCCACCAGAUGAAGAUUGUCUAUUAGCGAUAGCAGAUCUUUCAGAUUAUAUGUACUUCUCAUUCAGUACUGGAUGAAACUAAUAUGCAGCUAGCGCAUUAGAAGAUUGGAACAGAUAAAAGUAUAGAUAUCCUUUGGUAUAGAACUCACAUGGCAAACUCUUGAUUCGGAAUUAGUCUUCCUUGUGUCCCCUUGAACUAUGUUGUGACUGGCCUUUGACUCCUUUUCAUUCUGCAGACACUUGUAUUUCCUUCUGGCCAGGCACCCACGCAUCACUGCAGUAACAUAUGAUGAUUAGAUAGAUGCACUACUCUAGGGUAAUGCUAAUAUGCCCUCUUUUAUUUUAUCAUAUAAAUUACCAGACUGAAGAAUAAUAAUAUGACUCAGUUCAUCAUUAAACAUGUUAGCUGCAAGUCGACGCCUAGUGUACUUCUGUAUAAGAACAGCUGCCCUCCAUCUCUUGACAAGAUUAUCAAAGUGUAUUCUUGCUCUUUCACCGCGUAUAACUGCAGUUUGGAAAACAGGAAGAGUAUGAUAGACGUUCAUAUUAUUAGAAUUCAGGAAUGUUUUGAACAAAAAGAAAUAAAGUGUAUUACAUGAUUGCAAAUUCAUUGCCCCUUUCUUUAGUUGUUGAUAUCCCUGUCGAGAAUGCAAACCCCGGAAGUGCUUCUGAAUACGGAGGGUUCCAUGAAGCAUCUGUCUUUUAGCAUUUUCCAGUGCAGCAACCUACAGAAUAAUCAAGAUUAGAAACCACACUCACAAAAAAAGAGCAGUUGUGAUCGCAAGCUAUACCAAACUAUAAGGGCAAGAGCAAUGUUGGAAGUUCAAAAUAGCAUUAAAGUAGGGCCCACAGAAAACAAGCAUGUGUUGUUUCCAUCUGCAGAAGAUGAGCAUUAAGGUCUGACCACGUUCCAAAAUAUAUCCUUAGCUUCCUGUGAACGAUAAACAUAGAGCGGAGAGAGAAACUAAUUGUUUUUUGGUAUGGUCUACUGCACAAUGUAUCCUAUGCAUCAUAGGAGUGUCUUUAUGGCUUAAGGUCACCUUUUACUCACAUUGUGGCUGCCCUAGAACUUUUGUAUGCUAGUGCAGCUGGUUGAGGGUCUACUCUAGCAUUUAAAAGAUUAGAAUGUGGAAUAGUCGAUUUAUUGUACCUGUCCUGUACGGAAAAACAAUUUUGUGUAGCCAACUUGAUACAUUUCAGGGGGAAUGUUCAACUGUUGCAAAACAGCAAUUGAAACACUAAGUGGAUCUUGAGAUGCAACGGAACGCAAGAGAAGAAACCCGUAUCUGCAUAUUAUUGAACAAAUCGUAAGUCAAGUGGCACACAGUAUCAAACAAAUAAACAAGUACAUUUUUGAAUUCAGAUUCUAUGAAAUAGCAACCUUUCAGCAAACUGUUGGUGAGUGAUCCUAGUUGGAUAGCAUGUUCUUGAUAUCCGGACAACUUCAAGCACCCCACAGCAUUUAAGCUGGUGCAAGACAAGAUCAUGCUCGAAUAACCUGGGAUGUUGUUUGCUGUUUGGUUGAAUGCAUCGAAUAAAAUGUGGGGUUGUACUCUCCAACUGCUGCAUCAGCUUGAACAGUUGAGCCUGAAUACACAACAGAGCAUUGGGAUGGCUAAAUACAACUUUAUAUAAGAAUGGCAUGGAAAGGCAUUAAGGUAUGAAACAAAAGAACUACCAAGAAACUGAAUAAAACUUAUACAACCCAAAGCAUAGAUAUCUAGAGAACCAUUUUCGACAAUAUUAUCUGUAAAGAUAAAAGAAUGAAAGAUUCGAAUCGGUACCUUAAAUUUCGUGACAACACUUUGUUUCUGUGUAUCCAUUACUGAAUGCCAUGACAGACUAGAUUUAUUCUGAGAAUCAGCAACCAUGACAGAGGCAAAAUGUUUUGGAAGUUCACAUUUACAUGAUGAUAGUAGUUGGAUUGACUCAGAGUGCAAUGGAUCUCUGUUCUUCUCCAGGAACCCAGCUGUAUCAUAGGUCACCUGGAAUCAAAAUCAGGACUGUUACCAUGUUGCAUAUAGGAAAGCCUCAACAGUAGAUUAUUAUAACCAACAACUGAAUGGGCAAGCUUGCAGAUCUGGAGGAUGCUGGAGAUUAGAAAUAGCUUAAAGAUAAAACAAGACGAGGAUUGACCAACCUCCCCUGCAUAAUGGCAAAUCUCAAAUGUGCCUUCUUUUUCACCCUUGAAGCAAGAGUUACCACUUAAUUGCUGCUUAAGCUUGUUAGCAAAGGAAAAGUCUGUUGCCUUUGGGAAAGUAGACUCUUCAUCCAAUAAUGACAGUAGCCCUAGAGGUUUCUGCAAUGUAACAAAAAGGUGAGUACAGUAGUACAUAUAAAGAUUUUACAAAUUUAAAUAGUAAAGCUUAUAAUAUAUGACAUGAUAUCAUGAUAAUGGCACAUUUUUCCUCAGUGGUUCCACAAACAUUAAUAAUUACAGUCACUUUCUGAUCUAUGUUCUCUUAUAGUCUUAUCCAUAGAACAAAACAUGGAGUAACUCCACUCAAGGAUAUUCCCAUCUGUUCCAACUUUUGUUCCUCAUUUUAUAUAGGGAGGUGCUCAUUUCUGCUGUAAUAAGCUCAAAAACUAAGGCAUUCUAGUAACUUCGGCAUAACUGAAAAAGGCAAGGCACAACAUAUUUGCUGAUCAAGAUAAUUAGAAGGGCAAUAACCUGUAUAUAUAUACUACAACUACAAGAAAAGGAUUGGAACCAGAAAGCAUAUGAGAAUGGGGCGAAACAGCCAUAGACGCCUAAAAUGCAGGCUCUGUUUCUUCAGCACAUGCCAGGUAAGCAAUUACAUUACAUGCGUUUAUCGAUAUCAGGCUUAAAUACUAUUUAAACUACACAUAGAAACAGUGAAUAUAUGAUCCAUAUGUAACAGGGUUGCAUGAAAAAAAAUGUUGCAUACCUUCUCAAAGAGGGAUAAGCAAUUAGUGUUAUCCACAAAUUCCACGGGGGUCCAAUCAAUUCCAUCUUCCAAGUAUUCCUGGAAGUGGAACAAAGCCAGCAUAAGCAUAUUGAUACACUGACACCGAAGGUCCAAGGAAAAUAUUGCAGGAGCAGAAACAUGGAAACAUGGGAAGGCACUCUACAAUUUUAUGAAAAGAAAGAUAAUGCUGGCUAAUGGAUCCAAAAGCAAACGAGCAGGUCAUGUGCACAGUGUACCAGAACAAAUAAUCAUAACCAGAGUUCAAACAGAAUUGGAGCUAGUAUCAGGGCCUUGUCGGCACAUUAGAAACCAGUUGCUUCUUGUGGUUUUCUAGGUUUUUGUGUUUUCUAUAAUGUCUUUUUUCUGACUUCUCCUUUGAUAAUCACUAAAUGUCAACAUUUUCACAAAGUCUGGUUUCCAUAACAAUAAGUUGGGUAACUGAUCAAGUGAUCAUAACUAACAACCACUUGGAUUUGGAAUCCUGGAGCCAGCUACAAGACAUCCAAGUGAUUUCUGUCCCUAGAAGCACAGAAUCACUCGAAAGGCAAACCACAAAAUAAAUAAUAUUCAGAUCACAUCGGGCCAUUCAUAUCUAACUCAGGUUAGACAUAGCAACUUCAGCAUGUGACCACAUCCCCUAGUUUUGACAAAUGGCAAGGUUUGCAGGGUCGUUUACAUUUAUAGUACACAACAACGUAACCUCAUACUGUUUUGCAGGAAGAAAUCAUGCAUAAUACAAUUCACAUUCAUUCAUAUCUUUGAUGCUAACAUAAAAAAUGCAAGGAACUGUUAGAAUCUUACCUCCUGUUGUAGUUUGAAAAGAUGUCGGUUGAAGUGCUGCUGAAGCCUCUCAUUGGCAUAAUUUAUACAAAAUUGCUCAAAACCAUUCUUCUGUAAUGGUUUAACCAAAUGUUACAACUGAGCAAAUGCCAAGUAAAUCAGUACUAAACAAAAUGCAAAUAUUCCAUACAUUGAAACACUCGAACCCAUAAAUAUCCAAAAUACUUAUGGAUCUCCACGUAAAUUGCCUCCCUGUUCCAAGUGAGUGGUUAAUUUGCUCAACAAUCCAGUCAAAUAAAUUGGCGUAGAUUGACUUUGCUAGUGCAUCUCUUGCAUCAAUGGCCUACAGAAAUUAGAAAUCUUGAAUAAAUAAAAUUCUAAAAGAUCAAAUCAAUAGAUCCAAGCAGAUAAUUUUUCAGGAUACUAGAUACCUGAGUUAAUGUCAGCUUUUUAGUGAUACUGUCAUUUCCAGCUCGAAUUUUACGAGUGGACAUAGCAGUCACUAGUUGAUUUGCAGUGCAGCCUAAUAGCUUUGCAGCAGUAGACAACCCUGUGAAUACAUUGCAAAAUCAAAUGUCUGCAUUUUGGGGACAUUUUCUACUGGAUAAGUCAAAGAAAUAAAUGGAAAUUAUAUACACCGAGGUUAUACCUUCAUUUGAAACAACUUCCACAUGGUUUUCAUUAUCAAUCACUGAGAAUGAUAUGUUUCCCAGCCACAACACAGCUGCAAGCAUAGAAAAUAAUUUCAUUUGGUCUUCCUUAGAUAUUUGAAUAGUAUCCAAUGCAUCCUGCACAUGAAACAAAGGUUAAAUGACAAAUAAGAUAAAAUACUAGCACAGCUUUGGUUGGAGAAGUUAUUUGGAUUUUCCAGUAACAUUACCACUAGCACUGUGAAUUUUUUUGAAUCGUCAACACCAUCGAUUUUCAAGCAAUUACUCUGCUUCAAGUAAUUGUAGUCACUGGCGCUUUUCAGAAACAAUUUUUCUGCAGUAGCAUGUGCAUGUAACAGAAUUAGGAAGUAAGAAAAUGAGAGGGAAGAUGAAGAUAGUUUCACAGAUCACACUAAAACGUAUAAGAUGUAAUACAGGCAGAAUGUGGCACACAAUUUUCUUGACAGAAGCACCAUUCGAAACAAUUAAAUUGUAAUAUAAGCACAUCAAACAUGAAGGUAUGGUUACUUUUGAGAAGGGGAGGAGCUCCAGAGCACAGUUGAUAGAAAAUAUGGUAAGAUCUCUCUCCUUGUGCCCUUUGAACCACCCUUGACUACAGGGGAAGACAGAGCAUAUUAGAGCUUGCAGAAAUAAUAAAAUACGGAUUUGUUAGCAAUGCAUGAAUUCCCUUACCUUCUCAAGCAGGACUGGCCCAUGGGAUUCAGUAAGAGGUACGUGCACAGCCAAGGAAAUAAGUUAACAGGGAGUUCAAAAAUAUUGUAACUAGCCAUCCAAAUAAUAAAUGGUAGAGAAGGCUUACAGGUCUGGAUUUUAGCGCCACACAUUUUCCCAGUUUCAGAAAAGUGUAUCUCAGUAAGCUUGCCCUACAUCAAAAUCAUCACAGCACCAUAAGAAUAACUCCAGAAAGUUAGCAGCGGCCAGUGUGGCAAUGAUACAGGAAGAUAAACUCACAAAUCGGCUUGAGUUAUGGUUUCGUGAUGUUUUUGCAUUCCCCAAUGCUUCGAGAAUAACAUUGGUCUGAAGAACCUCAGACUCCGUACCACUAGCACCCCCAAGAUCAGACAAAUAUUGCAUUGCAAUUUUAGCCGUCUCAGUUUUUCCUGCUCCACUUUCACCACUGAAAUGUGACAAGGAGCACAGAUAGCAUAUUUAUAAUUUGGUAAUCCAGACCCCCAGGGUUGACGAGAAAGAAGAUAAGUCAUACUAACCUUAUUAUUAUAGAUUGGUUUAUGCCAUCUGCAGAGUAUCAGGAGUUGCAUUAAACGACAGUUCUUGAAAAAUAUUAUAAAUCAUAACUGUUCUUUUUAGCACCUACCUCGCAGCAUCUCAUUAAAUGCCAAAUCAGCAACUGCAUACACAUGUGGGUCAUCGUUGGUCUUUUGCUUGUAUUGCAUGAUUGAAGACUUCCCAUAGAGUGCAACUUCUUUUAAUGGAUUGACAGCAAUCAGAACAGGUCCUGCCUUUGUCUACAAAGUAAAGUAUAUACAAGUGAGGUCCUGCCUUUGCCUAGAGUAAUCCAUAUAUCUACUCUUAUAUAGCACGAUGAAACUAUUGCAUAGUACUUACAUAGAUAAGAUCGCGAGAAUAUCGCAAUUGCAGAUUGUGAAGAACUGAAGGUCCAUUCAAGUAACUCAUCUGGAUUAAAUCAUCCACUCCAUCGAGGAUAUCAGGGUUGGCAGGCAAGAGUUGUUCUGGUGACACCGUCAAAACCUAAGCAAAUAAACAUUAAGAAUUGUACAGGAGUUUCCCCAAAUGAGUAUAUCGCCGUGGCAAUAUAAGACACUCACUUUUCCAUUAGCCAAGAGUAUUUCAGCAUCAUCUCCAGAUAUUGAUUGGAUCUGUCCAAGUUCCCACUUUGCAUUUGGUGAAGAACACCAAACUCGUAGCUUCUGAAAAAACAUCCAAAAACUAUUAGCUCGUAUGUUUCUUCCGAUCACAAUAUAAAUUCAGAUAUAUCAAACUCAAACCAUCAAGGGAUAAGAGAACUAGUUCCUUGACACCUAUACUGCUGUAAGAAACAACACUUUCUGAUUGUCCAGUAUCCAUAUGUCCUAAGUCCUAAGGUUAAAAACAACAGGUUCUUUCACCUGAUAUCCACACUUAAAAGGUUUAAAGUAACAUGACAUGCCAAACUAUUUGUGGAUGUAAUAAACAAACUGAACAAAACAAGUCUGAAGUAUGAGAUCAAGAAAAUCAUUAAAGUGGUCACUAACUGUAUCUUCUGGUAAAUGUGAAACAACAGUAAGUUCAGCAUAACCCAAACAUAACUGCGAUUUCACAUGAAAGUCUUAUUCACAUAUAUCAUAAAAAAACGAUCUUUUCAGCAUAUAACAAAGAUAUGUAAGCAACACUUUGAUCAACAUUUCCUGUUUUGACUUGUGAAUGAAAUUUUGACAUCAUGUUCAGGUUACUUGCAUUUGUUCACAUUGCAAUAACAGAAAUAAUUCUAACAAAUUCCACAAUGAACAAGGCUCUCACCUUCUGUAGAACAUAGUCCAUGAUAUUUGUACAUGCUAGCUUCCCAUUCAUCUUUAUCGCUGCUGAGGAAACAGAGGGGGGAUCCUUACAAACUGCUGUACCCUUCCUCUCCUCAUGAAAUGCAUCAACAUAUGGCGACUCCUCCAGCGCUUCUGUGUUAGGGAACUUCCUCUUAGCCCCAAAGAUGGAGACUUUCACCGGCUUUUCCUCCUUGGCCUCCAGCACAGCAAUCUCCUUAUCAUCAUCUGCCUUCUUGUCAACCACUGCAGCUUCUGUGGCAGUAACUGUUGCCAUUCCAUUCUCGAGCUUAAAGCCAGCAGGCAGUGAUGGCCUUCUGGUGGUGGGCAGCCGGCCACGGCACGUCGGCCGGGCUGGCAAUGUUGGAGGCGCAUCCUUGGGCUGCUCAUCACGCUUCUUCAAAGUCUCAAGCAACACCUCAAGGGAGCUCUUCUGUGUGGCUGCUGCCGGCGCCAUCACGGCGGCCGCAGAGAGCAUCACCACCGGCGAAUCAAAAGGCCACCAGCACAGACCGGUGAUUUAUACCAGGGCUCAAACACCAACUCGCCAAAUCCAAUAGCCGGACAGCACAGGGACCAGAAAUUUCCCCAUUUCGCAUCAAAACGGGCGAUAGCUUCAGAGGAAAUGGCCCCUAACUCGCCAAGGGCUGGAAACUGGCAACCCCCAGACCCCAAAUUCCACACCAGGCUCACAAUUCCUCCAGAAAUCUCUCAAAAAUCCAGGUUCUGAAGCUCAACUAAGCGGCAAUCGCACGCCCAAGGAAAAAUAGCGGCGCUGCCCGCACAAAGGGCUGGGUAAAACCCCCCACCCUAUGCGCGAUUUUUGAAGGGGAAAUAGCCGGGCCAAGGUUGGAAUCGGCCGGAGAAGAAAAGGCUGCGGCCGCGAAAGCUGCAAUCUUUGGCCAAAGGAAAGGCGAAAGAACCCGAAACCAAAGCAAAGCCUCUGCCGAAUCAAAGCGCUGGCGUACUAGCAGCAGCAGCAGCACACGCAGGUGGCCACGAAAUCAUCACCAGAGAAACAGGAUAAUUCCCCGAACCCGCACGGCCGCACCGCACACCCCCCUCUGCCCCGCCGCUGCAAGAACCAACAGCGAGCCUGCCCACUCCGAACCGCCGCUCCCCCAAAUCGAAAACGGAAACCCGCAAGAACGAAACCGAGAUUUUUUUUUUUCUUUUCUGGAGGCUUUUUGCUUCUCCCUCACAUUUCAAACCUCUCCGCUCCCCUCGUCCCCAUAUCUCCGUGUCUUUUUCUCCCUGCCCCCCUUGAUCCGUUACUAGGCAGUGCGAAAAAAAAUGUUUAGGACAAAGCAAGCCAAAUGACGCCUGUACCCUCGCGCCCCCUCGCUAAUUACGCCGCGUGGCCAGUGGCGUUUUCGUUAAUCCCGCGGGGAUGGAGGGCUGGUUUCAUGGAUGGGCGUCGCGGGUUGGGGAGGCGCGGUUGGGACCGUUGGAUGCGAGCGGCUGCGGCUGCCGCCUGCCGCUGCCGUUAGAAGGUUUCUCAGUUGAGGUGAGAAGUUACGCAACUACCCCCCAGAGUUACUGCGCUGGCACGUCGUCAUUUUGGGCUCUUUGAAAACGGGAUCUUAUUUGGAUGUUGUUAAUCUUGUGUUGGAUGUUGUGAAAAAAGAAAGAGGUGAUGGAGAUUUUAUAUCCGGAAGGAGAAAAAUCUUUGUGUUGGAGAGAAGCUUCUGUUAGGCAGGUCUCCCUUUUGUUUAUGCCUGUGUGGUAUGGUCAACAGGGAGUCGAGAAAGACCCACGUAUGAUUUUUAGUGGAAUCAUACAAUACAAUUCGGAAUACAUAAAUUUUAUAAAAUUUCAAUACAAUACAAUUUUAGUGGAAUCAGAUUAAUUUUACAGGAAAAUGAAAAAAAAUACUCACGUUCUAAGUAGGACCUAUAAAUUUAUUUCUAUAGUUGAUUUUUUUUUGUUGUGUAAAGGUUUUUUUUUCUGAAAAGUAGUGUUUAGCUGUUUGCCAAUGUUUUUUUUUUGCUUGCUGGUACGUACUUUUGUUGCCAGGCUUUUGUUUAGUGGGGGAGUUUGCAAAGCUCUAUGAGCUAGGAUAGUGUGCGUAGCGUAUGGAUUGCCUAAAUUAAGAAAAAUUUCCGCCAUUCCAUCUCCUUGGGUGAUGAAACCGUCAAGGCGACGCUAGAGUUUGGAUGUAGAAGCUGCUCCCUCUGAUUACAAAUUAUUUUGUAUUUAGCCACUUUUUUUUUACUCCAUCCAUCCGCAUAUGUAUGGACUUUAAUUAAAAAAAAUUGAGGCCAAAUUAAUCAAGAGCGAAUACUAAUCUUUAUGCUACUCUUAAAGCUGCCCGGUCACCUCCUGGCGCAACUAAUAGUGCUCAGGACUGUUCCUAAAUCCUACUGUAAUUUGACUAGUCUAAAUAUGAAAAGUUCUUAUAUUUGUGGACUUUUUCCGCCAGCCAGCGGUGUUAUCAGCCGUACUUUUUCUGCUAGCCAGCAGUGUUUUUUUCUCACAAUAAUAAGUCAAUAAUAAUUUCAGCCAUGACUUUUUACACCAGCGAACAGUAAUGAGUCUAUAUGUCAUUAAACUUGCGAGGACGAAAUGAAAUUUACUAGUGAACUUAGGUCGUCGGGCUUUUCAACCUGUUUUAGCUUAAAAAGAAAUUAAAAUUCAACCAAUAGAGUUUUUCCAUCCAAAACUUUGGUCAAUACAAAUUUCAUGGCACCCUUACUCCUGCUUUUUUAUCUACUGUGGCUUCCAGUUUUUUCACAAAUUACCUUGUCCCUGAUUAUAUUGUGUAGGGUUCGUCCCCCCCCCCCUUCCCAUUUGUGAGACUGCGAUGUCUCUUUCCCACACGACUUACCGCUGCCACAACAUGACCUCUUCCUCGACACGGCUAGCCGAAAGGAGAGGAAGCCCAGGUCUAGAUCAAGGUGGCUCCAGUCGGCGGCUGAUGCGGACGCCGCCACGCCCAGAAGGAGGAGGAGCGCCAUUGCAAGCUUAGCCAUGGAGCGAGGUGACGAAGGAUGCACGCUGACAAAAAAGAUAAAGGAGAAAGAAGUGUGCGGAGGUUGUGAACGGGAAUGUGGCACCUCCUGCAAUCGGCAGACACUUCUUCGAGUGAAUGCCUAAGAGACUUUUGAUAGCGAGUGGCGCUUCUUUAGAUGAGGUCCCCGUCGGAGUGUCACCCUCAGCGGCCUCUUGCUCUUCAUGCAUGACAACUAUUAGAGGAAGAUGAAACACACAAAAAUAAAGUAUAGAAAUAUAUUAUUUAGUGAUUGGCAGGGAGGCACAUAUGACAUGUGAGGUUGUUGGUAGCAUUUUUUUCAUAAGCCACAGUUAUACAACCAAAUGACUUUAGCUUUCUCGCAACCCACAAGUCGGUAGUUUUAUGCAAUCCACGAGCUUGUUUUUUCAAAACCACAACUCAACUAAAUAUGUUCAUAGGUUUUUCAUAUUCUUCUAGAUUUAUAUACUGAGAUUUAGCAAUUUUUACCAUUUUAUUUAUGGUAGAUACAAGAUGUGUAUGAUGACUUCCUUAACUUAAAGACUCGCUAGCUUAGUUUUUUUUUAGGUUUGUGUAAUUCGACAAAGAAAAAAAGAAAGAAAGGUAGGCAGACAGGUUAAGCCUAGUGAACGGGAGAGGUCCUCUAAUUAAAAGCUAUUAAUUACUCUCUCAUCUUAAAUUAUAAGGUAUUUUAAGAAUCUUGAUAAGUCAAAAUAUCUUAAGUUUAAUCAAUUUUAUAUGAUAAAUUAAUAACAUUUAUGAUGUCAACUAAGUAUCAUUAAAUUUUUUAUUAAUUAUAUUUUUUUAUGAUAUACUUAUUUAUUAUCAUAAAUUUUUAUAAUUUUUAAGUUUAAUCAAAUUUAAGAUUCUUUGAUUCUCUAAGAUAUUUAGAAUGUCUUAUAAUCUAAAACGAAGGGAGUAUAAAACUACCUCUAAACCUAAUCGAAGAGCGCUGCUGCCUGCUGCGGGUGUCCACACGACGCCACGGGUGGUACCAGGCAAGCGCUGCGUGCUGGUGCGGCAAAAUUCUCCAGGGCCGCCACCGCCCACCCGGGGUCCGGGGACGGACGACGUACAGGCGUAGCACGAAAAAGUCACGGCCACAGGACGUGGUGACGACUGACGAGGAGCAAGAAGCACGGCCGGUGCCGGAGCAGGAGCACGCGACGGCUACGAACCGAACGGAUAAGGGAUAACGCCACCACGCUGCGAGCGAGGCCGGCCGGAGGCCCCUGGAAACCAUUCUCCGGAGGCCCCUGGAAACCAUUCUUUCUCUUGAUAACUACCGCUGGCAACUGUGGCACGUAGUACCGCUACCAAACGAAGGAAAAACGAGCCCAAACAUACCUGCCGGAUGCCGGCUGCAGUAACGCUGAAAUUCCUGCCGGUUGCAGUACAGUGUUUUUCCCCCCUUUGGUGAAAGCUACCCUCGUGGCCAAUGUCUAGUUCCGAAUUUUUUUUUUUGGAACUGUGGCAUUUUUAUUUUUAUUUGACAAACAUUGUCCAAUUAUAGAGUAACUAGGCUUAAAAGAUUCAUCUCGUAAUUUACAGGUAAACUGUGCAAUUAGUUUUUAUUUUCGUCUAUAUUUAGUACUCCAUAUAUGUGUCACAAGAUUUGAUGUAAUAGAAAAUUUUAAAAAAAAAAUUGGAUUUUAGAGUGAACUAAACAAAGCCUAACUCGUGGUGGCAGCCGGAAAGAUCGAAGCGGAGAACGUGUUGCCCAGGGACCAGGGCAGGGUACACCGUACACGGGGAGUACGAGGGCAAGUGAAACCAGUUCGCUCAUAUGAAAAAUUAUAGUUGAAAGUAUUAUUCACUAAUCUAUUAUGAGAAAAAAAAUAUUGUUGACGGUUAAAAAAACCGACUUAUAAAAUAAGUGAACGAAAAUCUUGUAAUGACCACCGUAUGCAAGCCAGGCCCAUACACUAGCGCUACAUACGGUGGCCGCUAGACCGGCAGGCAGCGGCUGACCAAGCUACUUAUUUAAGCUUAUCAGUGAAAUCUAUUAGUCAUUAAAUAAUAUUUUUCUGUUUACAACAAAUUACUUUUUGUCGUAAUUUAUCGCUCAAACAAACAAGGCCGAGGGUCGCGAUGUGGCAAGGCACGUGGGGUGUGGCAAAGCUGGUGCCACUCCUUCCUUCGCAGCAUGAGACUAUCUCCAACAAUCGUCAUCCAAAAUACAAGACCAAUUUGUCCUUUGUGUAGUGCUACAGAUAAAAAGUUACGUACCUAUUUUUAGUCUUCUCCAACAACAAGACCUAAAAGACAACACUCUCUGCAAAUGGGUCUCGAGGAGAGAGAAUACCCAAAUUUGGGUUAUGCCUCUUCUGAUACCCAAAAUAGGUCUUGUGUAUGGGUACUCUGUUGGAGGCUAUAAGUAUUGUGUUGGAGACCCAUUUUAGGUCCUGUUGGAGACAGCCUGAGUGGAUGAAGAGUAACCGCCGGUUGGAACGGGAACGUGGUUAUUAGGCCUUUAUCUUUGCGUCUCUGCAGCUUUGUUUUUGUUGACAAUGAAAUCUAAACAAGAUCAUAGAGCCAAAGCUAGUACUAGUACUACUAACCGUUCUGGUAAUUGCAAGGGACAGGACAGUUGCUUUUCCUUUUGAUGAGAACAGUGCAGGGAGCAGCUGGGCAAGGGCCGUGCAAUUCUAUAUUCACAGUUCACUUCUUCAGGUAACACGUAAACAGCCUUGUGGUCAUGGAGCAGCGUGGGUCAGUGGUUGCGGCUGGCACUCGGCACUCGCGGCAGCAAGGGGCUUUCGAUUGGCUGCUGGACGACGGGGAAACACAUGAGCGCGGAUCUCCUGGCCGCUGUCGAGGUCCCAUGCCAUGCAGGCCAAAAAGCCCAUGGCAUGCUUGAUGCGUGACCCACCCUCACCCGGAGCCAGAUUCAGUGACUUUAUAGAGCAAAGUUACAAUGUAACUUUGUCUCAAUCUCCACCUUCCAACUUGCAUCUAAUGGCUGCAGAGAUUUUCAGGUCUAUGAGCCGACAGCAGACAGGUCAGCACAAGGCAUUUCAAGCAAAAUCUUCUAUAUAUUUUAGGUCUUGUUUAGUUCUCACCCAAAAACUUUUCACCUUAUUUUAUCAAAUAUUUAGAUACAUACAUAGAGCAUUAAAUUAGAUAAAAAAAUAACUAAUUACAUAGCUUGUAUAUAUUUUGCAAGGCGAAUCUUUUAAGCCGUCCAUGAUUAGGCACUAAUCGCUAUAAUCCAAAAAGUUUUCACUCAUCCCAUCGAAUGUUUAGACACAUGCAUAAAGCAUUAAAUAUAGAUAAAAAAAACUAAUUACAUAGUUUGGUUGAAAAUCACGAGACGAAGCUUAAUUAGUCUAUAAUUAGCCUUAAGUGCUACAGUAACCCACAUGUGCUAAUCACAGAUUAAUUAGGCUUAAAAAAUUUGUCUCGCGAUUUCUAAACGAGUAAUGUAAUUAGUUUUUUUUAUUAGUAUCCGAAUACUACUUCUGGUAUCCUAUGAAACAUUUGAUGUGACACCCAAAAACUUUUCACUCCCGAACUAAACAAGGCCUAAAGAGAAAAAAAGAAUCUUCAUUUUUCCUGUCCGCUAACAUUAGGGAAGCUGCCUUUGAGAUUUUCAGUUUAUUUUAAUUUUUUACAUUUCCCCUCACAGACUUGUUAUCAUUUUUUUCUCAAGUGUGGAAAUAUCGAGAGUUAAUGGGUAAGGUUAGGAGUAAGUUAUUUUUAUUUUUUUACAUUUCCCCUCAUAGACUUGUUAUCAUUUUUUCUCAAGUGUGGAAAUAUCAGGAGUUAAUGGGUAAGGUCAGGAGUAAGUUUUGGAAACACUUGGAGAAGUGGACGGAAUUGUUUUUAGAAUUAUACAGUACAAUAUAGACGUCUACAACACGUAUAUACACUCACCCAAAAAAUCACCAUAGACGUCUUGCUAUUUUACAGAGACGUUGCCUACUACUGAAAGCGUAGCGCCUGGAAUAAAUCCAGGAAAAAUACAAGCACCCGUGCCAAGUCGAGAAUUGAACCUAGGUGGACAAAUUCCACCACAAGGAAUCCAACCAACUGAUCUAAGACCAAAAAAUUAACCAAAGCAAGUUCUACUAAUCAGUGUUGACAAAAAAAAAAGAAAUAAAAAAAUUAAAAACAUACCAAGAUCAAUAAACUUCUAUUCAGGUUCUCAUCAGCCUGUUCGUUUGAGAACGAGCUGCUACUAGUGCGCUAGUCAUUUUUACUUCAAUCUACAAACUGUUAGAAGCUUUUGUUUAAAAUCACUUGCGCUGGCCUGCUGUGAGUGGUCUGCUAUGUGAGCUGAUGAACCUAGAAGUGUCUGCAGCCGUUAGAUGCUACUUGGAGGGUGGAGAUUGAAGUAAAGUUACAUUGUGACUUUGCUCUAUAAAGUCACUGAAUCCGGCUCCGGUCUGUUGGAAGGUGCCGUGCAGUGCAGCAGCUGCUGGAGUCGCUGGCUUGGCCAAUGGUCGUCCAGGUCCAGGAUCCCGGAUACUGUACUGGAGUACGGAGUACAAAAAAAUGUUGAGAGCUAGGGUAACGUAUAGGGAUGACAAGUGAGCUCUCUCUUGAGUCUGGAUACCCAAGCACGAUCACAUAUAGCUUUCUCCUCCCCAGUGCCCCACCGUGGAUACUGGAUGAAUAGGGUGGUCCAGGACAGGCCUCCGAAACCCACACGAGCAAGCCACAAAAUCAGCCUGCUCAUCGAGUGUCAAUGCCUUGUCCAGUCACGCAUUAUGGCCAAACGGUUGGUGGCAUCUAUCAUCAUCUCGCGGAACGUACUAGUGCUCCAACGCCUUUUGCAAACUUUGCUAGUACAGUACUACUACUAGAGGAUUAAUUAACAGUGCGGAGGAUCUGCUGAGCCGCCACUAGCCUGCUUAAUGAUCCAGAGAUCAUACAUAACAUAAUGGCCACCCCCAUGAGCAUGAGCCAUGAUGAGGAAUCCUCUGCCGCUGCGUACCUCGUGUGGGCAAUGCCGCAAUGGAAUGGAAACACACCGAAGUCCAUCGCCGGGCGCCCGUGCGUCUCCAUGGGAUGAUUUGGUGUGGCAAAGCUGGGUCAGGAUCAUGAUGGACGCGGCAUCAUUCCAGGGCCUUGCUUGCAAGUGAGGGCGCACCGGGACUACGGCUACGGCGAGGGCAGGGCAGGGGGACAGCCAACCAACCAACCAACCAACCAACCAGUGCAUCCAAUGCACUCCAUAAUCCUGCUCUGCUUCUAAAAUUCCAUUCAAUGUGGGGCACGUUAUUUUCGACCGGGACCACGCGUAUCUGUUACGUGUACUCGCAACUCCACUUCUACCGUUCUGCUGCCAUCAUACUAGAAAUUUAUACUACCUUCAGUCCUUCAUCGUAGCAGCCUAGCAGUAUGUACCUACCUGUGGCGGAGUGUGGCGGAGUUAAAAAGUUUUAGGAGCUUAGACGAUUUUCAUUGUGCAUGAAUAUUCAUUUAGAAAUAUAUAAUAUUUUUUUACGAUAAAAAAACUUUGUACCUUACAGACGAGCCCAGCCGGCUGCCCAGGUCACGGGGCGGUGGCUCCGCUAGAGUAGGAGUGCUUUUUCCCAGACUGUGGUCAAGGAGCAGUGCUAUUUCACAGCCACAGAGCCAACUCACCAAAUGACAUCCGUGUUGAACUGGACCUGGUUUGUCAGCUUAACUACCUUGGUCUUUUUUUGUAGAAGUCAAUUAAACACCGCUAUAAUUAAAACCAGCCAUGCAUUUCUCCGCGCUAUCGCAGGAUCGGAUGUGCCGGCUUAAGAUGUGAUAUUGCAUAACGUCAAGACACAUUUUCUGAACAACUAAACUAGCUACUCAAGCUUAAGAUGUGAUAUGGUUGACCCAGAGACGAACCAACGUGUCAUCAAAAGGCACGUGUCUUGGGCUCAAGAAUCGACCAAACACAACGCUCUCUAGUCCACAUAAUCUCAGCCUAAAAUACAGCUAUUACGAACAUUUAUCUACAUCUUUUUUUUUGUGACAAAACAUUUCUCUACAUCUAUAGUGGCUCACAAUAAUAAAAGUGCAAGGGACACACCUAUUAAGGAGAAACGCGGUUGUCCUCUCUCCUGACAGACACUUGUUGACCUGAAAAAAAUUCCUGAAACAGUUAUGGUAGAUGACACCCACCUUUAUAUUCUCUCCGUCCAUAUAUAAAAGAAUGUAAUUCUCAUUCUUUGUGAAGUCAAAAUGUCGUUAGAUUAGUCAUAUUAUAUACUUUUUUAUAAUAAAUUUAUUUUUUUUGUCUCCAUCUCUGUCUCUGCUUGUGGAAUAAUCUCUCAAAGGAUCUCCGUCUCAUAUGUCUUAGAACAUAAAUAAUAAUCUAAUAACGGAAUUCACUAUGCGGAGUUGAGGGACGAGGAUCUAUUGAAAUCCCUAGCCAUAUGAGACGAGUUGAUAUGUUCUAAGACAUAUGAGACGAAAGUGGUACUAUUCCUAUUUUAUAAAAAUUUUUGAAACUAAACGACGAGUUGAUAUGUUUCCAAAGGACGACGAAAAACAACAUACUAGAGGAAUAUACCCCCUCCCCUCGUCUGUCUCUGCUUCUACUCACUCGUUUUUACUUGAACUGAUUCAUGUGUGAAUUGUACGUGGAACAAUAAUACUCUGAUGCAAUGCAAGCAAAAUAUCUCAUUCCACUCCCAUGACCGAACGAAAAAGGCCGAGCGCGGCCGUAGUACGCCAAACGGAAACGAACGGGAGCAUGCACCAUCCAGACUUUCAGAGUGGCAGGGGAAACGACAUGAGCCCACACCUCCCCAUCACGCGCCCUGCCGCCGCGGUUUUUUCUGCGCGUGGCCGCUCCGACGACACGACACGGCCGGCCUGGGCUACUUGCUUCGCUUUGCUUUGCCGUUUACGCUUGUCGUGGCCGGCCGGCCGGCUCGUGGCGCCGCCCCGGGAAAGCGCACCACGUUGCGUGCUAUCUGUCCAUCCUCCACCUCCUCGCGCCCGCCGGCGCCUGCAGGUUUGGUGCGCCUGGCCAAUCACGACGCGCCAGUUUCAGUCCCGUCACCGCGAAAGCGACGCCGCGUGCGUGCUCUGUUUGGUGGGAGUGGAGCUGGGACUGGGAGGAAAGCGACGGCAGGCGAUCGUUCACGGGCGAUCGGCCCUGAUCCCUGAUGAGCGCCUGGCGCACUGGAUCGCACCAAGCGGCCGGACGCACGGCGGCUACACGCACACCGGAUGGGAGCUCCCCGCUGAGGGAGGCACGCCCGCCUCCGCCGGAGCAGGCGAUGGUGGUGGCGAGGAGUGAUUGGGACGCAUGCAUGCCUGGGUUUGUCAUUCGCCAGUGGGCAGUGAUCCGUCCGUAGGACUUGGUCGUCGUCGAUGGACACCUUUAUGGCUUACUAUUACUACCAGUAUUUGGUUGUUCUGCAUUUGUUUCUUUCUUCCAUUUUUCUGGUGACGGCGUGACGCUUUGACGAAAGAUCUGCGCCGCGACGUCUGGAGCGCUGGGAAUUCAGCAGGGGCGAUUUUUCAAUUUUGUUGUGACGUGGGUUGGAGCUCCGACGUGGCGGCCGUGCAGUCAGGACGUUUGACUUCGGGAUGGCAGGCCGACCGGCCGGCUUACGCUUGGCUGAGUUGCAUGCAUGAUUGCCGAUUGGUCACAUGCAUGCUGUAGAGCACAAGAUAAAAGUUCGGCCACCAACUGUCAAUUCUUUUUUAGUUCGUAAAAAUUUUCAAGAUUUUCCGUCAUAUCGAAUCUUUGGUCGCAUGCAUGAAGCAUUAAAUAUAGACAAAAAUAAAAACUAAUUGCACAAUUUACCUGUAAUUUGUGAGAUGAAUCUUUUGAAUCUAGUUACUCCGUAAUUAGACAAUGUUUGUCAAAUAAAAACGAAAUGCUACAAUAGCCAAAAACCAAAUUUUUUACGAACUAAACAAUAUGUUGCCAGCCAAAUCGUCUAGUGAGGCAUUUACGUGCCUGCCUAGUGGUUGGUUCUUGACUUCAUGUGUAAGCUUCGGCUCCACCAACUUGUUACAUGAGAAAUUGAGAAAUUGUGUAAGGCCUUGUUUAGUUCCUAAAAUUUUUCAAAAUUUCCCGUCACAUCGAAUCUUGCGGCACAUGCAUGAAGUAUUAAAUAUAGACGAAAACAAAAACUAAUUAUGCAGUUUGCCUGUAAAUCGCGAGAUGAAUCUUUUGACCCUAGUUAGUCUAUGAUUGGACAAUAUUUGUCACAAACAAACGAAAGUGCUACAGUAACGAAAUCCAAAAAUUUCCACAAACUGAACCAGGCCUAAGGGUGGUUUCAUUGCCGAGGACGAAUCCAAGUUCAGGCCUUGUUUAGUUCGCAAAAAUUUUCAAGAUUCCCCGUCACAUCAAAUCUUUGGUCGCAUGCAUGGAGUAUUAAAUAUAUAUAAAAAUAAAAACUAAUUAUACAAUUUAUCUGUAAUUUGUGAGAUGAAUCUUUUAAGCCUAGUUACUCCAUGAUUGGACAAUGUUUGUCAAAUAAAAACAAAGUGCUACAGUAGCCAAAAAUCCAAGUUUUUGCCAACUGAACAAGGCCUCAGCACUUGUGUAGAUGUGAGCCUUUUUUUCGUUGCAAUGAAACAAAAGAAGAGAAGCUCGUGUACUGUGCAUUGUCGAUACAUUUGAUCUGAAAGCAGGUUUUUUAGGAAAGAACAGUAAACAAAAGAGAGGGAAAAAAUAAUCAAAUGGCUUGGUUCAUAAUUUGUAGUUGGCCCAGAUAUGGAAUGUAACAAGGGCCCAUCAAAAUGCAGCUGAUUCUUCACAACGCCCAGCCCAAGUUGUCGUGUGUAUUUCCGGCUUCCAACACUUCCGGCCUCCGAGUUCGAGAUCACCACCAAAGCGCCGAGAAACCCUAGCCCCUAGGACCUGGACCAGCAGGGCGCGCCGCGCAGCCAUGGCGAAGAACCGGAACAAGAAGAACAAGGCCAAGAAGAGCGGCGGCGCCGCCGCCAUGGACACCUCUGAGGGUGGCCCCGCUACAUCCACCGCCACGGACGCCCCACAACGUAGUUCCCCCCUGUCAAUUUUUUCUUUUAUUUUUGGCUUCCGUUCAUGAUUUUUAUCCUUUGCCUGGCAGCUAUGGAUACGUCCGAGGGAAAGCAGCCAUCGUCGGUCACCGCGGCGCUCGGUUCGAUCAACAAGUAAGCUAAAAAAUUGCAGUGCAGCAAUUACUAUUACUUUUAUAUAAUUAUAUAUGUGUGCACAGAGGCUCGUUCUGUCAAUUAUUAUUAUGAAGGACCUUCAAUAAUCUUCCGUAUUAUUGUGACAUUGUUUUUGGUGGAACACUGGAAGUCAAUCCAACAACAAUAAUAUGUGAUAUGGGUUGAUAUGCUCGGCAUGCUGUUUUUGUUAGCUAGGUUGCUUUGGUAGGUAGGGAAACCUUUAUCAGCCGUACUUUUUCUAUCAGUCAGCAGUGUUUUUCUCUCACAAUAUAUCAGACAACAGUAAUUUCAGACAUGACUUUUCAGACCUGGGACUUCUCUUGUGAUGAUCUCUCUAUGUAUGAUUGUGUGUCAACUGUCACGGACACAAUUGAGUGCCACAAGGGGCACAUGGGCAAAGUGUUGGAAAAUUUGAGGUGUUUUCACAUAAUUUUGAUUUCGAAUUUGGAAGUCAAAUUUGAAUUAGAAGGAAGUUUACAGAAGAAAGGAAAAGAAAAAUGAAAAAAAAGGAAUAAGGGGAGCAUUUGCUGCUAGGCCACUUGAAGGCCCAAGGCCGAGCGGACCAUCUGCUUGCCUGCUCUGAAGGUGCCUUAGCCCUUCCUCGUUCCUCGUGAAGGAACACAGUGGCUGCAGCUCGUGUCUAUGUUCUAACCGGUUGCUGGCUGUGGUCAGUGGAGAGCUUACCCACCUUCGCCCUAUGCGGCACUUCUGAACAAUGGGCGUGGAGUGGCAUGCUAUCAAAAUGUGAAAUCUUGGCAAUCAAAGCACAGAAACCUCCCCAUUGCCCACCUGCUAUCCAUCUUCCUGUACAGUGAUGCUUCAGUGCUAGGCUGCUAGCCCUGUUCGUAUUUGUCUCCUCGUUCUGCACAUGGCGCCUAGUGACUGUAUGUUUGUGACUGUGCAAAAGCACAAGAGGGCUGUGGCGUGCUUGUGUCCUGGUUAGAUCAGUAUGGUUUGUGCCGGUCUCAUGUGAUCCCUGUGACUCGGUGGUGGUGCUCAGCCAUGGUGUUAUCUUGGUGAGCUUGCAGCCUUAAGCAGUUGUUGUUUUGUGACUGCGCAUAGCUGAGGCAUGGUGACAGAGCUCCAACAGCUCACUGGCGUGAGUGAUGUUGUGCAUGCAUUGUGCCGUGCUUGUGUCGUGCAGGGAUAGGUGACCUCUGGUUGGCACACAGCCACCUUGCACAGGAAACACAAUGUCCAUACUGUGGUUGUGAUAACUGCUGGCACAAAAGCACCAGGGCCACACCCACAUGCACAGCACAGCAUGAGCUUGCCAGCACAAUACCAGUGAGCUGCUGAGCUUCUGCCACACAGCCCAAAGUAGCACAGGGAUAGCAGCGGCACCGGAUGACAGGGAGAUGUGGAGAUCUGGUGGAGUCGUGGAGAGUUGUGUGUUCUGAUGGAGAAGGGAGACUCUGCUCUGUGUUUGAAGCCUCUCUGGUAGGGUUUCAUAGCCAGCUGAUCCGUGCCCAUUGUGGAGAUAUGCCACAGAUGGUGGAGGCAGGAGCUGCUGCAGCUGCUGCCUUCCUUCAUGAGGUAAGGCAUGGGUGGAGCAGGCAGCAGCUGGCUAACUUGCCCCAAACAUUGAAGUGGCCCAGCGCCAGCCUCCCCAUAUUGUCCUUUUUUUUCUGGAAAUUUCCUUGUAACCCAAAUUUGACUUACAUUUAUAAAUUUGAAACCCCUCAGGUUUUCCAACAUUAGAUACCUCCUCAAUUUUAUGUCAAAAAUACACUUUAGCCACGAAUAGUUUCUCAAUGUGUCAUUACCUUGAUUUAUAUGCCAAAUUGUAUGUGCACUUCAUGCAUGCUGUUCCAAAUGACUAGGAAAUUGUUUGUGCAAUGCACCUAUGGAUGUGAGGAUUGUGGAUUUUUCAAACAUAUUGCUCUGACAGUCUGACUUGGCUUGUGAAAUGUGUUAGUAUAAUAUGCUCCAUUAAUUGACAUAAAACAGCAACAUCUGGUUUGGAUAUCAUUCUUAUGUGUUAUGUGGAUUAUUUAAAAAAAUUCAACUGAUUGGAAGUUGUUGAGAAAAGUCAAAGUUUUCAGAAGUCAACAAAUGGAAAAUAAUUGGCAUCCAUGGUAGUUGUGGAGGACUUGUUUAGUAGUUAUGACUGAAAGAUCAUAACUACAAGUAAACUGUACACAUGUGGGUACACCUCUUUUGUAGCCCAAACCUGCUGCAUCUACCAAAUACUUAUCAGUGUCUCAUGAGGCUUCACAGCUCAGUUUGUAGCAUGGAAGCUUGCACUCAAGUUGGGUUAACUUGACUUUCUGUUUUGACCUAAUUAGCAUCUAUAGUUCACUAGUAGAUUCCUGAGGAUCAACAAAGUUUUUUUUUCUAUGGCCAUGUAAGGUUGAGCUGUAGUCAACUGCCUAAAUGCUUCAUACAUUAGAUAUUAUAGGCUACUGAGAGUGAAUUACUGAAGUUACUGCUCUCCUAUCCCCUUCAGUAACUACAUUUGAAAGUUUUAUUAUAGGACACUAAAAGUGAAUAUUUAAGGAAUUCCCUAAAAAGCUUGUCCCUUCUGGUAUAUGCUUAGCUGUGUUCCCUGAAAUUUGCGUUGUUGUGGACUAGAUACAUGUCCUCAGUCUGUUCUUUGUCUCUUUAAGCAGGAAAAUAAAAAAGGGAGUGCAUAUGAAAAGGUCACAGAAUGCUAGGAAAAUGAAAGCAAUUGCUAGGGCUGUAUCAAAGAAUGAAAAGUCUGAGGAGAAGAUCCAGAAAGCAAAAAGCAAGAAGACAAGAGUUCAGUCUGCCAAGUCUUUGUAUGACUAAAUAUUUUGCACUAAGCAGAAUUUUGUGUACCCGUAUAUUUCUAGCUUGUAGAGCAACUGAAUCUGUGCUUGACAAAGAAAUGAAAACAUGCUUUGCUUACAAAUCUUGCUGUCAGUUUCUUUACAAGAUUCGGGAAUUGCCUUCUGCACUACCUGGUGAUAGUAUCAUAUUAAGGUUUGAUUCUUUGAUAUUGACCUCAGGAUAUAGUGACCAAGUGUGGUCUAUUCUAAAAUUCUGGUGCCCUUUGCUGAAAUGGCAACAUAUUUUCACUCAGUCCUGUUAAAAGUAUUUACAGUGUUCAAGGUUCUUUCUUAUGUGUACUCAUGCAAGGCUCCUCUGUAACCGUAGGCAAUCUUGUGGAGUUUCACCAUUUUGCUAUUUCUUUGAGCCUGAACCGAAGUUGUAGGGAAGGAUCUGGUGCUUACUGGACCGAAGUCGUAAGGAUGUGUAAGCAUGCUGCUGAUGACAGGGUUAUACCAUGUUCUAUCUGAUGGAGAAUCAAUAUGGUCGUAGGUACAUACGGAUUUAUUGCAAGAUGUGUUUCCUGGAAUGGGCUUUUUGCGAUAAUAAAAAGGUAAUGCAAAUCUCCUUUUCUUCCCUUCCUGGAAUGGCUUUUUUGCGAUGAAAAGGUCAAGCAUAAAUACGGCUUUAUGGCAAGAUAUGUUUCGUGGAAUGGCUAUUUUGUGAUAAUAAAAAGGUAAUGCAAAUCUCCUUUUCUUCCUGGAAUGGCUUUUUUGCGAUGAAAAGGUCAAGCAAAUCUCCAUUUGUUCCCUUUUCGUUUCGGCCAAGAACCCAAACAAACUCCAAAGGCCUUUUUCUUGAAACCUUUGAAGAUUUAUAUCUGCAUCUGGGAUGUUCAUAGGGCGUGGAAUACUGGAAUGGUCCUUGCUGUGUGGUCCGUUCUACUAAUUUGGUAGUGGUACUCAUUUGCUAUGCCGAUAGUACUCAUUUGUGUUAUGCCACGUGCUGUUGGCUACGCCAUUUGUAUGUAUGUUUAUAAUACUGUUGUCCUGUUCUGAUUGGCUAUCCAUCUUGUUGGCUGAGGAGAAAAUGGAGUUCAGGUCCGGUUCUAAUGCAAGAUAGAAACUGUCUGUAUAGGGCAUAGGCUCCACUCCUGAGUUCGGAGCUCCAAGUCAUCUGUUUUGACAAGCUUUAUGCCCUCUGUAUCUGAAGGACAAAAAAGAAGUCGUACGUUUUGACAAGCUCAGGUCCCAUUUUAGGGGCAGAAAUAUUUAUACAGUAUAUAUGUAACUCAAACGAUUGAAAGGUCAAUUCUUGCCCACUCCCUUUGAUCUAAGAUAUAUAAAAUAAACGUCAGCCCAUAUGCGAUAGUUUGGUCAAUAUUCGAUGUCCUGCAGAUUAUAUAACUCACCUUCUCUGAUGUCAUUGAUGGUUUUUUUAAAAAAAGUGUCCCCUUACUUCAAUCUGUGUCCUUUUCGGUGUGGCAAUCGUAGUAGGCUUUAGGCCGUGUUUAGUUGGCGAGGAAAAAAUUUCACGACACUGUAGCACUUUUCGUUUGUUUGUGGUAAUUAUUAUCCAAUCAUGGACUAACUAGGCUCAAAAGAUUCGUUUCGUAAAUUUUAAUCAAACUAUAUAAUUAGUUUUUAUUUUUAUCUAUAUUUAAUACUUUAUGCAUGCGUAUAAAGAUGAUAGUGCCCUAGUCAUAGCGUCGCAAGGAACGGUUGUAAAGCUAGAGGAUUCGUGGAGCAAAAGGUCUUCCAACGUUUGCUCAGCCAUGCGUUUUCACACCCGGGAUCGCGUAUCGAUCGGCCGGCGUAUCCGAGACGCACCGUCGUCUCCUUGCUCCCUUGCGGUUCCGGACCGCACCUCUGCCGUCGUGUUCACCCAGCGCCGUUUUCGUUUGGCAUCAGGGGGAAGAAGCUGUGGUGACAUCGCCGCGUCCCUAUUGACGAAAACGACUUCCUGAUCAUCAAAGGAUUGGUUCUUUCAGUCACCAGUGACACUGACACUGACAUUUUUUUUUCGUUUUCUUUACUUGACAACCACCGCAUUCACGUCCAGUUCCUCGUUUACAAUUUGCUCGCUUGCUUUAAGAGGUAUGCAUCUUGGUUUGUUACGUCAAUUUGUUUCUCUCUAUCGAAAAAAACACAUCUCCACAUUUGCAUCAAGAGCUAACUACAUAAAGAAUAACUUGUUACUUGUUAUGCUUUGUAAAUAUAUGGUACAAUAAAAAAAACACUAGUAGUAAAAUUUUUGUUUUGGAGACCGGUUGAUACCCAAAAGAUCAAAUUUUAUUCUGCAAACAGAGUACAUGGUUCCUCCUCCUUAGGUCUUACUCCCUUCGUUCCAAAUUAUAAGUCAUUCCAAGAAUCUUGGAGAGUCAAAACAUCUUUAAGUUUGACAAAAAAUAUAGAGAAAUAUAAAGAUUUAUGUUAUAAAAUAGGUACACUAUGAAAAUAUAACUAACAAAGAAUCUAAUGAUAUUUGGUUGGUACCAAAAAUAUUAUUAUUUUGCUAUAUAAAUUUGGUCAAAUUUGAAAAACUUUGAUUCUCCAAGAUUCUUGGAAUGACUUAUAAUUUGGGACGGAUGGAGUAUUUGGAUCCUAUGGCAAAACUUUACUCCUACACUUUUAGCUCUUUUUUUACCAUGAGGAUCCAAACGGGUGUGCAAAAGAUGGACAAAUGGGUAAACAUUUACUCUACUAGAGACUCUAAACUAGGCUAAAAGUGCAGCACUCUCUUUCUCUCUCCUCUUCUUUUCAUCUUUUAACACCUUCAGCCCCUAGAUCCAAACACCUUACUUAGGCUAAACUUAAGCACCUUUAGUGCAAAGGGCUAAACUUUUUGCCUAUGGCAAAUGGAGCCAAACACCACCUAAGCGUCUUGACAUAACAAUUCUACGGUCCAGGUGUUAGUGUAUUACAUUAAUUAGUGCCCAUUUAAGCAGGGGAAAUCUUAUACUCUUAUAAAGCAAAAUUUCACUACCUAUUUCUCUCAACAUACAAGCUAUUUAACUACGCAAUCCACUAUCACACACAAUUAAAAUUGAAUAGCUAAUACAAUUGUAAUAUUCACAUCAACAAGUCACCUAUUUCUAUGAACAUGCAAGUUGUCCAACUAGGCAAUACACAUUCUAACAUAUUUAUAUUCCUUCUUCAUACCCGCGGCAACGCGCGGAAAAUCCUCCUAGUAUGAAAGAUUGAAGCAACCAUAAGCCUAGGCGUUCAGUAAACUCGAUUUUUUCGGUUCAGGUGAUUCAAAAUUUGGGUAGUGAAAACUGCUACCCGAUAUUAGUCUAAAAAAACAAUACCUGUAAUUUCGGGUACCCGAUACUUUGGGUUCGGAUUUGGUUAUUCCCGAUUUAACUGAAUUUUCAGAAAACAACAAUUUCAAUAGCAAUUUAUAUAUAAUUUCAGCAGCAAUUUGUAUAGAAUUUCAAUAGCAUUUUGUAGAGAAUAAUAUAUUACGGUCACUUGUUCAAACAAAAAUAAUUAUAUUCUAAUAAAUUGAUAAGUUUUAAUGUUUAACUAACAACACAUGAUAAAUACAAAAAUAUAGACAAAUGUUUGGGUAAUUCGGAUAAAAUUACCUAAAUUACCCAAACUAAUUUCGGGUAAUCAAAAUCGCUCUAGGAUUGGAUACCUCGGGUCUGCGUAAUUCGGGUACGGAUAAUGGUUAUCAGGUAUUUUGCCCGGGCUUAAGCAACCAUUCAUCUGUACUCCGUAUAGGGUGUGGUGAUGUCUUGUCCGAGGCAUUACAAUUUAAUAAACAUUUAAUCACAUUUGAAAUUCUUCACGUAUUUGUAGUAUUUUUUUCUCAUAACAAAUCAGCGAAUAAUACUUUUAGCCAUGACUUUUCUGGCAAACGAACAUGCUCUCAACUUCUAGAAUCCGUACCGAUCAUUUUUUUUAAGUUUGACUAACUUUAUAGAAAAAAGUAAUAACAUCUAUAACAUAAAAUAGACAUCUUAUGAAAAUGUAUUCUAUGAAAAAAAAAAUCUAAUGAUACUAAUUUCAUUCUAUAAACCUUAGUAGUUUUUACUAGAAAUUUGAUAAAAAUUUAAAAAUUUGACUUAGAACAAUUUUAAAAGUUGAUUUUUUAAGAUGACCUAGGAGGGACCGUAUGCCACCUUGUAGUUCUAGCUAGGGAUCUCCUAACAGCCAACAGUCUCUCUCUCAACAGAACUAGUGUGUUGUGUUGUGUGGUUACUAAUUGAAACAAUUUGUGGUCGAUCUUCACUGCAAACCGUUUGUUCACUUAGCUAAUAAGUCAUGAUUAAAAAUAUUAUUCACUGAUUUUUUUAUUGGAGAAUUCAAUAGAUAAACGCAAGCCAACAGGCUAUGCUGGUCAUGUGCUCAAUUAAUAUGCUGGCCAUGCGUGAUUACGGAGUUUAACUGUAGGCUUGCCAUCUAGUAGGUUUGAUGCUGCUUCCUAUGGCGACAGUUGGAGCAUGCCAGCGAGCCCCACGGCUCUGGUGCCUUUGUCUCUACGCCUCUAUAUGCAAAUAGAUUCAACUAUCCAAGAACGUGCUUAGGGCCUACCUUUGUCGAAUUUCACGGGCUCAUGCCCUGUGCCUCCUGUCAUCCUGCCCACUAGUUGAGACUUAUUAAAAGAGAAAUCCGGUUUGUUUAGACACAAUAGUCCGUAUAACGAAGAUGAACUCUGGAUAUUGGCUAUACGUAUUUUGUUGUUGGUAGCUCACGCGUUGUCCAGUUUAAACAUCUAAUUAGCAUAAUGGGACAAUAAUGGGACAGAGAUGUCAUGGCCCUGUUUGGAUCUAACAAGAUUUAGACCUUGUUUAGUUCGUGAAAAUUUUUAGAUUCAGCUACUGUGGCACUUUUCGUUUGUAUUUGAUAACUAUUGUCUAACCAUAGACUAACUAGUCUCAAAAGAUUCACCUCACAAAUUACAUGUAAACUGUGCAAUUAGUUAUUUUUAAUCUAUAAUUAAUGUUCCAUGCAUACAUACAAAGAUUCGAUGUGACGGAGAAUCUUAAAAAAUUUUAGAACUAAACAAGACCUUAUAGUUAGCUGCUAAUAAUUAGCUCACUGGAUCCAAACAUGCUAGCUAAUAGUUUAGGUAAUCGUUAGCUAAAUAAAUUUUUUUGACAAAUUGUUAGCUGAAUACUUAACUAACAACUAUAUAUUUCACUAGUUGGACCAAACAAGCUAAUAGCAGGUAAUAUUAACUGUGGCCUAUUAGAGCAACUCCAAGAGUUCCCACCUCUUAAUCCUUAGUUUUUAGAAAGAUGAGAAAAAAUCUCUCUCCAACAACUCCCAAAACAAUCUCCUAUCUUUUAGGGCUUGGAAAAUCUCCCUCUUUUCGCAUAACAUUGCGCUGUCGAAGCCACGUGAGGAUACGGUGUUCCUAGGUGGAGUCCUUUCCGCGUCUUCUUUUGUCGCGGCUCCCUCCUUCCCGUGCUCCUCCACCGCGACAUUCUCCAUCACUAGUUCCACGAUAGACUCUCGCUAGUUCCAGGGUAGGUGAUUGACGCCACCGUAGACGUAGCGACGAGGUGCGUACUCCAUAGAUGAGGAGACACAGCACGAAGAGUUCUGCCCGCCAAAAAAAAAGAGCCACAAAAAACAAAUGGGACCACAAUUGAUUUUUUUAGAAGUCAAAUAUUAGAAAUUAUUGGAGAUAGCCUUCUUUUUUUCCCCUAAUACCUUUUUAGGAUUUGAAAAACAUUGAACUUUUUAGGAGGAAUAUUUAUAAAACUCUUCAUGCUCUUAGCUAGCUAUUUAUUAGCAGAGAAUUGAUCCAAAACAUAUCCCAAGUCUCACGUGCCACCUAAAAAUGGUCUAGUGAGCCAUCAAUGGCAGUGUGUAAUAUAUAAACUGAGAUGAUGCUAAGCAUAGCAUCUCUUCUGCUGCUACAAAACAAGAUAAUGAAUACUUCAUAAAAUAAAAUAAAAAUUUAGGCACUCUAAAUUUGAUUAUUGGAAGUUAUUUUUCCUACAAAGGGAAGGAAUUCUAAUUUAGAAGACACCCACCACUUUACCUACCAAGAUCCACCCGAAGAAUUCGACGCAGCAUCCUGUUACCUGUACUUCUAGAGGCUUAGCGGUGAUCUAUGAUCUGGAUGGAGAAUAGCCGUCAAUAAAAGUACAAAAUUUGGGAGCAGCCUCCCACAAAUUCCCAAGAUUAUCUGGAUUUCUUUACCAAAACACCAUUAAAAUUCCUACACACUGAACCGUUACAAAUACAACACACCAUACACCACACGUACACACAUAUACAUACUCCACACGACCACACGCAUACUCUCCGUUCUAAAACAGAUGAUGUUAUAGAUAUGUCUAGAUUAAUUUUUUUUAAACUUUAAUUAAAUUUAUAGAAAAUACAUGUAAUAUUUAUAUCUUUAAAUAAAUUUAUUAUAAUAAUAUAUUUAGUGGUCUAUCUAAUAAUACUAAUUAUAUAUUAUAAAUAUUAAUAUAUGUUUAUACACAAGUGUUAUUCUACAUUUUAGGUGUAGAAUACUAUUCUACACCGAACUGUUAUACUAAGUAGAAUUCAAUAUCGUUUAGUAUCCACGUUUCAGUAUUGUUCGGUAUUUCAUGGUCCUGAGUGUAGUAUUAGAUGAUACUAAUGUGGUUCAGUACUGUUCAGUAUUUUUUCUAUUCAGUUUUGACUUAUGGUGUAGAAUACGGCGUAGAAUAGCGCUAUAUAGUGAGUUAAAAUUAAGAAAAGCUAACUUCUCCGCUAGAAGAGCAAAUACGGAGUCCCCAACCAGAAAGGCGCCAACGAGGAUAUAUAUUUAACCGCCCCAACCACGCACCUUUUCUCCUCGCCUCGUCCCCAAACCUCUGCUACCUUCGCUUGGCUUGGCUUCCAACCCCAUCGAUACUUCCGAGCAAGCUACACUACAAGCUUGACCAGCCUCGUGCUUCCAUGGCCGAUCCCCAGAAGCCCCAGGCCGAGGUCCUGACCGAGUCAGUGCGGGUCAACAGCAUCGAGGCGGAGGCCACGCUCAGGGGCGGCGAGCUGGCGUGGCGCCCCGCCGCCGCCGGCGACGGAGAGGGGCAGGAGCGGCGGCUGGAGCUGGAGUCGGAGGUGCUCGGGUGCCGGGUGGACGGGAGGAAGCUCAAAUUCGCGACCUUUGCCGAGACCGGCGGCGGUAAAGGAAAAGGGGGAGGAGGGGAUGGGAAUCGGAGGAGAGGGGAGGUCGUGGUGGAGAUGGAGAACGAUGAUGCCGCGUUGCGGUGGGCGGACGCCAUCAGGGAUCGUUUCGCCUCGCUCGGUAAUCAGUAUCAGCUGUCACUCUGCUAGUUGUAAUUCGACUAUUUCAAUUCUCCUGCAUCCUACUAUUUUUUUUGAAAAAAAAAAUUUCUCCUGCAUCUUGGGAAUUGUGCUUGGCUCGUGAUGUGAUCGAUGUGGUCACACAACGAUUGCUUUUUUUAGUUCAAUCGCGUGGUUGGACUUUUGGCAUUGCCUGGACGCCUGGUUCUUGAUCGGGUAGGCGGCGGUAGUUGCGUGGCGGACUUGAGGAGUUCGUUGACUCGAUUGGAUAGCUGGGAGAGAAAAAAAAAAUCUGCUCCUGAUAGUAAGGGGAAAAAAAUCAAAACAAAACCAGAAGAAUGUCCAGUCGCUUUGGUUCGAUUCAACAAUAAUAGUUUGAAGCAAUUGGUUCUCGAUUGUAAUGGUCGUAUGCGUGAAACCGUGCAGUUGAAUAGCUGUUCUUCUGGGCAUGCCCUGGUCAAAGCGUCAAAUGUACAAAUGUAGUAGCAUGCAAGGUGCCAACAAGUCGAGUCCUACAGAGGUCUGGUCUACUCAAUUGCCACGGUUGACUUCAAAUGGACAUGAUGCUGAUAGUGCACAUCGCACAAAGCCUGCAUUUCAACUAUUAUCACCUCGAACAAGUCAGAAUCGUGUAUGUCUGUCUAAAUGAUACUUUGCAGUAGUAAUGUUAUGCCUGUUCAUGUUAUGCAUAUUUUCUGCAUCCUUUUUUGUUCUUUUGUGAGAUUUGGCUGAAUGUUCCUCUCAGUAUCACCCAUUGCUAUUUAACAUCACCUUUGAAUGUUGCAUUAGCCAUCAUAUUCGUAGGAUGCAAUGGUGUUUUGUGUGUCAACUAACUUAGUUCAUUUCUCCCCUUAAAUUAAUUACAUGGCAUGCCAUUCUAGUUCCUUUUACCAAGUUCUGGGUCAAUCCAAUGACUCAGAAUAUGGGAUACUUGCAUCCCUAGCUAUCAAUGCAAAAUAUCAGUGCUGUCCUUUUUUUGCUCAAUUAGUCAUCAUUGAUAGUGCUGAUCUAGUGCUCUCUCCUGCAUAUUUCUGUUUCAUUUCUAGUUGGUACUAGUUCAUGUUUCUCUAACUCCUUGAGAAAAGCAUAGUAGAUUAACAACUGAAUUAGAACACCAGUUUUACCUACUCAUGGUCCCUUAGGUAUUCCUCCUGCAAUAUUGCUACAGGCCGGCCAAACAAAUUGUUCAUUAUAGUGAACCCUUAUGGUGGAAAGAGAAGCGGACGGAGUAUUUUCCAGAAUGAAGUCCUCCCCCUCAUUGAAGCUUCUGGCGUGCUUUAUACGAUGCAAGGUCUGGUGGUCUAUGUUUAUCCAUCGUAUUUUUGGGAUUGUAAUUGUGGUGCCUGUUACUCUGUAUCUAAUUUCAAAUUGUGAAACAUGAUUAGAAACCAAGCAUCGCCUUCAUGCUCAAGAGAUUGCACAUUCACUUGAUCUUAGGAAGUAUGAUGGCAUCAUUUGUGUUAGUGGAGAUGGUGUGAUGGUAGAGGUUAGCAAAGAACCACAUUUUCCGUAUGUGAAUGCAAUUCUGUGCAAUUUGUUAUGCUCUGAAAAUUUGCUUGUUUUCAGAUAUUUGAGCACUGUUCAUUCUAUUUGCUUGCUUGCUAUUUUUGGUUCUUUCUCUUAUUGUUAUUUUAUUUUGUUUUUAGGUUGUCAAUGGUCUCCUGCAAAGGGAAGACUGGGAAACAGCAAUAAAAGUGCCCCUUGGGAUCAUUCCAGCAGGUACAUUAUCAUAUGGAUGUAAUGAUGCACAUUAGUGAGUAGUACUGUGUCUUAGGUUCAUUUUCAUAUGCAAUCAUUAUAAAAGCCGUUUAACCAAGAUUAGUUAGUUCUAGCUUGUAGCUUUUGCUGUUUUUUUCCAGAUUCUAGCAUUUAUGCACUUUAUUGUCAUUAGUGCUUUGGGCAGACUUUUCAAACAAUAUAAUGUGCAACAGGUACUGGAAAUGGAAUGGCACGGUCUCUACUGCAUGCUGCUGGUGAACCAUUCUCUAUAUCUAAUGCUGUGUUUGCAAUCAUCAGAGGUCCUUUGUCCUUGUUUUUUGCUACCUUUCAUCUAGCAGCCACAUCAUCUCUCUUCAUUAUCUCGUCCAUUCGCUGAUGCAGCUUCUAUCUGUUACACAGGUCAUAAACGUGCACUUGAUGUUACUUCUGUUGUGCAAGGAAAGACAAGGUUCUUUAGUGUCUUAAUGCUUACAUGGGGUAUGCAGCAUACAAUCUCUAUGCUAACUCUUUGAAAACAACAGCUAAUAACAUAGGCCACCUUCCUCAGAGAUUGCUCUGUCACUUUCUCUUUUGCUGCAGUAAAAUUUAAUUGACAAGCCUGAAAAUGAUCUACGAAUUGCAGGUCUGGUGGCUGAUGUUGAUAUUGAAUCAGAGAAGUAUAGGUGGAUGGGAAGUGCUCGCCUUGACUUUUAUGUAUACUUUCUACCCUAAAAGCUUAUAUCAAGUAGUUGUGUUUUUUUUUCGUAUCUGUAAGUUUCUCUCUCUUUUUAUAUUUAAUGGACUUAACAGAGAGGUGCUGCAGAAAUUAGAUGCCCUUUCUGGCUGAUCUUGCACCAGCUUGGCAGCAUCGAGACAGAUGCAUCUCUUGCUUUACUAAGUUCAAAGCUCUAACUGCAGGAAAUUGUUUUUUGAUUAUUGUAUAAACUUAGAUGUGAAUUCAUGCAUUGUAGCCCUAAAAUAAAAUAUCAUGGUUACCAUACCUGAAAAAAAGUGAAUCUUCUGCAAUAUGCUGGUUGAGCUCUAGUACUCAUAAUAGAUGCAGAAGAUAAUGAUAUCAUAUUGCAUAAAUCGCUCUAGCACCUUUGUGGCUUUAUUAUGUUAAUCAUUCUCAGGGUAUUUUUGGAUCUGUAGAAGCUCACAAUGUGCUCUGCCAUGUGCAAUGCAACUUCUUUUCAGCUACUACUCCGCGUGCUGAACCUGCGACGGUACAAUGGGCGCAUCCUUUUUGUUCCAGCACCAGGAUAUGAAGAAGUUGGUGAUCCUGUGGAUCAAACUACCGGUUCCGAAACAAACGGGUUUAGCACGGGCAUUCAAGAAGACGUAGCAACUGACAGUAAUGGUGAAACGCGUGGCUAUGUUGGCCCGUCGGUCAAAGAAUCCGAUCUUAGAUGGAGAUCGCUGAACGGUCCGUUCGUUUCAGUCUGGCUCGGCAAUGUUCCUUUCGCCAGUGAAGAUGCCAUGGCAGCACCAAAAGCAGAGGUCAGUCUCUCGCCGUUUCGUGCUUGGGGAUUCCUCUGUGCUCCAUAGCUUGAUCCGUACUUGUUUCUUGCCAUGCAGUUUGCGGAUGGCUACUUGGAUGCUGCCAUAAUCAAGGAUUGCCCACGGCGGGAUGUUGUCGGCCUUUUGUUCCAGAUGAAGGACGGCGCCUACGUGAACUCGCCAUGCGUGGAGUACUUCAAGGUGCGUUGCUUAGCCCAUGCGUUCUACCCACCAUGUCCCUGAACUCUGUCAUCAAAACAUAACGAGGUGUGCUGGGCUGGGCAACUCUGACGAACGACAGGUGAAGGCGAUCCGGAUCGAGCCGGGCCUGCGCGUGGGCAGCAGCACCAAGGGUGGUAUCAUCGACUCGGACGGGGAGGUGCUUGCGAGGGGCGAUGAUGGGUCCCACUCCCGCGCCGGCGACGAGCCGGGGCACCUGAUGGCGUACGGCCCGCCCAUCCAGCUGACGGUGGACCAGGGGCUGGCCACCAUCUUCUCCCCGAGAUGACGAUUCUUCUCCCUGUUCUCCACUACACUACUGUCUGCGAGUAAUUUCCUUCGUUUGUAGAAUCAUGUGCUUCUACUGUAUAUGUAAAUAUACUCACACCCCACUCCAGUGGAUGAGCAAUGAGCCGAGAGGGACGGAUCCUGGAUCUCCGUCGAUAAAUUGUUUUCUUUUCACGGCCCCAGCCCACAUGGCUGCCGCUUUUAGUGCUGGCGCGAGAAAUGAGAAGUGGGCAGUUCAUAAUCUUUUUUUUUAUUGUUGGCCGUGUUGUUGAUUGUCACUUGUACAAACAGUUGGACUGUUUUCCUGCAAACUUGUGCUUCCAUCUAAAAAGACCUUGACACUCUAGUUUAAGUCGAACUAUCUUAAUUAAUUUUGAUCAAGUCUAUAUAAAGAACCAAUGUUUAUAUCGAGAAAUAAGUAUCACUAAAUUUAUCAUUAAACAUAUUCUUAGAAAUACCUAUUUAAUGUCAUGCGUAUUGACAAUCUUCUAUAAAUUUGGUCAAAUGGUAAAUAACUUUGAUGACUUGAAAUGAUUUUUUUAAAAAAGGGAUACUACUACCUCCGCCCAUAAUUUUUUUGGACUAACUUGGAAAAUAUUAUUAAUAAUUGUAUAUGUAAUGAUACAUAUUGCACGUCAUAAAUAGUAGUAAAUUUUUAAUUAUAUCUUCUCGCCUUCUGAGUGUUGGUUGUCUAUCUGGCUAUCUAUGUUGUAGUGUGCUAUAGUUGGAGUUCGUGGCAGAGGAUGAGACCAUCAACAUCGUUUCCAACCUAAACGCCUUCGACAUGAUCAGCAUGCAUAUGCUGAUCAACACUAAUUCCUAUCUCUUUCAACUCUCGAUGCCCCCACCUAUUAUUAGCCUCAUACCGCUACCACCGUCUUUUGUAUAAGCUUUGUCUAUGCACACUUAUAUCCAAUUCAAUCGAUCUGUGUUGUGGUGAACUGGGGUACAACUAAACUAAGGGCGUGAGCUACGGAAAAACUGUUACGAGCUGUGUGAUGUAAAAAUGUUGUAAGCUAUUUGGUUGAAACAAUUACAAAACCUACCCACUAUCUUUAUUUAUCUUGAAAUAACUAUAAAGCAUCCUGUAUUUUUCACUCAUUUGUGAAAAUUAAAAACUGAAAGCCAAAAUCAGCACCCAACUAAGUUAAGAAAAUUGUACUACUCGAAAGGUGAGUAUGUUUCUAGAAAAUCAGCUUCAGAUUCCACCUAUUUUGUUGGUGUUCUGUUUUUAGAGGUAGAAAUAUUUUUCAAAAGUUGGACUAAACACAACAUAAAUUCUACUCUAGUCUCUUCCAAAACAUAUGAAAUGAUUUAAAUCUUAUACGAGUUUCCAACGAGCCCGUACGGGGAUUUUGGACCCUUCUUCCGACGACAGAUUCCCCACUACCGUUUGGCUCGCCGUCGCGAUCAAGAAGCCUAGCAGUGCACCGUCCUUCACAUAUUUUUUUUUCUUUUGAUUUCAAAAAAGGAAGCGCCGUUUCCCGAACGAAGAAAAAGAUAAGGUAUGGAACGAGUGACCGCGCGAGGCAGCGCGGGUGGAGUGGGCCCCAGGGCAGGGUAGCCGCCAAGGCAGGGCCGUCCGUAGGCGCUACGAAAGCUGGAGGAGUUCCUGUUCGCAUGAUGACAAUCGCACGGCCACGGCAAACCCUAGCCGCCGGGCAGGUCGGUCCCCGCGCGGGGGGCGGCGGCGCGGGGGGCGCGCUAUAUAAACAGAGCCCUUCAUCCGAUGCCUCCAACCCAUCUGGCGACCUCGAUCCCCUCCCCUGUUGGUUCUGUCUGUUGACUUCCCCCCAUCGAGGUAAAGUACUCGCUCGAUUCCUCUUCCGUCCUCCGAUCCGGGCGGGGUGCUUGAUUUGUUAUCAUUCACGGUUCUGAUUCAAUUGUUUCUAUCAAGUUUUGUCCGAAUUCUUUGAUGCUCGAUUCAUUAUUAGUCUUCAAAUUUCUCUGAAUUGUUCCCUAGCUUUUAUCCUCCACGCAUAUGUACUAGUAUACUAGCAGAAUUGUUCCAUAGCUUUUGUCCUCCAUGCAUAUACUAGUAGUACCCAAAAUCUUGUGCUGGCCGAUCGCUCUUGUCCCGCAGCAAUCAAUCGUUUUUCUUUCUUUUACUUUUCUGAUAAUAAAGCAGAUAGAUCAAAUCAAAUAGUUAUGAUACACAUAAUAUAUAUCAUGGCAUCAUCCACACUUGAUUAAAUCCAAAACUGGUAUACACAUAAUAUAUAUCAUGGCAUCAUCCACACUUGAUUAAAUCCAAAACUGGUACUGGAGAUGCGACUAGUGUGCCCAUUGUCUAAUGGAAAAGACAGAGGGUCUCGUCUCCUAUCUCAUCGGAAGGGGCCGGGCCUUCUGAUAUAGGUUCGAAUCCUAUUGGGUGCUUCUAUUCUAGUUUCUGCAUCUCCAGUUUAAUUUGAUCCACUGCCAGGUCAGAUUGCCACCACUCACUCACAUAACCUGCUUAUAUCUGUUACUGUUUUUGUUGCUGUAUGUUUCUUUAUAGUAUAUUCAUUUGGCAAUUGUAUUGAAUAAUCAGGUCGGUUGCUAUGAAUUACUAUGGAUGAAUACUGACUUCAGGGUCUCUGUUUUGUCUCUGUUUUCCUGAUCACUUUAUUCUAAAUAAAAGAACAAUUAAUCUAGCAGUCUGCUUAUGUAUAUAUGCUUCUAAUUUACUGCUAAAAAAUCAAUCUAUCAACUAGUAUUUUUGUGUGACUGCGUUCUCUAUGUAUCCUUCUGCUGAUGUUUGUGAAUACAGCUAGCUAGUCAGCUGGUCCCGUUGCCAUGGGGAAGGAGAAGGUUCACAUCAACAUUGUGGUCAUUGGUCAUGUUGACUCCGGCAAGUCCACCACCACCGGCCACCUCAUCUACAAGCUUGGAGGCAUCGACAAGCGUGUCAUCGAGAGGUUUGAGAAGGAGGCUGCCGAGAUGAACAAGAGGUCCUUCAAGUACGCCUGGGUGCUUGACAAGCUCAAGGCCGAGCGCGAGAGGGGCAUCACCAUUGACAUUGCCCUGUGGAAGUUUGAGACCACCAAGUACUACUGCACUGUGAUCGACGCUCCUGGGCACCGUGACUUCAUCAAGAACAUGAUCACCGGCACCUCCCAGGCUGAUUGUGCGGUGCUCAUCAUUGACUCCACCACUGGUGGCUUUGAGGCUGGUAUCUCCAAGGACGGCCAGACCCGUGAGCACGCACUCCUUGCUUUCACUCUUGGUGUCAGACAGAUGAUCUGCUGCUGCAACAAGGUAAAAAUCUGAAAGUUUGAUUGAUGCAUUUUAUCUGCCGAUUUUUGCACAUGUCUAGUAUAUACGUAAUGAAAGCUAAUAACUAUCUGUUAUAUACUGCAAUAUUAUCUGUUAAUAAUUAUCUGUGUAUACUGCAAAUUAACUGAACUACUGCUAAAUCAGAUGGAUGCCACCACCCCCAAGUACUCCAAGGCUCGGUACGACGAGAUCGUCAAGGAAGUGGGUUCCUACCUCAAGAAGGUGGGGUACAACCCGGACAAGAUCCCCUUCGUGCCCAUCUCUGGGUUCGAGGGUGACAACAUGAUCGAGAGGUCUACGAACCUGGACUGGUACAAGGGCCCCACCCUCCUUGAGGCGCUGGACCAGAUUAACGAGCCCAAGCGGCCCUCGGACAAGCCCCUGCGCCUUCCCCUGCAGGACGUGUACAAGAUCGGCGGCAUCGGCACCGUCCCGGUGGGCCGUGUGGAGACCGGCCUCAUUAAGCCCGGCAUGGUGGUCACCUUUGGCCCCACGGGCCUGACGACGGAGGUCAAGUCGGUGGAGAUGCACCACGAGUCGAUGCAGGAGGCGCUUCCCGGCGACAACGUCGGCUUCAACGUCAAGAACGUGGCGGUCAAGGACCUGAAGCGUGGCUACGUGGCCUCCAACUCCAAGGACGACCCCGCCAAGGAGGCUGCCAGCUUCACCGCGCAGGUGAUCAUCAUGAACCACCCCGGGCAGAUCGGCAACGGCUACGCCCCGGUGCUGGACUGCCACACCUCCCACAUCGCCGUCAAGUUCUCGGAGCUGCUCACCAAGAUCGACCGGCGGUCGGGCAAGGAGCUGGAGAGCGCCCCCAAGUUCCUUAAGAAUGGUGAUGCCGGCUUCGUCAAGAUGAUCCCCACAAAGCCCAUGGUGGUGGAGACCUUCUCGGAGUAUCCUCCACUGGGGCGCUUCGCUGUUCGUGACAUGAGGCAGACGGUUGCGGUCGGUGUGAUAAAGAGCGUGGAGAAGAAGGACCCGACGGGAGCCAAGGUGACCAAGGCGGCUGCCAAGAAGAAAUGAUGAUGAUCCUGCAUAUCCAUGGUUCCUGGUUUCUUGCUGGUUGGAUUAUAUACAUGUCAAAUAAGUGUCCCUAUUUUGUUGGGUGGUGCUAGUAGUAGUUACAAAAGAACAAUUUGAUGGUUCAGUGUCUUUACAGUAUGUGUCGACGGUUGUGUUCGUGAUUGCCUACCAUUAUAAUAUGCCUACCAUUAUAAUAGUAUUUAUCAGUGACAUGUUUGAUGUUUCUAUGAGGCGUGCCAUGUGCAGAUGCCGAUUGCUUGCCUUUUGGCUAAUUGGGCUAAUGGCUACACAUGAACGCCCAGCAGUUAACCUGUUGUGUGUGUUGUGCUUGGUACUCAGCAAGGCGUACUUUUUCUGCCAAGUAUUUUUAGUCACAUUCAUCGAUUAGUACAUCUACUCAUCUCAUCUCGUGUAUGUCCGUGAUGAAGUCUUCACUCUUCAGCUUGGGUACAAGUUAACUUAUAAGUUGUAUAAUAGUUAUUUUUUAUUUAUCAUAUUUUAAUUAUUUGCCAAGUAUUUGUUAUGGGAAUACCAUUCUCUGCUGCACUGCAAGUCUGCACCCUCCUCCCUAUUGUUCGUCCUCGCCGCCCACCAUCUACCACGCGCAUCCAGCAGCAGCACCGCGGAGGGCUCGUGGCGGCGACGCGUCUCUGCCUCCCGCGCGUCGAAGAAGGUGCCGGUCUUCCACGCUCAUCCAGCGGCACCGACGGGCGCGGCGGCGGCGCGCCUCCGCCUCCCUCGCGUCGAAGGCGGCGCCGAUGUGAUAUGCCUGUCUAAUCUGAUGCCUGUUCAUUUCAUGCAAUGCAGCUGAUGGCAGUAGUAAUGUUAUGCUUACCUGCUCUGUAGGCCCAUUUUUUUUUUCUUUUGUGAGAUUUGGUUGAAUGUUCCUUUCAGUGUCACCGUUGCCAUUUAACAGCACCCUUGAGAGUUUCAUUGGCUAUCAAUUAGGAUGCAAAUGGGUACCCAAUGGUGUUUUAUGUGUCAGCUAAUUUCAUUUUUCUCUCCAAAAUUAAUUACGUGGCAUGCCAUUCUAGUUCAUUUUAUCAAGUUUUGGGUCGAUCCAACGACUAAAAACAUGACUUGCAUCCCUAGCUAUCAAUGUAAAAUAUCUGAGGACCUUUUCUGUUCAUUUAUUUAUCAUUGACAGUGCCUCUUUUGUUCUGCAUAUUUCUGUACUAGUUCAAGCUUCUCUAACUGCUUUAGAAAAGCAUACUAAAUUAACAACUGAAUUAGAAACAAUAGUUUUACCUACUCAUGGUCCUUUAGGUAUUCUUCCUGCAACAUUGUCACAUGCCGGCCAAAGAGAUUGUUUAUUACAGUGAACCCUUAGGCGGAAACGGAAGCGGACAGAGUAUUUUCCAGAAUGAAGUCCUCCCUCUCACUGAAGCUGCUGGUGUGCUUUAUACGAUGCUAGGUUUGGUGGUCUAUGUUUAUUCAUCGUGUUUUUGGAAUUAUAAUUGUGAUGCCUGUUGCUCUGUAUCUAAUUUCAAAUUGUGAAACAUGUUUAGAAACCAAGCAUUGCCUUAAUGCUCAAGAGAUUGCACAUUCACUUGAUCUUAGAAAGUAUGAUGGCGUCAUUUGUGUCAGUGGAGAUGGUCUGUUGGUUGAGGUUAGCAAAGAACAACGUUUUCCGUAUGCGAAUGCAAUUCUAUGCAAGUUGUUACACUCUGAAAAUUCUCAUGUUUUCAGAUAUUUGAGAACUGUUGAUUUUUAUUUGCUUGCUUGCUAUAUUUUGGUUCUUUCUCUUAUUGUUAUUUUGUUUCGUUUUUAGGUUGUCAAUGGUCUCCUGCGAAGGGAGGACUGGGAAACAGCAAUAAAAGUACCCCUUGGGAUCAUUCUGCAGGUACAUUAUCAUAGCAACUCCUUUAUCAUAUUUAUGUAAUGAUGCACAUCAGUGAGUAGUACUAUGUCUUAGGUUCAUUCCAUACGCGACCAUUUGUUUAACCAAGGUUCCCUGUUCGGUUGCCUGUAAAAGCGGCUGAUGCUGAUUUGUUGUGAGAAAAAAACACUGUUGGCUAGCCAUAAUAUUCUAGCUGAUAAGUUCAAGAGCUUGUAGCUUUUUCAGUUUUUGUUCAGUUUCUAGCAUCUGUGCACUUUAUUGUUGUUAGUGCUCUAGGCAGACAUUUCACGCGCUACAAUGUGCAAUGGGUACUGGAAAUGGAAUGGCACAAUCUCUAUUGCAUGCUGCUCAAUCAUCAAAGAUCAGUAUUUUUUUCCACGUUUUUUGUCACCUUUCAUCUAGCAGCCCCGUCAUCUCUCUUCAUUAUCUCACCCAUCUAUGUGUUUGAACAAUUGCUGAUGCAGCUUCUUUCUGUUACACAGGUCAUAAACGUGCACUUGAUGUUACUUCUGUUAUGCAGGGAAAUUGGGAAAGACAAGGUUCUUUAGUGUCCUGAUGCUUACAUGGGGUAUGCAGCAUAUAGUCUCUAUGCUAACUCUUUGCAAACAACAGUUGAGAACUUAGGCCACCUUUCUCAGAGAUUGCUCUGUCACUUUCUGUUUUGCUACAGUAAAAUGUAAUUGACAAGCCUGAAAAUGAUCUAUGAACUGCAGGUCUAGUGGCUGAUAUUGAUAUUGGAUCAAAGAAGUAUAGGUGGAUGGGAAGUGCUUGCCUCGAAUUUUAUGUAUACUUUCUACCCUAUCAAGUACUUGAUUUUAUUUUUCAUAUCUGUAUGUUUCUGUAUUUUUUAUAUAUAUAAUGGACUUAACAAAGAGGUGCUGCAGAAAUUAGAUGCUCAUCAUCGAGACAGAUGCAUCUCUUUCUUUACUACUCAGUUCCAAGUUCAAACUGUUAGAAAUGUCUUUUUUAUUAUUGUAAAUGUUGUAUAGCUUUAUUUAGAUGUGUGUGCAUGCAUUGUGGCCAUAAAAGAAAAGAUCAUAGUUAUAUACAUACCUGAAAGAAUGAAACUUCCACAAUAUGUUGGUUGAGCUCUAGUGCACAUAAUAGAUGCAGUUUUUUUAAACGUAACAUAAUAGAUGCAGAUGAUAUUGAUCUCGUAUUGCAAAAGUUUCUGUAGCACCUUUUAUGGCUUUAUGUUACUCUUUCUCAGGGUAAUUUUGGAUCUGUAAAAGCUCGCACUGUGCUCUGCCAUGUGCAAUGCAGCUUCUUUUUAGCUACUACUCCGCAUGCGAACCUGCGAUGGUAAAAUGGGCAUGCCCUUUUUGUUCCAGGACCAGGUUUUGAAGAAGUUGGUCAUCAUGUGGAGCAAACUACCAGUUGUGAAACAAACGGAGUUAGCAAAGUAUUUUGAGAAGACAAAGCAACUGACAGCAACUGUGAAAGGUGUGACUGUAGGCCCGUCGAUCAAAGAAGCUGAUCUUGCAUGGAGAUCACUGAAUGGUGCUCUAUAUAAUAGCUCAAUCCCAGCUGCCAGGCGACUGAAAUCGACGGCCUGGGCUGCAGUGAUUAACAGACGGCAUUGGAUAAUGACAAUGUGAUUCUCAAUUCUUGAUUCUUGCACCAAACUGUAAAAACGAAACAAAAUUCUUGGAUUCGCAACAUUGCCAAAUGAGACUACCAGCUUUCUGUUUAUCAAAGUCUGACAUCAUUAUGCUUGUAUUAAGGCACUUUUGUUUAACGUAUUGUACAUAGCAAAUAAAUGCAAUCGAUCAGAUAGUAAAGGCUGAUAGAACUAUUACUCCCUGUCCCAGACGGGGAACCAAUUGAAUUACAUUCCUCACAAGAUGUUUAAAAAUACUCUAUCUGUUUCAAAUUAUAAAACAUUUUGGCCUUUCUAUAUAUAUAAGUUACGUAUCUAGAAAGAAGCCAAAAUAUCUUAUAAUUUAGAACGGAAAGAUAACAUAAUUAGUCGGUGAGCUUUUCGAACAAACUCAAAUGUGAGGUUGAGAGGCUCUUCUCGUGCAAAAAAGCUGAAGCAGAGACAGACAUCAAAUCAACGACCACCACUGCCUAAAAUGCACAACCAUUUUCUCUUUACUCUUGUUCGACCCAGAAUACCAAAUUGCGGUCGCGCGAGGCUUCAAGCUAUGAAGAGACGACUUUCGCCCGCUCUGGACUGGCCGACUGGUCCUUUUUUUACCUUGCUGCAGGGGUCACGUGAGGGGGUAGACUGGAAGGCAAACGGAAUUCGCCGUGGCACCGUGCCAGGACGCAGCGCAUCGGCUGCCCAGUCUCCCCCUGCCUGCCUGCGCAGCGCAGCGUGCUGCCGAGCGUGACCGGCUUUGGCUUCUCGCACACGCGAGCUGAUCCGGUGACCGGUGUGUUUCUGGUGCUAGGGACUGAAACUGGACUCGGGACGGGAGGCCUCUCUGGCGUGACGCGGAGGAUUCGGGCUUGCCUUGGCAUCAGCCGGGGCGGAUGCGGAUGCAUGCGGCCGCGGGGGGUGCUGGGCUGGUCCUGGUCCUGGUCGUAAAGAAAGGAAAAGGCCCGCCUUGAUUGGCGUAUACUACUCCGUAGUGGCCAGGCCAGUGGCGUUGGCCUCCGCAACGUGCUUGAGAGUAGUACGUGCAUGCGGGCGCCAACGCCAUUAUUUUGUGAGCGAUGCUCGCCCGCCCGCUGGCAACCGCAAGCGACUGAUAAGUGCGGCACGGGCCUUUAAUUCCCUUCGGUUUGGGCGUACGUGUCGGCAGAUAGGACUGGACCCGACUUCUCACGCUAAUCCGAUCCUAGUAUUUUCUUUUCUCUGUUGCAGAGGCUUAUAAAGUCUAUGUUUAGUUCACUCCAAAACCUAAAAACUUUUCGAAAUUUUUGAUCACAUCAAAUCUUGUCGCACAUGCAUAAAGCAUUAAAUAGAUAAAAACAAAACUAAUUACACAGUUUGUCUGUAAAUCACAAAAUAAAUCUUACAAGGCCAAAAUACUCUAUAGAUUUGGAAUUGAGCUCAUGAUUUAUUAUCGGUGAUAACCAUGGUAUACCUUCCGGCUUUCGCACAUCUGUUGCCUGCCGCCAUAUGAACGGGCAGUCCCUUAUAAAAAAUACUAUAUGCUUUUGGGCGUACACCAUGGCUGGAUGCAUGAAACGCAUGGAGUGAUGGGAGAGACCGUGGUACUACUGCUGCUACAGCGACAAUCGACAAUAGACUAUGCAUGCAUGGUACUACUACGAGAGGGCUAGCUGGCACAUGCAUGGCAGGGCAGGUGGCACAUGCAUGCAUGCAUGCCUCGUUUCAAAAGGGGGGCUGGGGGGCGGGCCUGCGUGACAUGCAUGCACCAUGCAUGCGGAAGAGCUGCCGUGGCAGAGUCCUCCUCUGUAUCUGCAUGUACUACUCCUGUCCUCUCUCUCUCCCUCUGCGCCACUGAUCCUCUGCUCUCAAGGGAGGCCGACUGGGACCGCGAUGGAUCGACGGAUACAUACAUAUCCGGCUACACGAUGGGCGAUGGAUAUGAUGCCGAUCGAAUUGCCGAUGCGAUCCAGCUCCAGCCCCCAUCUAAUUGCUUCUCCAGCUGGUCGAUCCAUCCAUCCGUUCCUGUCUCUUUUGUACUACUACAACUCUACUAUUCGUACGUUAUUUAUUAUAGGCUGAUGAGUCUUGCGGACUGCAGAGAGACGACCGUGAUAUAGUAUUCUUUGCUUAUCAGUGAGGAGAGAGUUGGCGGAAUGAACGUGUGCUGCGGAUUGAAUAAUACUCGUUCAAAUCAUGCAUACUUCACAGGAGGAGGAUAAGCUAAAAUUAGAUCGUGUCUGUUAGGAUACCUGGUUCCCAAGAACAUGGAUCCAAAAUUGAAGGAGGCCUACUACACUAGAGGGUACCAUAUGAAUUAUGCAACCUCUUGUUGUGUGGCCAUUUGAAAUAAAGUUAUAUUUAUGACUAUAUUAUAAACUCAUACUGCCAGGCACUGAAACAUUUUUAUAUGUUAUAUAAUUGUAUAACAAUAAUUGGCCCCAGCCUACAAUAGAUCUCCCUCCGUUCCCAUCCCAGCCUCUCCCAGACGUGGGUGCAAUAAGAAUUUCCUUUUUAUAAAAAAAUAAUAUGAUUUUUAAUUUCUUUCUCCCGGAUCAAACUGUGGAGAUCCGAUUGAUAAUCACACGUCCGGCCAGUGGUGCUACAGGUGCUGCCUCUGUUUGAGCGCACCAGGCUACGCAAUAAAAAAAACUGAAAAAUGAAAAACAAUUUCUAUGUGAUGGCAAGUCAUCAAGGCAAACCCAAUCAACACACACACAGUCUCGCAGGCAUGGCAACAGAGACUCCGGCCGUCGAACAUCCAGUGGCUCUAGCGCACACGCAUGCAUGCGUCUUUUGCGGGCCAUGCAUGCACCGAUCCACGCACAGGCACGGCACCCGCCGUCCUCUUGUUUAUCGAUCCAUGCCGUUUUUUCUUUUCCUCUCGUUUAACAGCUAUACGUUUCUUUAACUUUUCUUCAUAUAUUAUGGCCUUGUUUAGUUUUAAAAAAUUUUGCAAAAUAAGAAUAAUAGUAUUUUCGUUUGUAUUUGACAAAUAUUGUCUAAUUAUGAACUAACUAGGCUCAAAAGAUUCGUCUCGUCAAUUCCGACCAAAUUGUGUAAUUAGUUUUUAUUUUCGUCUAUAUUUAAUACUCCAUGCAUGCGUCUAAAGAUUUGAUGUGAUAGAGAAUCUGAAAAAUUUUGCAAAAUUUUUUAGAAACUAAACAAGGCUUAUAUCAUAUGGUUCCUUUUGGCAUAUCUGAUGGUGACAAGUAAACAGGCUACCAUUUCUUUCGAUAAAAUGACUGGACGCGCGCGCGAAUCUGAGCGACGACCGAGCGAGCGAGGUUGUUGCUGCUUCCGGGUUUGCACGCACGAACUCUUUUGUAAUCCAAUCCAUUAAUUAAUUAAUCAAUCGUUUAACUUUCCAGAUGGUGAUUAAUAACUCUGCUGUGGGUGCACUUGCAUGCAUGUUGUAGAUUCGUACUCCUGUACUGUCCCUGAGUAGUUUCGUAGUUCUUUAAGUAAUCCAUUAUUAAUUAAUACUCAUGAUAGUAGAUUUGUAGUUCUUUAAGUUCAUGCGUUGUUCUUGGUGUAUAUAAUUUUUCUCAAUAAUUGGUUUUGUGUCAUGAUAGAACUAGCAUUGCAAAGGAGGCUCCUCUGUUCAGUUGAGAGUCUGUCGACGAAAGCUAGUCGGCAGUCUACCUUGGGGCAUACCCACGGUAGUAGUUUAUCGGUAGACGGUGCGCAAACUACGAACUUGAUGGUGACGCAAGACACGGACAAGCUUUUUAUCGAGGUUCGGCCGCCGAGUUGGCGUAAUACCUACGUCCUGCGUCUGGUUGUAUUGAUUUGUGUUGAGAGAAUAUGAUGUGUAUAAUCUGUCCUCUAGGGGACCCCUGCCCCUCCUUAUAUAUCCUGAAGGGACAGAGUUACAAGCAAAGUAUCCUAUUUGGUACAAUAUCUUGUAGCCUUGCGGUGCACGCCGACCAGUCGUGCGCCGCACGUCUUCAUCCUGUGGGCCGAGCCACCUCUGAUGGUGCGGCCCAUAUAGACCCAUGAGGGUAUAGGGGUUUAUACCCCCACAGAGUCCAAAACAAGCUGUUUUAGCUAUAUGAUCUCUCGAAAUCCUAUUUUACCCCAUGUAAAAACCGGUGGAUAUAAAUAAAAACUUGCUAAGAUCUAUUAAUACGUUUCUAAAUAAAAUCUGUGUUUUCAGUUACACAAUUUUUGGCAUCAUAUUAAUAUUAUUGACCAUUUCAGUUGUGUAUCUUAUGAACCACAAGAAACCAUGUGAUACACAAUGGAAGUCGGAAACAUAUAGAAGCAAAACAGUACCUACAGGGGAGAAUAUGUGCUCACAUAACAAAAGCAUAAAAUUCAAUGUUAUUUCAUAUUUUAAGAGUGGAUGUUAUAUUUUGUCCACAAAUUAUUUGGAAUUCCUCUACUUUACAUGGCAAUCAUAUUUUAAGAAAUUGAUUUAGUUUGCUAAUGUGAAUAACAUAGAUGCAAGAUAAAUGAUAUGUAUUAGUUUAAUUUAUUAGUGGAUAAUGAUGUGAACACUUUUGCAUGGUGGGGUAAUGUAUUAGUGGGAUGAUUUAGUGGAUGUUGAUGUGGACGCUUUGCAUGACAAUAGAUUUAGUUAGUGGGAUGCUCAAGUGGAUGAUGAUGUGGAUGGUUUGCAUGUCAAGAGAAUUAGCUAGUGGGGUUUAUCAAUAUAAGAGAUAUAGAUAUAGAUUAAAGGACAAGGGGUGCAUCUUAAUUGCUAAGCCUUUCAAAGACCACAUGACUCGCAAAAUGGAAACCACACUUGAGGAGACCAACCUAUGCAGAAAGAACUUGGAUCUCAUCACUAUGAUACUAGAACAAUAGAACAUCAAUUACUUCUAUGUGUAGCACAUUUGCUCUCAUGCAUAACACUUGAAUUAAUCUACCUCUUGCGAUAUUGAUUCACUAUGAUGCAAAUGAUAGUUCUGGAUAUUUUUUAAUCAAGCUACUCUUGCAAAAUUGAUAUACUUCAAUGCAAAUGAUCGCUUUGGAUAGUUUACAUGGGAUAGGUGUUGUUUAAUCUAUUUUUGUUUCAUGGAAUGGCAAAGAUUUACCGAUGCAUGUAUAAGUACUUCCUCAGUUGUUUAGAUGUUGUAUUCAUCUUUGGUACACAAACCAAGAAGAUAGUUAAUGAUGGGAUAUGUGUUGUUUUUAGAUGUUGUGUUCAUGAGAUAGGUGUUUGUUUAAUUUAGAUGUUGUAUUCAUCUUUGGUACAAAAAUAAGAACCUAAGUUUGGAAGUAUGUGCGACACACGUUUAGUUUCAUGACUCUCACACCAAAGCUCCACACCAGAAUACGACACGCUUUUCCAAUUUUUCUCCGCAAAAAGCUAGUACGACAUCUAAAGAAACAGAAGGAGUAGCUAGUAACCUUUAAGCCAUUGAUGUCGUAGCCAAAACCGUCAAUAUAAUUAAUGCUAAGUACAUAUAAGAAUUCCCUACGCAUUCUUAAAUACAGGCCAAAUCUUGUGAUACAUGAUUCGAUAUAUUAGGAAUUAGGAAUGACACAUAUCAUUUAUAGGGUACUUGGUUUGAGGAAUCAAGGCAUUAUUCUAGAUGAGGUGGUGCAUCAAGUGAGUCCAUUCUUUAAAUUUGAUAGAAUGACUCUAUUUCUCGUAACAGUGCUAAUUAUUAAUUUACGAGAAAUAAGAUAGGUUUAAUUCAUUCUAUUCCGCAAACCAAACAAAAAAUGAGAAUUGAGAAAAUAAUGGAUUAACUCAUUCCUCGAACCAACCAUCCUAUUAACUUCGCAAAGACAUGUGAUCCACGAGAUGGAAACCACUGAAAACCAACCACUAUGGAGAGGAACAUGGAACUCUCAAGCACUCGAUGAAAAAUGGUUGCAUUUCGCUGAUCAAUUCGAUACUUUUACAUUAGGCACCUGCUAUGUAUUCUCAAACACUGCCCCACAUCUCUCCUUAAUUAUCACACAAAUGAGAAACGUUCGCGUCGCUGAACCUCUCGCAUACAGUACUAUAUGCUAGAGCACGCACACGUACGUAUGGACCGUUUCGCGCGCGUCCAAUCGUAUAUAUUCUCGUCCCCACCAGAGGAAUUGGCACGGUGAGACGUAACUGCACACGUACAGGGUACGCCGUUGGAUCGGAUCGAUCACUAUGCAUGGAUCUAUCCGUCUAAUCGAUCGGUCGAAAGCCGGGCGCUUCUUGCAUGCGGCGUGCGCGCGCGCUCUCGGACACGUACAGGUGGUGCCCACUCUCCCUAGCCAACUAACCCCCCAUCUUCGUGCGUAGACGCGUACACCCGGCGCGUCGAUCCGGCCUGUUCGCCUUGCGGCCACGAUCGCGACGUCCCCAGCCAGGCCCGGGUGCUCUCGCUCGUCGUCAUCGACCUCAAAGCAUUAGCACGACACGUAGUUUCGUUCACUAACCCCGCGCGCGGUCCCACCACCACUAGCUAGUUCGAGCGAACGAAUACUGCAGGCUGAACGCGGAAGUGAAUAAACAAGGGUUUCGUCGCGAACCACCACCAUGCUUGGUUUCGUUGGGACGUGGUGGUAUGGGCAAAGAAAUGAGCGGAAAGGAGGACCGGCGCGCCUAUCUAUCGCCUACGGGGCUACGGCGACGGGGGCGAGGCCGUGACACGGCACCGAUCGAGCCAGGGCGACGCGAGAGGCGAGGCUGCAGCCCCGUCCGUCCGGCGUCCGCGCGCGGGGCACGAGGGGUCAGGGGUGGGGUGCCACCGGGCGAGCGCACCGUGCACCGGCGCGCCUCCAUGCCCGUUGCCGUCCGACUCUGCCUGGCCUGUUGCCCGAUUCCACGCCGCGACCCCGCGCGCGGGGCGCUCCUACUACUACACGCUAUACGCGUACGGCGUACCGCGCCUUUGCGCCUCGCAUCGAUGGGUCCGCUCUCGUCCGAGCCUGAUCGCCUAAAACAACUCCAUUAUUGCGUCGCAAGCUAGCGUGCGUACGUAACGACGUACGUCCUCUUCUACAGCACGGUUGUGGUGUACUAGUACUGUUGAUUUUUAGGAGUAUUCAUUUGCCAGGGAUCAUAUAUCAGCAUCCAGCAAAAUUAAAAUAUGAAAUAUAAUUUUUUUUUCCUGCGCCAUCACGUUGGUGUUCGAUGUGGGUUGCAUUGAGAUUAUACAACAGGGUUGUCCUUUUCGCUAGUUUAUUUUACAGCCUCAUGCAGCCGUGUUUAGAAGAAGGGGCCGGGACGACGGGAGGGCUUGGGAUUGAACGUGCAUGGGUGGAUCCAGCACGUUUUCAUCCGUUUCCGUUUGACUUUUGCAGGCGGGGCGGAUUGAAUACUCUAUCUAUAUAUUUAUAUAGAAGAGUUGCUUAUUGACAAGUCUUAUUUGAGGGUAUCGUCAACAAAUCCUUUUUAGUUUCGGUAUUUUGGCGUUUUAUUUUGUGGAUGAUGACUUAACGAAGGUGAUAAUAAUAUAAUAAUACUAUUUCUAUGCAUGCACGAUUCUCGCGGGACUUACGUGAAGAUGAAAAAUCCGCUAGGCGACCCAGACAUAUCGCCUACAAGCUCUGGAUAACGACAUGAUAGAGUGGUUGGGUUUCUCGGUUGCUCUCGGCGAACAACGCUGUCACGUUCACGAUUUAGGUUAUCAAUCAGUGAUAAUAAACCUAGAAGAAAACAGAGCAGGUUUAGUGAACAAAAAAAAUGCGGACUAGGUUUAGGAAACGAAAGGUUAAGGGAAAUGAUUCGAAUUACUAGUGCAGAUAUACACAGUCCUGGCAGUGGCGUGGUGAGACCCUAGGGGAGUUUGGUGUACACGUAGCAGCAGCGACGCUAGUACUACUACUGCCGCUGCUUUUCCUGCGGCCCGCUUUAAAAGCCUUCUCCUCACCUCCUCCUCCGUCUCCCGUCUCCCGUCUCGUCCUCUGCCCAUCGUCGUUAUUCCUAUCUCCCCCACGAUUCCCACGCCCCCUCCAAAAACCCCCCCCUCUCGCCUCACAGCGCGGCCGCCGGCUUGGUGUGGCGCCCGACCAUGUCGUCCCCGGCGCCGCCACAGCAGGCACCGCCGGCGCAGCCUCCCCCGCCGCCAGCCGCCGCGCCCCCCACCGCCGUGCCCACGACGGUCGUCUCCGCGACCCCCAUCUCGGUGCAGCUGCCGCCUAUCCAGCCGAAACCGCCGCCGCCACAGCCGCAGGCGCAGGCGCAGCAGCAGCCGCCGCCGGGUAGCGCUUCCGGCCCGCAACCGCCGACGCCGGCGCAGCUCUUGAAUCUGGGCCCGCAGCCGCCGCUGUACCGGGGCCCGAUCUGCUGGAACUCCUAUUGCAAGGACCCCGACCCCAACUCUUUCGGCCGCCGCGGCUGGAAGGUCCGCUCGGGCCCGCCCUACUCCGUGUACGCCGACCUCUGCGGGAGAUGCUAGUACGUGCCGUUCCCCUCUUAACCAACUUACUCUCUCCCUCUCCCUCUCCCCAUCCCUCUCCGCUCAAUCGCGCUGUCGGCGAGCCGUCACGCAUGCUCGAAUCGUGCCGGGGAAGCUCGCGCCGUCGGGGGCGGAUUCGCCUAUGGCGCCCACCGGAUCUACGUGGAGUGAUCGCCACGUCGUUGCGAUUUCGUGGGAUACGCGGGGGUUUUAUGUAAAGUUGGUGUGCUUUGUUUGGGUGCUUUGACUUGCGUGCGACUCUUAUUCGUGAUAUGCAUGCAUGCAUGUGCCUUACUGCUACUCUCCGCUCUCUGCUCUGUGGCCAGUUCUCAGUUUGAACAGGGGAUAUACUGCGAAACGUUCCAUUCCGAAGAGGGCGGCUGGAGGAACUGUGAAUCCUGCGGGAGGGUACGUGUUUUCUCUUGCAUGCUGAUUAUGCCUACUGGUGGUCAUUCUGCUUUUGUACCUGCUGAUUGCAAGGGGUUUGUGUUCUGAUUGAGCAGAGGGUACAUUGUGGCUGCAUCGUGUCCAUCCACAAGUAUCAGCUCCGCGACGCUGGUGGGGUUGACUGCGCCAAGUGUGCUCGGAGCACCCGUGCUGCCAUGGUAUGUCGUGAAAACUUUUUCAUUUGUCAAGAGCAUUUACUAUUAUUGGGGAUUGGGGACGAUGUGAUGGGGGUGUUAAGUGCAUGCAACAUGAGCCACUUGUACCCAUGGCUGCUUGCUGGCUUUUUGAGUUUUUGAGGUUUCAGACAUGCUGCUAUUUGGUUGGCAGCAUUAGUUAGGUGGAUAAUAUGUUGGUAAUAUCCUGCUUCUACAUGCUAGUGCCAUUAAUUAACUUAUUUAGUUAUGUUAAUAUGUCAAGGAUGUCAUGUCACAUAUUUAUUGAGACCAUGCCAAUGCUAUUUACUGAAGCUGACAAUUAUUUACAUAGAGAAUAUCGAUUGCAUAUUGAAGAGGCUUCCAUUUAUUAUAUUAACUGAAUAGUGGGAGUUUAAUCAUAUAUGUUCUCUUCAAAUUUAGUUCAUGUUUUGAUCCCUGAUUGACCACCAUUGGCGCUUGUGCUUCAUAGGCACCACCGAGUCCAGUAUGGACCGCCCCUAUUCAUACUUCUCAAAAUGUAUCUGAUAGAAGAGACAUUCCUGUGAAGAGCUGGAGACCUCCUGCCGGGCAAAUUUCAAGUCAGUGGAGACAGACUAACCUGUGGAGCAUGUCCAGUGUACAGUCAGACUUGCAGCAGCGUCUAGCUUUUGAGUUUGAUAGGCCUAGUGGUAGUGAAAAGUUACUUCCUGGGCGCACUUUUAUUCAUGCCCAGGAAAGGAAAUUUGAUGACAUGCAUGACAGACCAACAACUCCUGUGGGCAUGAACCACAUUAUAAGGGAGAGAGAUCCCAAUGGGCAUGGCCAGCCCACCAAUAUGGAUCCAGCAUACUCUUAUACCCUCUAUCACAGAGAUGGAUCACAUCCAAAUAAUCUUCAUGAUCCUAGUCACCCUGGUGGAGAAAACGACUCUUUGUCUUCCAGAAAAGUGGCAAUGCCAGAAGCUUCUACAAGUGCAGAUGCUGGCUUCAAGCUUGAUUCACAUCAUCCGUCUAAUUUAAAGGAUGAUCCACCAUCCCUUUCAGUUGGUCUGGCUUCUAAUUUUGCAUCACAGAAUGGACAGAAAGACCAUAUCAGAAUUGCACCUAGUCAGCAGCAAGCACAAAUGGCUUCCUCCUCAUUGCAGAAACAAUUCUAUUCUCACACUGUGACUGGUUAUAAUGAAUUCCAAGCACAGUUGCGCAAUGGAAGACCAAGAAUGGAUGCAAAGGCGAGAUCACAGUUACUUCCCCGCUAUUGGCCUAGAAUAACAGAUCAAGAGCUACAGCACUUAUCUAGCGAGUAUCCGACAUAUUCUACUUGCAUUAAUGAGUAAUUUUCCUUAAAGAUAUUACUUUCUAUAUUCAUACUUCUCGUAGAUAUGUUAUUUAUUUGAAUUCUAUUGAGUUUUCCCUUAACUUUCAAACAGUUCAAAUUCUGUUAUUACUCCUUUGUUUGAAAAGAUGUUAAGUGCUAGUGAUGCUGGGCGGAUUGGUCGUUUAGUUUUGCCAAAGAAGUGUGCUGAGGUGAGUUAUUAAUUUGAUUGCCAUUUUUUGUUUUGAAAAUUCCCUGUGAUUAUAUUAUCCUAUGGUGUAUUGUUAUUGGGCAUGGAAAAUUGCUUCUCGAUGUGUGUGUUUUUUAAUAUGAAAAAUAGGUUUACCACUUAUCUUGUGCCAUGUCAGAAAGUUUAGUUUUAUGAAUCUAUGAGCUAAAAUUUAUCUUUGUUUGUUAUCCUGGGCCAUGUCAUAAAUUGUUAAUAGUUAUUGAACUAAAUUUGGUCGGAUGCGUAACUAAAUCACGUAGUAUCUAUGGAAGGCAGCACUUGUUUAAGACAACUCUGUUGGGAAUUCUUUUCGUGGGGUACAAUCAUAUUAUACACUAAUUAAAGUAGCACUUGUUUAAGAUCGUUUUUUUUUGUGCCUUAUCCCAAAAAAGUUCCCUAAUGGGAAAAUAACAUUUUGGACAGGCAUACUUCCCUCCGAUCUCCCAACCUGAAGGGCUCCCUUUAAAGGUUCAGGAUGCCAGUGGUAAAGAAUGGAUAUUCCAAUUCCGUUUCUGGCCAAAUAACAAUAGCAGGAUGUAUGUAUUGGAGGGUGUCACACCUUGCAUUCAGGCAAUGCAGUUACAAGCAGGCGACACAGGUACAUAUCUUUUCUUAGACAAAUUGAUACUAUAGUAGAUAGUAUGUAGUGUGUCUGUAUGGCAAAACAUACAUAAACAAAAUGUCCUAGUCCAUUACUUGGGGUUCAGCUUGCCCAUUUUAGGGGCACAUGUCUAAAUUGUUCAUGUACACGCGAUGAGAUAAACAUUUGUUUUAGUUAUGUAUAUGUAUUCCCAUCACCACUGCAUGUCUUAAAUACUCCCCCCAUCCCAAAUUAUAAGACGUUUGACUUUUUUGACCUCAAAUUUGACCACUCAUCUUAUUCAAAAAAAAUAUGCAACCAUAGUCAAAUUUAAGUCAUUUUUGAAGAACUAUUAUUAAUAAACCAAGCCACGACAAAAGAAGUGAUAUUUUGCACAAAUUUUUGAAUAAGACGAGCGAUCAAGCUUGGUGUCACAAAAGUCAAACGUCUUAUAAUUUGGGAUGGAUUGAGUAUAAAUAUGUGACCUGUCUGAUCUUUUGCUGCAAUGAUAAUCUUAUUACUUUAUGAUCUUCCAAGUAGGUUUUGUUUUAUUUUCCAUACUUCUUUCGUUAUCCUUGUAGCUAUCAUGUUUUUUCUAGUUUUAUUAACCCUAUGCUAUUUUUUUCUGUAGUUACCUUCAGUCGAAUAGAUCCAGAAGGGAAAUUGAUCAUGGGCUUUAGGAAGGCAACUAAUAAUUCUUCUGAACAGGUAUACACAUUGAAGUACUUAGUUACAUCUUAUUGUUCCUCCAAAUAAAAAGGGCUUUCAAAAAUUAAACCUCUAGCACAUUGAUUGCACACACUUAAUACUGUUUUUGAACUGAUAAGUCAGAUGCAUCGAAUAGUGUUUGCUUAUGAUGAAAUGCAUAUUACUGUCCAUACCCAUUUAAUCUUCACAACUUGGUUUGCAUGCUGUACUAUUCUAAUUUCAAGAUUCAAGCUCACCUAUGAUUUCUUCUGAAUUCUUGUGCAGUUCUUUCCCCUCAAUGGUGGCUAGACAUUCCUGAUUAUUAAAUUUAUUUUUUCUUCAAUAUUCUUGAGCAGUUCUUUUCCCUUCAAUUCUAAUACAUGCUGUAUCACAAUGGCAGAUAUUUUUUUAAAGAUCUGAUCCCUUCAACUAUAUUAGUAUUCUACAGGCUGUUAAAGUUUUAAUCUAAAAAUAAUCCUCGCCCAUUGUCUCAUUUUAACAGGAGCAAAUUACAAAGCCUGCCAAUGGUGCCCCGGCAACUUCAGAAGCAAAUGGUAAAGUUUCUGGUGCAGAUUCUAGUCCAAAUGCUGCAGUUUCCCGUCAAAACAAGGUCAACAUAGAGACCAAAAGUUCUAGCCCUGUGGAACAAGCCACUGCAUUGAAAAUGGAUAAGGAUGGAUUAACACAGAAGGAAGGGCCAGGAACUGCUAGUUCUUCCCCAGGUUCUGUCAAGAGAAAAACAACUAAUCUUGGUCAAAAGAAUAAAAGAUUACGGAUGGAUAAUGAGGAAUCAAUGGAGUUGAAGAUAACGUGGGAGGAAGCACAAGAAUUGCUUCGUCCUCCUCCUAAGGCACCAUCCAUUGUUAUUGUUGAUGGCCAUGAGUUCGAGGAAUAUGAGGUAUAACAAUCCUUUCAACACAUUACUUUGGAUUUGCAUUCUGAAAUUGAAACUUGUUUCUGAGAAUGUCUGAAGGACAAUAUUUGCAUGCUUGGCUUCUUUUGCUGUUUAUUCUUAUUGCUUAAUACAGAAGAAUAAAUCACACAUGUUUCUGUAUUGAAAUUGUGUGUUUUUCAGGAGCCACCGGUACUUGGAAGGAAGACUUAUUUUGUAGCAGAUAAAUCAGGGUAUUUUUUUUGAACUCAAAAGCUUCUAAGUGUGACUUUUCUAUUAAUCUAAAUUGGGUGCGAUGAACGUUAACUGCUUCUGUUGAUGUUCAUGCUAAUACCAUUUGUUUUCCUACCAUGCGUAUCAAGCUAUCUGCUAUUUGUUUGUGUUUUUAUAUAGAAGUGGUUCAAAUUCAAUGUGUAAUCAGCUGUUAAUGCUUCCUAGAUAUGAGUUAUGAAGUGAAUCAGUGGCACUAAUUUAACAAUACUUUAACAGUUCGGACCAUCAAUGGGCCCAAUGUGAGGAUUGUUCCAAAUGGAGGAAACUCCCAAUAGAUGCCCUGUUGCCCUCCAAAUGGACCUGCUCUGACAAUAAAUGGGAUCCAGAAAGGUGAUCUUCUCUCAAUGUUCCUUUAAGGCAAUUUGUGCCCAUUUUAUUUUUGUGGCAUAUGAAAACAUGAUGAAUCAUCUUUGCAUCCAUGGGUCCCACAAGUCGACAAAGUAUUUUUUUUUUUUCGUUCAAAGCAUUUCAUUCAAAGUGGUGUAAUUGGAAAUAAAUCUUAACCCAAAAGGUUGUCUGGUGAUCUGGUCUUUAUGUAUAUGUUAUAUUGAUUGUAAUAAUAAUUUAUUCCAUGUACAUGUAAUCAAAAUCUGUAGCAAAAUGUUGGACAAAGAAUCAGUUGAUAUUGUUUAAUCUGAAUUCAGAAAUUUGCUAUAUGAAAAGAGGCAUCACAUAGAAUUUCAUCAUUGAACAUGUUCUAUGAAGUAUAUGAUGACUGCAGCCUCCUGACAUAUUCCAGCUGCACAUGUACUAGAUAGAAUGUCUGUACAGAACACCACAUUACAGUUUUCAUUGACUUGAUGCAACUAUACUUGCAUGUGCACAUAUAUUUUUAUUCCUCAGUAAGUUAUCAAAAUUAGAAUUUCAUCAUUGAACAUGUUCUGUAAAGUAUAUGAUGACUGCAGCCUCCUGACAUAAUCCAGUUGCACAUGUACUAGAUACUAGAUAGAAUGUCUGUACAGAACACCACAUUACAGUUUUCACUGACUUGGUAUUCUUUUAUGGGAUUAUUUAUUAUUUAUGCAUAGGGACACAUUACUUGCACCCAGUGCUAAACACAUUACAUCAAUCAGGUCAGUUCCCAGACUAGUUUUGCCUAGCCUUGCCUGCACAAGUGAGCUCACCUGGCCAGCUCGGUCGAGUUAAAAUCGCUCUCCCACCAUAGCAAGCAAAAAGCUUGCCAGUGUAGACUCCGAGGAUGAGUUGCAUGAAAUCCAAACACCUUCCUUUGGUCACCUAGCUAGCUCAAGGCGAGGCAAGGAUUCAUCCAAGAACCAAAUGUUAGAUGCAUUUUUUUAUGAUAGAUUUGGAAAUUUUUAUGCGAGUCUGUAUGUAAAGUGCAUGCUGAAGAAUGCUGAUAGCUUUCUAUGCAUGAGUAAACCUAGGAUUAAAGUAUCACUACUGAAAUUGAGCACUGGAGCUGCUUAGGAUUGUAUGGAAUCAUUUCCUGUUAAACUGUGUUUAGCACUGGGUAGAAACUGGAAAGUAUUAAUUCUAUUUCUCGGGUGUUCUAGAAGAUAUUCAUGUAUGGUGAUACGCUAAUUACUCCCUCCAUCCCAGAAAAAUUGAUGUUCUAGGAUUAAAAAAAUGUCCAAAAAGAACUUGAUGUUUAACCUCUUGGACAAUAGAUUUUGCCAUAUUAGUGUGAGAUUGCAGUCAUGUUUAUCUUGAAUAAAUAGAUUUUGCAACUGCUUGGUUUACUCAUCACUACAUCUUAGUUAUUUGGUUAAACACCAGUAUUUUUUUUUUCUCUAGGUCUUCUUGCGAACAUGCACAGGAAAUAAGUAUGGAGGAGCUUGCAGAAAUCAUUCCUAUAAAAUAUGGUAUGGUACACACGCCCUCUGUAUAUAUAUAUAUAUAUAUAUAUAUAUAUAUAUAUAUAUAUAUAUAUAUAUAUAUAUAUAUAUAUAUAUAUAUGUGUGUGUGUGUGUGUGUGUGUGUGUGUGUGUGUGGAAUUUGCAUUUUCAUUGGUCUCUUUCUAAAUAAAAAUGCCAAAGAUGCAUUUCAUACAGAAAAAGCGGAUCGAUCCACUAUGAACUUUGUACUCUGCAUAGAGCUGUAACACAAGAAAAGGUUUGGACCAUGAAAGAUGCUGAUCACUACUGAUAACGAGGCAUGCCACAGUCCUAGUGCAUGCUAUAGCUAGGUACUUAGCUGCAUUAAAAGGAAAUCCAAGCUCCUCUUGUGUUUUCAGAAAAAUGCAUGGUGGAGCUUGCACAACCCUUUACAUGAUGGGCUAUGUUUAUUUUCGUUCUGUUGGGUCCUUUUGUUGGUAGCAGUGUUGGGAUUUCUUGCAUUGUACUUCCUCCGUUGUAAUAUAUGAUGUUUAGGACAAGCUAGCCAGUCAAAGAAUGAACUAAUCAGCUUGUCCUAAAGGUCAUAUAUUUAGAAAUGGAGGGAGUGGGAGUCAUGCAUUUUAAAGGUAGGCCCAAUUUGCAUAACAUCCCUUCAUUAUUCUAUGUAAGAUAGUUUGUGUAAUGUCUACUACUCCGUUCCAAAUUGCAAGUUGUUCUGGCUUUUACAUAGCUUCUGCUACAUGCCUACAUACCUAGAUGUUUAGAUACGUAGCAAAAGCUACUUCCUCCGUUCCAAAUUUUAAUUCAUUUUAGAUUUUUUUGAAAAGCCGGAACAACUUACAAUUUGGAAUGGAGUAUGUUGGAAGUUUCAUUUACCUGUACGAUAAUCUAUAACUGUAUUUAAUGGUUUGUUGUAGCCAAAAAGCCCAAAUCGAGGAUGGAAUCUGAUGCUAUUGAUGCUUCGGAUGGGCUGGACACACUUGCAAACCUUGCAAUUCUUGGCGAAGGUGAAGCUCUUCCUUCGCAGCCAACAACGAAACAUCCUCGCCAUCGUCCCGGCUGUUCAUGCAUUGUCUGCAUCCAACCACCAAGCGGCAAGGGUCCAAAGCACAAGCAGACAUGCACCUGUAACGUUUGUAUGACGGUUCGCCGCCGGUUCAGGACGCUCAUGCUUCGACGUGAGAAGAAGGCGACAACAGAUACGCCUCGCAAGAAAGAGACAGGCCAAUCCAGUGAGAAGGUCACACAAGCUGUGUCCACCCCGCCAGUAGCCAGUGCCAGUGCAACCAGCCCCCCUCGGAAAGCAGAUGGAAACGCCGAUGGGGCUGAAGACAUGGCCGUGGAUCACAAGGUGACAUCCUCUCCCGUCAAGAACCAUAUUGACCUGAACAUCCAACCUGAUCGGGAUGAUGAGCAGUCACCGAAAUCUGGUACGGCUGGUUUGUUGAGCCGAGACAAUCCAAGUUAAGAGAGUGGGUCGCGUGGAUUGCCUGAUCAUUCCGGUGAGUGGACAUAGAUAACCGAUCGAACCCAUCCUUCCGAAUGUCUAUACCCAUUUUUUAUGAAAGAUGUGGCGUGAGCCGUGAGGUGUUAGUGUAGCUGUUACCUGUUACCUUCCCAUACCAUAGAGCCGGUUUCCUUUUUCCCUCAGACUCCAGUGGUAAUGUUUAUCGUGUAUACCAUAGGGCAGGAUACCCGUAGGUGUUGCAUGGGGCCUUGCAUACCCCUGUAUGCAUGUAUGUAUUGCAAGACCAGCUCGUUUCGGCUGAAUGUAAACCGUAAGUUGCUAAUGUACCCUGCAUAUAUUUCUCCCGGAGUUGGCAGGAAUUGCCACAUUCGUAUGUGUGUUCAGGAUGAAUGAGCUUUGUCUUACGAGUUUGCUCCAUUGUUUAUGUGAAAAUGAUGCCAUUUGCGGGCUGGCAAUGAAGAUUGGCGUCUAAAGCUAAGCCUAAGAGCAAGUAUAACAAGAGGUUGUAUGCUGACGUCGAAGAAAGAGAAGAAAAACGAGCUGUAAGUUUAAGAGUUAGCUUAUGCAAUAGAACAAAAAACCAUUAUAUGAGUGGGUAGAUAGAUUUGCUGUAAGUUUACCCAACGAGGGACAAAUUUGUGAGAGAAACAAUGGGUCAUAGGUAAGCUAACGUUAUACGAGUAUUGAUGGAUUUGCUGUAAGGUUAUCACCACGGUUUGGGCAAACUUGAGGAACAAUAUCCUAACUAGACUGGUUAAACCUACUUCAAAAACUAAAAUACAUGGCCGGUGGCUGAAUGGCGCGAUUAAGGCCCAAGUGCGACGUUAGUCGGUAAACCGAUUGCGUUGUGUGAAUUCAAAGUCUGGCCUCGCACGGCCGGUCAUCCUCACCUCCAGUGCAGGCGAGUGUGGGACAGAACCUGCUCUUGCCGGGGAGUAGGAGGUCCGCACUGAUUGCAGCAGUGUAAAGAAGAACACAGAAUCAGCAAAGAACCAACGAAAUAGGAUGCGACGAGCAGCAACUAGAGUACCCAAAAAGAGGUUUGGGGAUGUUCGGGCAUCAGUAACCAGCACCUGUCACUGCUACCAAGUACAAUCAAACUUGUCCUUUCUCUUGUGCAAAAUCUAUCACUAUCACCUUGUUUACUUGACAAAACCAUUUACGAGUUACUUGACAAAACCAUAUCUUACAGAGACGAAGAACUAAAAUCGAGAACGAUCACGGAACAAAAACAAGGCAGAACCCUUCUUGCGAGCCGCAGCUCGCUAUAUUUGCAGCAAGUCUUUCAGUAACGGCUGCCCCUGCCAAGCAUGUCGUUGUAGUGCUUGAGCGACUCUUGCCGCUGCAGCCGCAUCUCCAUGUUGAACUUGUGGAUGAACGCCUCCACGCGGCGGUUCAGCUCGUCCUGCCCCAGCGACGGCUCCCGCCGCACCGGCACGGGAGGCGCCGCCUUGCUCCUUCCAGCGCCACCAGCGUCGUUGAAAGUCUCGGCCUUCCGCAUCGCCGCCCCCGCCGGGGCGACGGCCGCUGGAUCGACCUCCCCGCUGCUGCCGCCGCCGGACGGACGGCGCCCCGGGCGGGUGUCCCAGGUGUCGGACUUCUUGAGGUGCCGAGCUAGCGGCGGGCCCCGGCCCUCCGUGAUGGCCUUCCACGUGCUCUCCAGCGUCUCCUCCUUCCGCGGCCGCGCUACCCGCAGAGCCCUGCUACCUGCAAUGCCCAGAAUUGCCGUUGGUACUCGAACAAACAAACAUUCGUAUCUAUAUCUUCGUUGAAUUCGACCAAAAAAAAGGGCGCAAUUCCUAGAAAACAGAAUUGCCAAAGCUGAGACUUUUCAAUCGUGCUGAGGAUUGCAAAAAUGCGUGACCAACCGUUGUUACCUUCGGGGCUUGGUUUGGCGGCCUUCCUGCUGAACCUCGCCGAGACCAGCGGCUUCUCCCUGGAGUUGGUCAGGUCCGCGAACGGCGGCACCUCAGUCUCCACAUCCGCGGCCACCUCCGGCUCCGCGCCCCUCCGACGCGGCGUCCAGGUCGACCUCGAAAUCGAAAAGUCCUCGUCCACCUCGUCUUCCGGCGCCGGCGCCGGCGCCACCGCUACAGUGUGGAUCUCCACCACAGGCUCCUCGACAGGAGCGACCUCCGCGGCCUUCACUGCCACCAGGGGCACCACCGCAGGCACCUGCAACGCAACCGCCGGCUGGAUCCCAUCCCGCACCAUCUCCUCCCCCGCUACUCCUCCUCCUCCUCCGAUGGCGUCGGCGUCGGCGGCGGGGGCAUACGAAGGUGCCGACGGACGUCCGCCGCCGCCGCCGCCGCUCGGCUGGAAGCGCGACGAUGCGGCGAUGGAGAUGAUGAUGGCGUUGAUGACGAGGUACAGGUACGGCGGCGUGAGCCAGGUGGCGGCCACGGCGCGGGCGCGCGGCAGCUCCUCCGCCACGAACGCCGCCGCCGCGGGGCCCAGGAACCGCACGCCCACGGCCGUCAGCAGCGCCGCGGCGGCCGCCGCCGCCGCCUUCACCGUCCGCGCGUACCCCAUCGAUCUGCUCCCCGCCGUACUCUUCUCCUCCUCCUCGCCCGCGGUUCCAGCGCUCCUCCCCCCCGAACCCAGCACGAGCCAAGUGCCGCACCCUUCCCGUGUCCUCGUCUCCUCGACCGCUGCUGCUUGUGCGGCGUCCGCGGCAGCUAGCGAAACGGAGGCAAGCGAAGCGGCCGAGCAGGGAGGUGGGCGUGGUGGGGCGAGGAAUUUAUAACGAGGGGGGGCCGGGCCGAUGGCGAGACGCGGGCCAUCGGAUGAGGCCCGCGUGAACGGUGGGAGAUGCGUGUGGUGUGGUGGCGUGUAGUGUAGUGUAGAGCGUCUGCGUGCCUGUGCCUGGGCAUGGCUUGCUUCGUUAGAAAGGUGUCCAGGUCGAGAGAUCAGCAUCAGCCAGCGGCAGACCGGCAGUGGAGGGGAGUGUGACCGUGGGUACGCCAGGGUCCAUGGCCGGUGGCGACUGGCAAGUGGACGGCGACCUCCCCGGGAGCCGAACGCCCACGGGAAUUCCACGACGGGGUCUGUCUGUCCACCGGCCACGCAGUGAUCAGACGGCUCGGGUCGAGUGAGUGAGUGAGUGUUGCAUGGGUCUUGUUCCGUCGUUCGACAGCGCUGGAACCGUGUCAUGGGCAUUGCAUUCGCACAGUUUUUGGGCCAUGUGGGGUUCGUUCGUUCCAGCAAUCAGCAACCUGUGUGUGUCCCGGACGGACUCCGCAAGCCUGCUGGGUGGUGCGGGACACAGCUCCAUACGAAACUGACGCGGGGGGAGCCGAGGGAGGAGGACGGCGGGCGGCCGAGGUUCAAACGGUCAGAAAAAUAACCGUUGGGUGCGGUGGGGGAGAGAGAGCGGGCGCGCGGGCCCGCGCCGCAGGCGGCCACGUUUCUGGUGGGCCUGACGUGCAGCCACGUAUGCGGGCCCCCUCGCGCCUAAACUAAACGCGGCCUCCCGCUUUCUCUGACUCCCGGGCCACGGCCGAGCUGGCGGCGACGUGCGCCCGUGCCGCCGUUUCCAAGGCUACGGCGAAGAGCCCAGCCCACUUCUGAUCGGUGUCGCUGUAUCAGUGCUCGUGUUCGUGUCUAUCUUGAGUUCUUGGCUCCACCUGUUCCCCGGCCGUCCUGCACCCGUACCGUACGUGCAAGCUCCAGGCUUCCAGCCGUCUGCCACGCCGAUUAAAAAUGCACACACUAGGCCAAUUGUGCAUAAAUUUGGACCCAAGCAUGAUCUUUGAUUGCUAAAAAAUAAGCAAGAUAGACAGACGAGGUAGGAGGCUAGGAGCAGAUGCAAUUCUCUUUUGGCAAGAAUAUGAGGGGGCAUGCAUCCUUCUGGUCACAAACACAUGCCGUUUUAAUUUAAUUAGAAUAGAGUUUGGUGUACAGAUACCAAAAAUUUGUGAAUUAUAUAGUGAAUACAUUAUGUGCAUGGUCUGUACUUGCACGCACCAUGUGCUCUCGCUUUGCUACCGUACAAAAAGAAGUCACGAAAGACCGUGUCGUCGAGACGUGGCGUACACGUGUUCCGGUGUUCGUCGUGGUGGUACGGAAAUACGUGUGGCCCGUACGUACGCGGUGCACGAUGACCUCAUGCACGGUGGUGUGGCGCGCCCCAAAUACGUACAGCGUACAGGUGCAGCUCGGAGGGAUUGCCUGCCUACUUUAGCUUGCCCAUACAGCCGUGCCUCGCCGGAUUCGUAUUGCGCUAUGCAUGCGCCGGAAGCUAGGUCAGGUUUUAUUAGGUGGUGAGCCGGUGGAUCCAUUGGAGUGGCCUAGUUCGACUCGCCAUCUAUCUGAUCCGAUCGACGACCCCUUGCUCUGUUGCGCACGCAUGCCGUAUGCCUAGCCUGCCGCUUUCGCCUGCCUAGUGCCUACCACGCCCGCCUCUUCACCUGCAGCCACAAAAACUACGCCUGUGCGUAGGGGGGACUAGAGGCAGCACCACCGGCCGGAGGCCGCCGCCGCCGCCGCUCUCUCCCCUCCCGCGCGCGCCGCUGCGAUGUGUCGCCUCCUCUGAUCCUCACACGCACGUCUCUCGUGCGUGCCACACGCUCUUGCGCCACAAUUUCCGUCAAAUAAAGGACCGUGCCGGCGCCGCCACUCAGUAAUUUCCUCCGACUGUACUACUGCCAUUAGCUGAUUGAUUAGCACACGCGAUUACGAGAGUUUGUGACGGCGCCGCGGGAAUAUAAAAUUAGUUAGGGUACUCACAAUGCAAGACUCUAUCACAGAGUCCAAGACACUUAAUUACAUAUUAUUUAUGGUAUUUUGCUGAUGUGGCAGCAUAUUUAUUGAAGAAAGAGGUAGAAAAAAUAAGACUCCAAGUCUUAUUUAGACUCUAAGUCCACAUUGUUCGAGGUAAUAAAUAACUUUAGACUCUAUGAUUUAGUCUGUAUUGUGAGUGCCCUUAGCGGACGACGUACGGGCACUGCGCGUACGUGCUGGAAGCGCAGCGUGGAUCGGCACCGCCUCGUUCGUUUGGCACUUUGGCUGAUAAAUUAUGAUAAAAAUUAUUAUUAGCUGAUUUGUUAUAAGAGAAAAACACUGCUGAAUAGUCAUUAGAUAUUGAUUUGGCUGAUAUGAAAAUUUGACGAUGAGCGCCUACCUGAUAGUUUCUGGGCUGUGUGUCGCUGAGAUGUACGAGUACAACACAGUACAAUACAUUUUUUUUUUCGCCAGCGUGUGCAAGUGUGUCCAUGCAUGAACUACUCCGAGUGUGGAUUUACCAACAUUUGCAUCGUUAGAUUAGACAGGCAGCCGCGGGUGUGUUUGGUCCGGGCUGUUUCCUGUGAUGACGAACCCUGCUGCAUGCAGAGUCGUCCACUGUCGUCACCAAGCACACACGUAAUCACCCGUGUUAUGCAAGUGUCUACACGGAACAGCGCUUCUGGCAGCGACGUUAAUGAAAUUCAACUACCAAAGUAUCUCCGGCCGGUGCAGUAGCUAGCUAGCUUACUAGUACUACACGUCUACUCCUACUAUACAAAGUUUUUCUGUCGUUAAUUAUUCCGACUGCUAGUAGCACUUGUAUAAUUUGAAAAUUAAAGUGUAGGAGGUGUCUCUGUGGCUAGUGUAGUGUAGUAGUAUAUGAUUGAUUGGGCUCCCUGCGCGGAUCUCCGGGAGAGCGACGGUUCCCAAACCCGGCGACGUCGGCGGCACUCGAUCGGGAGGCAGCGGAAGGGGCGACCUGGCGCCACCGCGCGACGCUUGCUUCCCGCCUGCGAACUCGUUCGUGUCUCCAAACCAACGGAGCAGCGCUACCGGCCUGCUAGCUAGUGCGUCGACUUUUAGAUCCAGACCGCUCUGUUUUACCAUACAAACGUCAGCAAGUCAGCAUGCACGACGCAAAAGCAUGUACGUAUUAUAUAUUGUAAUGCAGAAAGUAGUGUGGUUUAUAUAGAUAUUAGUUGUAGUGUCAAUUAAGCAUUUUGCUGAUAUGGCAAUGUAGUUAUUGAAGAGAGAGUAAAAAUCAUAGAAACUGAAACCAUGUCUAUACAAAAUCAAAGACAUGAAGUGAUAUAAUUGGCUAAGAAUAGAGAGAGAAUGAAUAUGAUUGGAUAAAAAAAAUAUUCUAUAGAAAUUAUCCAUUGAGACCAUAGUUUUUAUAGUUUGUAGCAUUAGAAGUGCCCUAAGCCUUGGCUGGAGCUAGCGUAGUAGUAUGUAUAUUUUUUGGACCAGUACGUACGUUAGUCAGUGUGGAGGAUGCCUGUUACAUUAGGGCAGUCCCAAUGCAUAAACCUAGGUAGUUUCUAUAUUCUAGGAUAUUGUACCCAAAAAACUAUUUUUCCCAACGUAUCUACAGAUUUGCGGAUCCAAAUAACAAUCUGACUACUCAUCUCGUGUAUGCUUCUCUAGAUCCUGUGUGGACACGUUGCUACAUAUUAGCAAGAAACGGCGUAGAGGCGAGACCGCGAUGCCGGAUUUGGAUGGCUAGAGCGUCGAGCAUGCUUGGCAUGGUGAGCUGCGGGAGGUGCCCCUGCUUUCUGCUAGCCUUGGGAGGCUAGGAGCAUGGAAGGACGUAGGUACGUACGUAAUACGUAAGGUGGCAACUUUUUUUUCUGAUUGAACUAGCUUCUUUUGUCUUUGCGUACACAUGAUACCCCCGUCAUCUGCUACCGCGUGGGAGCCAACUCCUUUGUGCAGCACAGCAGCGGCGUAGCUUGUGCGACCUUCACGGCAGCGAGCGCGGCAGCAACAGCCUACUGCAUAGCAGGUCGGCGCUGCGGUAAGAGAGGAAGACACCACCUAGGUCUCCCCAACGCAAUUUUCACGGUUUCCUACGUCUCGUUCCAUGCGUGGACUCCGUUUCUCCUCAAAGAAACGGUUUCCUUCUUGUUGCCUCUCUCUCUUCAAUUAAUUCCUUGACACAUCAGCAAAAUAUUUAUGUAGAAACCACCGGUGGAAGUUUUAUCUGAGUUUCAUUCACAUUAAAUAGGCUGCCACAUAGGCAUUUUAGAUGACAUGCCAGUGUAUUUAAGAAGAGAGAGAAGAAAUGAGUUUCAUCUCUCUUGGCACGGUUACCAACUCUAUAUGAGUCUUGAAAUUAAAUGGCUAUGAAACUAUGGAAUGAAACUCUCCAUUGAGAGUGAGUGUUUCAUCCAAGUUUCAUUUCAUUUUAUAUGACAUGGCAACUUUGGAAACAACGCUAUGAAACUCUCCACUGAAACUGGCCUAAAUAUGCAAAUUCAAUGCGCUGAGAUGGCUAAACAACGUGAUGUACGUCAAAACACUUUUGGUCCUUGAUCAAAUGAUCGUGCUCUCGGGUUGUGUGGCCACAUGUUGCCAACCCGGGGCCCUGGGCGCCGCGCCCGGCGUCGGAGCGAGAGUACUUUUCCUGAGGACGUGUGGAUGCGCUGCGUGGCGCGUGUUGCGUUGCCAACCUAGCCGGUCGGGCAGUGUGCAGUGUGCGUGUGCUUGCACGCGCGGCCGGCCGGGCCGUGCCGAGAGCCGUGCAAAUUAUGGAAACAGCUGGUUCGUGAAAAAAAAAAAAAGAGGAUACGCGCGCGUUCGGUCUGUGGCCUGACCACCUGACCGCCUGACCUACCUACUGUACCUACCAACUACUACCAAGCCAUGAUUAGUUUGUCAUUUCCGGCAUGUGAGUCACCCUACCAGCGGCAAGGUUAGCCGAGCCGGGCCCAUGUUGUGCAGGGCCAGAUUUAGUAACGACCUGUAGUUCUUGCAAGGAAUGGUUAGUUGUUUAGACUAAUAACCAUAUAGGAAGUACAUGGUGCAUGGAUCAAUUGACUGGUCACCAGCCAGCUGGUUAUCCAGAGACGCGAGCUUUCUGAUCGCAUUACGAUUCGGUUUGCCGUUUUCGAUGAGCCGAAAAGGGUAUGUACUACUCUGCCGAUUAAUUCUAAUCUUUAUACUAUAAAUUUGUGUGGUAGCCUUGCAGUACUUGCAUAGUUGCAUCUAUCGAUUGCUUUGCUGAAGAUGAUGAGAAAGACCGACGCCGAGUGAGUGGCUCUGAGGUCGUCGUCGACGUUGCGUCCGUGCCUUUUGCGUAGUUGUGUUGCCUGUUGCAUGCGCGCGCGCACCGACCUUUUUGGAGAGUUUCUCGGUUCUCAUCAUUUGCAUCGGCGACGGACCACGGAAUUGGUCCGUCCUUCGUUCGUCAUUCAGAGACCAGAAGUGCGUAGUGAUGCUGUGGGCCGUGAAUUAAUUCGCCGUGAUCAGUCGCCAUUUGAUGCAUGAUUUGGUUGCCGCAUGCACGUCUUGGUAGGAACGGAAGCUGCUGGAGGAAUCCUUUUUCACCGUACCGCCCACACACGCCUGUUUAAUUAUUCAACCCAGCGUCUUGCAUUUGAGAUCGAGGAAUUAUUGUUUCCAGUGUUCUGGCUGUUAGGUGUAUGCGUGGACUAGCUGCUUGUGCCGUACCCAAAGUGCCUAGCUAGGUGGAACACACGACGACGACGCAUGAGAACUUUUCGUCACAAUGACAGGCGGCUGGCGGUCAUCGAGCCGGCAAUUGCUCCCGAGUAACCACAAGGUCUUUCUAAACUACUCCUAUUCCAAAUUAUAAAAUGUUCUGAUUUUUUUAUAUACCUUGAUUUUGUUAUGUAUCGAGACAUAUUUUAUAUCUCAGUGUAUAAGAAAUUUAUAAAUCUAGAAAAAAUUAAAAUGUCUUGUGUAUAAAGCUAGGCAUGUGAAGUACGUAGGCACGAGAGCAAUAUUGCUGCCCACACCAAGUAAUUAGGAUAAGUUAGGCUUGAUGUUAAGAAAUAUGAAGGUGUUAGCGCUCGGACGUCCAGACAAUAGAACUUAGAAGGUCACAAGUUUUUUAAGUGCAAGGUGAGGAAGAGAGAGAGAAAAGAAGAAAGAGGGUUGAGAGGAGGACAAUUGGAGUGUCCAAGGAGGUCAUAUCAACCAUGAAGAGCACAAAAAGGCUUGAGUUUCAAAGAAGUAGAGUCCAUGGGACUCCGUGAAAUUGGAGACUUGGCAUAAUUGGGAUUUGUACCGGGAGUGGGUUAGUGAAGAUUUAUGACCUAAAUUCUCCAACUCAUGUUAGGUAAGCCUAUUCGGGUUUUGGAGUUCUAGAACUAAAACUCAAAUCACACCUUGAACUAAACUGCAUUUUGGACCAAACUAAACCCUGAAAUCCAAAUAUACCAACAAUUUGGGUAACAAUACAGGUCCAUUUUGAUUUGGAUUUCAAUGUCAAAAGUGUCCACUCUUUUUUUGAGCUUUUAUUAUUUGGCAAAGCCCAGCCAAAUUCAGGCCUUGUUUAGAUGCAUUUUUUUAGAUUUUAACAUUGUAGCAUUUUCGAUUCGGCAAACAUUGUCCAAUCAUAGACUACCUAGGCUUAAAAGAUUCGUCCCGCAAUUUACAGAUAAACUGUGCAAUUAGUUUUUUAUCUAUAUUUAAUGUUUUAUGUAUGUGCCGCAAGAUUCGAUGUAAUGGAGAAUUUUAUAAACUUUGGAUUUUUGAGUGCAUCUAAAUAGGCCCUCAACUUAUAGACGGUAAAAAGACUUUUUUUGCCCUCUCAGCAAACUCAACUAAUGUAAGCAAGAGAAUAAUGUAAUGCAACAACCAUAAUAAAUGCAAGUGCAAUAUGGCCCUACAACCACCUAUUCCCUGUUUAGAUCCAAACCGGCAAAAAUCUCUAUCUAAAAGUAGUCAGCAAGUUAGUACUCCUAGUUAACUUGUCUAAGUGUAUUGCCGGAGAGAUGUAUUUUUGGGAAGAGCAGUUAUUAUAGUUCAUCUCUUAUAGCAGCUCAGUUAUCUAUCAAACCUACGUGCAUGGUGUAGUGAAGCAGAGGAUCGGAGGACCCCAAUUCCACUUCUACGGUCGUUCAGUGUUUUCUUUCCGAGCGAACGAUCAGACCAUCUCGUCUCCUUUCCUUUUCGGCAUUAUUUUAUUUCCAGUUCCCUUUCCCUUUGGUCAGUUGUCGAGCGUGAGCAACCCACACCCACGCCACCCCGCUAUCUCCCUCGGUCCGGCCUUCUGCGCCUCUCUCUCCGAAAUCGACAUCCCUAUCUCCACCACCAUCUUCUCCGUCACCAUCUUCAACUUGUGAAAAUUAAGUUAUGCUACCAACUUAUUCUAUAUAGUCUUUUUGGUGCUAUGUUAAAUAAUAGAGUUGUUUAUCUAUUUUUUAUUUUCAUAUAAAUGGUACCUAACUUGGAUCAUUAACUUAUCCAUAAGAGUCAUAUAUGUAACUUGUGUUUUCAUGUUGUAUGCUACCUAACUUAUUUGAUUAAUUAAGUUAUACUGCUAACUUGUGUAAUUAAGUUAUACCGCUAACUUGUGAAAAUUAAGUUAUGUUGCAAACUUGUUCUAUAUAGUUUUUUGGUGCUAUGUUAAAUAACAGAGUUGUCUAUCUGUUUUUUUAUUUUCAUGUGUAUGAUACCUAACUUAAAUCAUUAACUUAUUCUAUAGAGUUAUAUAUGUAACUUGUGUUUUCAUGUUGUAUGCUACCUAACUUAUUUGAUUAAUUUACUGUACAGACUUAUGUGUGUAACUUAUGUUUUCAUGUAUUUGCUAUCUAACUUAUUUGAUUUACUAAUCAGAGUUAUAUUUUUAACUUGUGUGUUUUUAUGUGUAUGUUAGAUAGUCAUCGUAUGUUUUCAAUUAACUUAUGUUUUUUCUUGUUAUCAACUUUGUUUUUACAGUUUUACUUGAUAUUUUAAAUAUUAAAAUAUUUUGUAGAUAUUCCAAGUGAAGACAAAUAUACUCGAUGUCAUAAUUACAGAGAUGCUGAGAAUAUCAUAUUUGUAGAAGUUAUAAAAGUUAUUAUAUAUAUGGUUUUUGCAAGUUUUCAUUAUAUUAUGGAAUCUCUUUUGUAUACUCCCUCACCCUUUUUAAACCCUUGUCCUGUAUUCCCGAAUGAUUAGUUUCUGAAAAAAAAAGAAAAAUUUUGAUGAAAUAUAAAGAGAAUAUAACUCUCAUAACAACUCUCAAAGUUUCAAUUACGACACAUUUUAGUUCGCAAAAAAGAAAAAGUAAUGUUGUAUAACUUUGCAUGUUUAAUUUAUUUCUUAAAGUUUAUGCUGGGCAUCUCAGCUAGUGUAAGUUAUGUGCGCGCUUGUCAAAAAAUUCACAUGCGUGAGAGCACGAAAAAGAAAACUAGCUGCACGUCAAACGUACGAAAAGAAAAUAAGGCCCACGCGAACGUCUGCUUGAAAAGAGAAAGAGAAUGGAACGCUAUCGUACUAUCCUAAAAUGGUAUUAGGCGGGAUUGAUUGUUUCCUAAAAGGGAAAUAUGAUUGGUCGGAAGAUCGUUCGCUGAAAUCAGUUUGAAUGAACGUUCGCUAAAUAGUGGUGUCCAGGACACGUCCAUAUAUACAUCGUCGCCGUCAAGUCGCAGCGAUAAGGAUCACGGCAUGAUGUGUAUCUAUCUAUCCGCCUACCGCGUGCGGGCGGUGGCCGGUGUGAGUGUGAACAUACCUCAUUGACCAUGGAAACUUCACUAGUAGCUAUCGGCGGGCACGUUGCAUAUAUAAGCGAAUCAUCAGCUGUAACCUGUAAUGUAAAGCAUAUAUAUGCGCAUCUCUAUCCAAUCCAGGCGGAAUUACUACAUGAUGAAAUGGUUGGUGGAUGGAUAAUCUUAUCGACGCUACUGUCAUGUCAUUGUUUCCUAAUCGACUGCCUGCCGCGCGCCCUCCCUGUACGUCGACGCCGGCGAGCCAAAACCCGCUCGACACAUGCACAAGCGCCCGAGAGCCGGGAUCUUGCGCGUCCGGGGACUCCGGGGCCGGCCACCUGCACCUGCUGGUCGUCGACGGGCCGGCCGAUCCAAAGUAGUACAGCAAAGCCACUAAUAUAACUAAUUAACCAGCCCGGGUCAUGCGCGUUUCAGACGAAAUUUCUACACGACCUGUGACGAGAGUACGUGCACCGGCCUGCACUGCACGCACUACCAGCAGCUCCCCUCCCAGCUGCAUGCACCCCUCUCUCUCUCUCUCUCUCUCUCUCUCUGUUUGGAUAAGGAACACUGCUUCUUCAUCAACUUCCUUUUUGUCAUAUCCCCAACACACGAUGUCACGAAUGAUGAGCCAUGGACAUUGUUGUAGGUUUGUGCCGACUACGUACGGAGUAUAUAUCUAUAUGACUAUAUACGUGAAUGUAGACUGUAGUAGUAGUAGCCCAGCAACGUGUAUGGCCGCCGGUACUAUACGCGAUCAAGUACGUGCGCAAAAAAUACGGUGUCAUUGUUCAUGUACGUACUUGGAAUCUUGGACUGCUAGCUGUAGUGCUACUCGCCGGUACAUAUAUAGUACGUGUAACAAGCUGUCACGUCAGGGACGUUAAUGCUCACGUCUCGGGAUUAAAAGGGGGUGCACGUCGCUGAAAAGGAUCGCAGCGGUGGACAGAGAUCCCUCCGUCACGCCCUCGCCAGCGGCGCCUAGCAAAUCCAAUAUCAUAUAUCAUAACAAUGAACUCAUGCUGAGAUGGUCUAUAUUCUUUUACUACUAUCUCUUGGGUACGAAGGAAUCACGUAUAAUUGGUAAUGCUACGUACGUAGAAUACUAGUAUGAAGACAAAAACGGUGCCAUGGAGUCAGGGACGACGACUUUCAUGCAAAGCUGACGCCAUAUAUGGUAGCUCCAUCCUCCAUCGCCUCCAAAACGAUAAGGUGUGGCUUCAUUAGCCAGGUCCAUACCUAUCUAUUCACAACGCCGUACAUGACCCAUUGACCAUGGAAAUGAUCCAACCUCAUUAAUUAUUAUGAUGACCUUAAUUAAUUAAUUAAAUCACACCUGAGAGCACUUAACUUGCAUCAGCAAAUCAAUCGUACGUAGCGCGUACAGCAGGCUUAUCCGGAUCUCACAUGGAUUCUUAAUCUUUAUCGACAUGGACACUCAGCUAGUUGCUACUAGAUUGCCUCCUAACUUCCCGGCUAACCACCACGUCGCCGGCGAGCCAAACCCUGCUCGACACUUGCGCAAGCCCGGCCAUGCACCGGUUGACCGCGUUCGGAGGUGCCUGGACACAUUCCAAACGACUAGCUCGUCAGAAGUCAAGUCGGUCUAUCAAAAAAAAAGAGGUCAGGUCAUCAGUCGGCAAAAAAGAGGCCACGUCAGGUCAGACGGCAGAGUACACCUGCAGUGUCUCGCCGUUUCUAUCAAAAAAAACUUUUUUAAUUUGGGUUAUAGUAAUUUCGUUUGUAUUUGAUAAUUAUUGUGUAAUUAUCAACUAAAUAAACUUAAAAGAUUUGUAUUGUAAAUUACAAGUAAAUUAUGCAAUUAAUUAUUUUUUAUCUAUAUUUAAUUUUCAUACAUUUGUCGUAAGAUUUGAUGUGACGAGAAUUUUUUUAAAAAAAAUAAUUUUGAAUGUAACUAAACAAGGACUAAUUUUUAAAAUGUUCUCGUCACAUCAAAUCUUUGGUCAUAUGUAUUGAGCAUUAAAUAUAAAUAAAAAAUAACUAAUUAUAUAGUUUAUUUGUAAUUUAAGAGAUAAAUCUUUUAAAUUUAAUUAAUUCAUAAAUAUUAAUUAUUACAUAUAAAUAAAAGUACUACAAUAACAAAAUUAAAAUUUUUCACGAUCCCGCUGCAUCAGUGUACGAACGAUCAGACGACUGGCAGUGGCUGUGUCGGUUGUACCGCAGGUUUGUACCGACUACUGUACACAUGCAUGUACAGUAGUGAGUAGUCGAACGUGCAUGGCCGGUGCCCUCUGGCUCUGGAUCUCCUGUGCGCAAUAACUGUCAUUGUUCAUGUAAAUGCGUAGAGUGUCCUGUAGUACUCCUCUACCGAGAGUAUAUACAGAAAGUAACUGCCAUGUUAGCGUCUCGAUCGUUAGCGAAAAGGAUUGAAGUCGACACAGAGAGUCUGGGAUGUAGAUGUAUAUAUGUAGACCGGAUAAACAAGGAUACAACAAUACAAGGACAACAACUAACAUGGUGCCUUUGACAAAAUAUGAAUCAGGAUAUGGUUAAAGAUGUAAAAAUAUCUCAAAGUGCUAUAUAUAAAAAUGUAGUGAAAAAGGAGGAAGUUGCAAGUUUUCGUUUCUUCGAAAAUUAAGUUAAUUUCCGCUAUAAGUUGUGCACGCUUGUCGUCAUCUCUCUAGGAAUAUUCGUGUAGAGAAACUGAUUGUGCGAGGCUUAUACAUGCAUGCUGAAUCCGAGUGUGACGACGCGUUUGCUGGAAAUAAACCUGCGAGGCUAAUUAGUUGAGCGCUUUUAAUUUGCAUGAGCAGAUCAAGUCAAGUGUGUAAAAGCACGGGCAUUUUUAAUUUGUCCUAAUCUUUGCAUGGCUCAUUAAUCUUAUCCUUUGAAACUUGCAUGCAUGCAGGUCACAUCGCCGGCGAGCCAAACCCAGCUCGACACUUGCGCAAGUCGCCGGCCAUGUACUGGUCGACGGCGACUGUAGGCACAUCCAACGACCAACUAACGCAGCAAAGCUUUGCGCGUUGCAACAACGACGACUCUUGAGAGAUAUAUAUAGGCCUUGUUUAGUUCUAAAAAAAUUUGAGUUGAGAUUGUAGUAUUUUUAUUUUUAUGUAAUAAAUAUUAUCUAAUUAUAGACUAACUAGACUCAAAAGAUUUAUCUUGUGAUUUAUAGGUAAACUGUAUAAUUAGUUUUUAUUUUUGUUUAUAUUUAAUGUUCUAUGUAUGUGUUUUAAGAUUUGAUGUGACGAGAAAUUUUGAAAAAUUUUUAGCUUUUUGGUUGAAGGCCAUACUCCGGCACGCAGAUGAACCGCGUAUACUCAAGUCAAGUCAGUCGACAGAGAGUACAGGUGCACGCAUGCAGGGCCUGAUCAAUGGACUGUACGGUGCCCGCUCUACAGACACGACGAAGGAUCGUAUAUACCGCAUCGGCAGUGUGGAAGGUAUAGUAACCGUGUGAUCGUAGGUGUCGGUCGUAGGUUUGCACUUUGCACCGACCGUAUAGUCGUAUUCCUGUGCGCAAAAAAAAAAAAGAAGAAGUCUUUUUUCAUGUGCUCCGGAGAGUAUGCACAGGACGAGGCAACCGUCGUGUCAGCAUCAGCGAGAAGCUAGGAUUGAAGUCGACAUAGAGAUAAAUCUUAGAAUGGAGACCGUCUAACAAGAAGUCAAGGAUGACAGGAUAAGUAUAGUAAGCUACUAGGUAGCUUGACACUCAAUGUCAGAUCAUGGCCUACCAUUUACAGAUGAAUGAAUGAUGAGCAUCAUUAUUUUCUUGUUGAAAUAAUCUAGGAGAAUAUGAGCAUAUAUUCUAGAGCAUCUCCAAGACUUUGCCAAAACUCACUUGCUAAAUCUUAUGAUUUGACAAGUUGCUAAAACAUAUAGCAAAUGAAAUUUUAUAGUCUCUCCAAUAGUUUGCCAUAUAAGCUUGUUAAAACUUAAAAAGUAGGCCCACUUCUAAACCUCCGUCAACUAAUUUUGUUCAAGGCUUCACUGGCCGCCCGCGACACUCCUCGCCUUGCCGCGCGCCGCCACACAUCGCCGCUUCCUGCAGCCACCCAAAUCUCAUCCUCCGCUGGCCCCCAACAUCGAUAUCUGAUCCAGCCGCAAUCCUGUUCAUCGAGUCAGCGAGUCCAAGGCAAGCCAGCAAGCCAGCGGAAUCAUUCAAGGCAUAUGAACCAUCAUCGCUAAAUCAAAUCAAGGCAUAUGACCCUACGGGAACCAAAUCAAGGAAUGGAGUUGGACUGAGAUCAGAUCAAGGAUGAUGUACCUCAGGAUCGGGAGGAGGGCGACCACCGUGACUGUGUCUGUUCGAGUCCAGGAGGCACUUCGCGAUGGGAUCUGGAUCCAAUCCUCACGAGGAAGACGCCGGCGCAGCUGGUUCUUCGAGUCGCGACAGGAUAUAUGAAGCAGUACGAGGCCUGGUGGCGCAGCAAAUGCAGGGUGAAAGUUACAUCUGCGCGCGGGAGAGGAGGCGGGGCUGGCGAUUCACGGGAUGGCAAGUCCCCUGCCACUCGCAAAUAUGCGCGUGAACGACCGGUGGAUGGCAAGUUGGAAAAAAUUACCAAGCCAUAUGCCAAACUGUUGGAGUUUGAUUUUUCUAGUUUUGCCAAAAAAACCAAGGAUAGCAAGUGGUUUUGGCAAACUCUUAGAGAUGCUCUAAGUGUGUGUACAAACCUAAGUAGACAAGUUCCACCACAAUAAUCUUUCAAGCCUGCUGAUCUAUACCUCAGCUAGAAGUUUUUUUCCAAGGUGGUUUUAUAUAUUUUUUAAGUUUAAAAAUCUGGUCAAUACCUAAUGAGGAUCUUAUAAACCAUGAAAUAUUUAAAGAUCAUUAAAAUAUCUCUAAAAGCUUCCAACUAUGUUUAGCUCAAUCAAAAUAAGAAAAAUAUCUAGAAAAUCCAUAAAACAAUUUAGUUAAUGUCUAAACAUGUUUCAGAAACUUUCCACGAUAAAAUAUAAGAUGCAACAUGUAUGCAUUCAAAAUUAAAAUUAUGUUGAAUUCACAAUAUGUUGUGUUCUGAUUAGUUGAAUAUCAUUUAAUUAUUCAUAAAUAUUUUUUUAAAAAAUAAUUAGAGAUAUUUUCAUAGGCUCCAAAUAUUUUACUUGGGUUUUUUCAUGUCCCAUUAUAUCUUUUUCUUAGAACUUUUAGACGCUUAGAGAUAUUUUUUCAUGGUUUAAAAAUCUUAUUAGGCAUUUACCAUAUUUUUGACAAAAAUGAUGAGACCACCUUAAACAACAUUUUUAAACCCAUGUAGAGAAGUAAUUUAAACAAUUUUAAUAGUUGGAGGAUGUACUUCCUUCGUUCCAAAGUGUAAGAUAGAUAUAGUGUAUGACUAAGUGCAUAGUAAAAUCUAGAAUGGAGAAAAUAACAUGUUUAAUUUUAAAAUUUAAAAUAUAAAAAUUAAAAUCACAAUACUAAUUCUGGAGUAGAAUAGACACUUUUUUCCAUCCGGUCUAGCAAAAUGGGCCAAAAGUGGCCGGAUCCACUACCUGCGUGCAGACGGGCUGGUCUAUGCAAAUACAACUCCGUCAUGCUGGUCCAACCCAUCGAAUUUUUUCUAGCCUUGUUUUCUUAAGUCUAGCCCAACGACGGGGUUGGUCCAUCCGUCAGAAUAUGACACACCAUCAUCGCCGUCGCCUGACGCCGCCGCUGACACCAGCCUCUCCGAGUGAGCUCUUCCAAUCAUAUUAGUUGUAUUAAUUGCCCCACUAUUUUACUACUGGUAUUAGGUUCGUGGACUUUAGAUCCAGAAUUCAUUUUUUUCCUUUGGUAAGAAACCCUAACUUGCUUGUUCCCCGAUGAGCAAUCACAUCCCAUUUCCACUCCUCCAUCGGUGGCGUGACACUAAGGCCUUGUUUAGAUGUAAAAAGUUUUUGGAUUUUGGCACUAUAGUAUUUUCAUUUUUAUUUGACAAACAUUGUCUAAUUAUAGAGUAACUAGGCUUAAAAGAUUUGUCUCGUGAUUUACAGGUAAACUGUGCAAUUAGUUAUUUAUCUAUAUUUAAUACUUCAUGCAUGUGCCGCAAGAUUCGAUGUGACGGGAAAUCUUGUAAAGUUUUGAGUUUUUGGGUGUAUCUAAACCAAGGCCUAAUCCAAUCGAGCAUCCUUUUUUCUAUGGGUUCAGUGACGGCAGGUGCUCCAUCUCAUGUCUCGAACUCUGAAUUGGCCCUAGAGGACUUGGUUUCCGUGUUGAAGUCGUCCAAAUCACUCAAAAAAAAUUAGGAGUUUAAGACAACUAGUGGCAGAGCCAAAAAUUUUAUAAAGCCUAUACGUAAUAUCAUAUUAAACAAGAUUAUAAGAGGGGUUAAGUGCUAAGUGAGAAGUGACUUAGUGACUAAGUUUAAGCAUGCUUAAGCGUUCCUAAUCUCUUAAGAGUUUUGCGAUGUAGUAGACAUUACAAUUUUGAUCUUAAACCAAAUAAAUAGAGAAAAGAGUGGAGAGCAAUUGAGAAAGAACAAAUGAAUAUAUGAGCAUGCUUAAGGAUUUCUAAUCCAUUAACAGUUUUGUGAUGUAGUAGACAUUACAAUUUUGAUCUUAAACCGAAUAAAUAAAGAAGAGACUAGAGAGCAAUUGAGAAAGAGAAAAUGAAUACAUAAGUCCUUAUCUAUCUCCUUUAUUUUUUUAUCGGAAAGGUGUGAGGGAAAAUUUUCAUAAUUUUUUCUAAUAGGGUUUGUAUUUUAAAAAAUAUUUUAAAGAAAUCACUAUGUCACAAUGUUAUAUGACUGGACCCUGAAGAUACUAGUAUGAUCCGUAACAUAUAUUAUUUUGAAUAUAUAGAUAUUGACUAUAGAGGUGCUAAUUUGUCAAAAGAUGUUAGAAAGAACAAAAAAUGGAAGUUGCUAAAAAAAGAAAUGAAAAAGAAAAGAGAAAAAAAUUGGUGGGCUUUUAUUUAGUGCACCGCCGUCCGCCGGCUCCUCGCAGACGCUUCUUCCUCGCAGCGCCGCUCAGGCUCGGUCCCUCAGCGCAGAUCUUCUCCUUCCCCAACUCGCGCUCAGGCUCGAUCCCAGGGGUCGGAUCCUCCGCGCGUCGGCGGCGUCCAACGACGGAGGGACAGUCCCAGGCUCGGUGGCGGCGUCGGCGGCUCCCCCUCCCGCCUCUCGCCAGUCGCCUCGCGCCCUCGCCUCCGUCAUCCGCGCACCGGCCGGCGACCCUGCGUACGCACCUCCCUCUCCCCUCCCGCCUCUGCUGUACCGUGGGAGCCCGGCCAGCUGCCCAGGGUGGCCGGGCCUUGGCUCCGCCGGUGAAGACACCCCCGAUGCCAUCAGCAUCUGGGGAGAAGGAUCCACAAGUUACUCCGAGUCCUGCGACGGGGCCUCCUCUGCUGCAGACUCUCAUGCCUGUUAAUGCCACAGGAAGUCCUGCCAUAGACCCGAGGCUGGCGCAGCAGUCUUGGCCCGGUCAUGUAGUACUCCUGCGCCCUUGUGCACCUUGGCCUCCUCAUGUGCCAGUCCCGCUGCUGCUUCCGCAGCAAAAUGUGGUUCGCUCUCUGACGUCGCCGAUUUCAACUCCUUUCUGUCAGUGAGGAACAAUGCCUUGUUGCAGUCUGUCCUUAUGCUGUUUCUUGAUGGGCAGGAUGCUAUGGCGGAUGUGGCUGCAGCAGAUGUUAACCCUGCGAUCGAUAGCUGUGACGAGAAGAUGUUGCCCAAGGUGAAUAUGCUGUUCGAUGGAGAGAGUGAUGCGUAUGAGUUCUACAAUGCAUAUGCGGAAAAGGUGGGCUUCUUUGUCCGAAGGUCAACGCUUUGGACGACAUCAAAGAACAUAAUCACUAGGAGAACCUUUGUGUGCUCGAGAGAGGGUUUCCGGGAGAAGAAGAAGGGAGCAAAGGAAGCCAAGUGUCCGCGUCCUGAAACACGAAUUGGAUGCCCAGCAAGCUUGACCAUUAGACUCACUGCUAAUGGCAAGUACCGUUUGACAGAGUUUGUGCCGAAUCACAACCAUCAGCUGGCAACGGCAUCUACAGUUCACAUGCUGAAAGCAAAGGAAAUCAGGCGCAAAGCACGGGCUGCGAGAGAAAAUCUGGCAGAUGAUACUGUGAGUACACCAGAAUUUGAGAAUGAAGAUGAGGCAUAUGAAUUUUACAGCAUGUAUGCGGGGAAAAUUGGGUUCAGCGUGCGUAGGGCUAGCAUGACGGUGAAUACCGAGAAUGUUAUAACCAGAAGAAUGUUUGUUUGUUCAAAAGAAGGGUUCCGUGAGAAGAAAAGAGGAGCGAAAAGAGUAAAGAACCCUCGACCAGAAACGCGGACUGGCUGUCCGGCAUGUAUGGUCAUCAGGCUUGGAACUAACGGCAAAUAUCAAGUCACAGAAUUUGUUACCUGCCACAAUCACCAGCUUGGGGCUGCAGCAGCUUCUGAUCUUGUCAUGGCAUCUGGGAGUACAGAAAAUGAUCAAGAUGAUGGAGUUGAUCAGGCAGAUAGAUCACCCGAUAAUUCUGUUCACACGCAAAAUCUGAUUAAUGGAAGUGCCACUCUAAAUUCCCUAGAACGUAGAAGUUGCAAAAGAUACAAGUGUACAAAGACUCCACACUCAGGUGAUGUUGGUGCUACACUAGAGUACCUGCAAAAGGCGCAACAUGAUAACCCUUCAUUCUUCUAUGCUGUAAAAUCUGAUGAGGAUGGGAACUUCACGAAUUUUUUCUGGGCAGAUUCAAAAUCUAUUGUGGACUUUUUUCAUUUCGGUGACGUAGUAUGUUUUGAUUCAGGAUAUGCAUUGCAAGGCUAUGAUAGGCCAUUUGCUUUGUUUACGGGUGUGAAUCAUCAUAAGCAGACAGUAAUCUUUGGUGCUGCAAUUAUCUAUGAUGAAAGUAAAGAAGCUUUCAAAUGGUUAUUAGAUACUUUCAAGAUGGCAAUGAAUGGAACACAUCCCAAGACAUUGUUAACUGAUAGAUCUGUUGCCUUAAGUGAAGCUGUUGCGGCCACGUUGCCUGCUACGGCCCAUCGUUAUUGUGUGUGGCAAAUUUACCAAAAUGCUCUGCAGCAGCUGAGUCAAGCUUUCCAUGGUUCAAAAACUCUAGAAUGCAACUUCAAGAGAUGCCUAUUUGAUUGUGAGGAUGAAGAUGAGUUUGUGACAGCAUGGAAGGAAAUGUUGGAAAAGUAUGACCUAGAAGAUAAUCAAUGGCUAGCAGAUUUGUUCUCAAUAAAGGAGAAAUGGGCACUGGCAUAUGGCCGCGAUGCAUUUUAUGCUGAUAUGAAAAGCGUCCAGCAAAAGGAAAGUUUGACAAGUGAGCUGAAGGAACAUCUAUCCUUGGAAUGUGACCUUUUGAACUUCUUUGAGCAGUUUGAAAGACUGUUGUGUGAUCGUCGAUCUGCAGAGCUGGAGGCUGAUGUGAAUGCUAAUCAGAGUACGAAGAAGCCACCUUCUAUGCGAAUGUUAAGGCAAGCUGCCACUGUAUAUACACCUUCUGCCUUUAAAAUGUUUGAGAGGGAAUUUGAAUUAUACAUGGAUUGCAUGCUCUACAUCUGUGGUGAGAUGGGCACAAUUUUCGAGUAUAGAAUAAGUGUCGAGGACAAACCAAGAGAUCACUUUGUUAAAUUUGAUUCAGUCAAUUCCAUGAUGAAUUGUACUUGUAAGACGUUUCAAUUUAUUGGCAUCCCAUGUCGCCAUAUGCUGAAGGUACUUGACACGAGGAAUAUCAAGGACCUUCCUAUUCAGUACAUCGUGAAAAGGUGGAGGAAGGAUGCCAAAUCAGGAUCCUCAAAUGGCGGUUGUGCUUUCUCAUUUGAUGGUGAUCCUGAUUCUGCUCACAUAAAACGUUAUAAUUUUCUGUGUCGGAUGUUCAGUAUAGCAGCUGCUAGGGCUGCAACUUCUGCUGAAUCAUUUGCAUAUAUGGAAAACCACUCAAACAUACUGAUGGAUCAAAUAGAGCAAGUUAUUCAAACCAGGCCCCCUGGCAUAGCUGACCUUAUUGGUGCUAAUUGUGACCGAACUCAAAAUUCAGUUGACAAUAUUGUUUCUGAAGGCAUUCACAGUCAUACUAAUUUUCUUAAUGGCUCCACUGAUGGUAUGUGUUGAAGUAUUGAUUUUCUUUCCAUUUUAAAUACUUCUUGUUGCCACCCAAUAAGCGCAUUUUGUGCAUUGCAGGCUCUCUAACAUUUCCGUUCACAUUGGGUGCUGGCACAUUGGAUUACCGCUGACUGGCACCUACUGUUUGGAUGGUACUGCACUACAGAACAAAGUUAUUUCUGUCUCGCCACGCACAACAUGAUUUGUCAUUUUAAUGUUUCGCAAUGAAAGCAUGCUUGUAUGGCUGCAUCAUUUACUCGUUACUCUAUUACUUGACCUUCUGCCAGAAGAUAUUGUUUUCUUCAUUUUCUGACCAAGUCUUUUUAGGCAGGCAAAAUGACAUAAUGGAUGUUCUACUAAUCUGUUGGUGACUUCACAUUAACUGCAGAGCUGCAAAUACACUGGCACGCCUAUUUCACAGGUCUUUGGCAGGUAGACUUUUACAAUUGCUGGAGAUCCAUUUAGUUGUCCUUAGGAAGUAAUCUCAGAGAUAUAACACAACAAAAGCUUACCUCCCUGCGAAACUACGCAACAUUGCAGGCCUGAUAUUGUUUCUACCAUAGCUUUUCACCAAAAGAAAGAGUCAUUUUUCCCUCCGCCAGCACAACUGUAUAUACUUGCUGGGAAAGGAUCUUUCAUGAGGUCACAUCACAUCACCUGGUUUUCCAGCCUGGUGAUUGUGCACAGGAUGUUCCUGGUAAUUUGAGGGACUACGCGUGUUGCCAGUUUAACAAGGUGAUGCUGCCGAGCUUAACCAAAGCGAGCUGCUGUGUUUUUAACGCGUGCUGUACUGUGCAUGCUGGUUCAGUAGCCUUGUCAUCCCAGCUCUGUAAUAUACAGAUUUUGUACGUGAGAGGCACAUGAAUUCGGGAAAUGAGAAUGAGGACGUGAGGGUGUUUGGACAUAAGAACUAAAGUUCAAGAUGUGUCACGUACUCACGUCGGAUGUUACGGGGUGUUGUAUAGAGUAUUUGGAUUCUAAUAAAAAAAUUGCAGAUUCUAUUAGUAAUCCGCGAGACAAAUUUAUUAAAUUUAAUUAAUUUAUCGUUAGCACAUAUUUUUACUAUAACAAUUAUAGAUUAAGUUGUCAGUAGGCUUAAAAAUUCGUGUCACAAAUUAGUCUCAAUCUAUGUAUUAGUUUCAUAAUUAGUCUAUUUAAUAUUUAAUACUCUAUACAUGUGUGGAGACAUUCAAUAAAACAUCAACUAUACCCUUUUUUUAGAAAAAAAUGUUUAUGAAACACCGACAUAAUUUGUUCCAAAUCCACUAGAAUCUUGUGGAAUAAUCGAAUACGCCAUUUCUGUGGGGUACCUGUUGAAGAAUCGUUUCAACAAAACAUUUAGGCAAAAAAUAAAAAAAAUGAACUCUGUAUUUUUUCCAAGAGAUGCCUGAUAAAAAUUGUUUUAAUAGUGGCAAGUAUAUAUGAAAUGUUGGAAGAGUACGCUUAAUUCAAUGCCAUGAAGAGGUCGCCUGAGUCUCAACAAUACACAAAUGUGGAAACAAAUAAAAAUCCAAUCGUCGUUGUACAGUACAAUACAAAACAAUCUGUAACCAGUAUCGGCAACGCAGCUAAGUCACGACCAAGAUAAUGAAAAGGCUGCAUUAGACUUGUAUAACUGACAAGGUGUAGUCCUCGAGUAAAAGCCGUUGACAUAACCGGCAAGGAAUCCUUCACUUGUAGAAACAACAUGAGCUAUUUUGCGGCAUAUUUCCACUCUUAUUGUCCGACAGCUACAAGGUCAUGUAAUAACUAUUAUAUAUAUCCACCAUAAGAAAAGCUGCCUCAAAAUAAGCAUGCAAGCCCCAUUGUGCUCCCUAAAUCAAUAUGCCUCGUCCAACAUGACCCGGUGGUCUGUUUGGUUUCCAAGCUCAUUAGGCACUCAUCGUUUGGUGAAAAAUCCUUGAGUUAACGAGGAAAAAUCGUAAUCUUUGCCAGAUUGUGAGGGGAGAUUAGAAGAUGCAGUUGAUGCAGUGCCGUUGUUGCUAGCACCUGCUGCCGUGGCCCCAUUUGCUGGGACAGCUGAACUAGUGUUGUACACCCUGCAAUCAACAAGACAUGUCAGCAAAAUGGACAUAUGAUCAACUACUGAGUUCAAUACACAUCUAAAUUUUGUUUACAAAUCCAAUUUGGUGCAGCAUGAAAUUCCAACGACCGCAUUCUGCAACUAGCAGACAGUAUAGCUUACCCAGGUGUGCCAAAACCAAAGGUACCAGAAGAAAAGUCCUGAUUGUUGUUCGCAACCUGUCAAACAGUAAAACAAAGAAAUAUAUAACACGUGGUAAAAUAUUAUUCAGAUAUUAUUGUGCCAAAAAAAUACAUAUAACGUAUUCAAGUCUCUUUACCUUGGUGGCACCAUUCUGUGCUGCUGCUGGAGUCAACCCAGGAUUUUGAUAACCAAGAUUUGUCCAGUUUUGGAAAGGCAAGGUUCCAAGAGGGGGAUUAGAACCAUUAGCAUUUAGCUGAUUGGCAUUCCCUGGAAUCAUUUGUGGUGCAUUUCCAGCUUUAAGAGCAGCCAUUAGAAGAGCUUGCUGCUGAGACAUAAACGCCAGCUGCUGUUGAUGGGCAGCGAAAGGCGAUACCAUAUUGGACUGCAAAACAUAGCUAUUUCUUAGAUAGGCCAUAGAUGUGCCCUUUCUAUUAUGUAGAGCCAUUUUUCAAGAACAAUGUUCUAAAAGGAAUGUUGGUGCUCACCUUCUCAAACAAACUCAUGAUAUCAUUCUUCGCAUUUACUUGGGAAACAGCUGGAGCUGAGGAUAUUGACAGAGCUGGUGAGUCUUUAAAUAGGUCUUCUAUUCCGGAUGUUGACUGGGUCUUGCUUUCUGCCGGUUUGGCAGAAUCUUUUUUCUCUGAGCUAGGUACUGGUUGUGCAGCUGAACAAUUUUGAAUAUUCCACAGUAAAAAAAAGUGACAUGGAAAUCCAUAAAUAUUGUACUAAGAUCCAAGAAAGUGAGAGAGACACAAUAAAGUGCCCACGUAAAUAGAAUAACUCAUCAAUCAAAUAGUCACAUCACAAGAACUCACACUGGAAUCCAUCCCAGGCAUUAUCAUCAUUUGAAGAUGACUCUGACUCUUUCUCUGUUGUUCCAUCCAUUGAUAACAUGUUAAAGAGAUCGGUAGCAUAAUCGACUUUAGGAGGCGGCGCAACUGAUGGCUUCUCAACUUUAGGGGGUGUUGCCUCAACUUUGGCAGGAGAUUUCUGUGGCUGAGGAGGUGAAACCACCUUAGGAACUGGUGGUUCUACCUUUGGGGGCUGAGGUGAUGCCUGCUUCCCAUGCAAUCAUGACAGAUUAGAAGGGGUUACAUUGAUGUGUUAAAGUGAUUCAUAAUUAAGAAUUCUGUAAUGUGGAUUACUCAGUCUGACUUAAAAGAACAAGAGCUAAAAUUUCAAAAGAACUAUGCCUGAAGACACAUCCGCCACACAUUGACAGAUUGAUUGUUGCUUAGGAAAGUUUUGGUGGUGAAGGAUUACCUGAGAGGGUAUCCUUGAAGCUACAGGUGCAACUUUGCUCGGAAGAGCUGUAACACGGUUUUGCUCAAAUGAAGAUCUAUGACCAUGUCCACUCCUAUUAGCACUAGCCAGAGACUCUUGGCUCUUCUCAUCUCGAACACCGGAGGUAGGUCGUGAUGUUCCAUUCCUCGGUACCCAUCUCUUGUCCUCAUAUCUACAUUUCAGACACAGUAUAUGUCACGUGUAAGGAGGAUAAGAAUAAAGAAUGAUAUAUUCAAGUUCAAGGUACUGAAAGAUCUGGAAAGAAACAUACUUUGCACGGAUGAAAUUCUCUAUCCCAACCCUAUCAUAGUUAGGAGGCAGCUCUGCUUCCCAAUAGCUAUUUGCUUUUUCGUUUCCCAUUGCUGCAAGAAGAUGAAUACAAUCAUCAUGAAAAAUGCCAUCAUGGUUUUAUACAACUAAAAAUAUCCUUCAAGUUUCACACCAGAUAGUAAUUCAUACAUUGAAUAAAUGCAACUUGCUCUGGCAGCCAUGUAUCCAGGGUUGCAGAUCUUACCUGUGUAAGAAAAUGCUUUAGUAAAAGAGCAAAAGUGGGAGAUUAUUUGGUAACAUGGUAUGUAUAAUAACCAAUACAAAUGAAAGAAAGCAAAAACAUGUUUUGUUAAGGCAUCAAAAGGACUGUUGUCUUCUAUCUGGCUUUCACAAGCAAUUUGUUAUCCAAAAAAUCAAACAAACUCAAAUGCAAUAAGCAAUGAUAGAAGCAAUGUAACCAACAAAAACAAACAUAAGCACAACUAAAUGCUAAGGUUCUUGCAUGAUAAGUAUAGUUAAGCAUUUAAGCUAAUUACCAAUAUCGGA
This 112497-nucleotide long non-coding RNA is filed under the name Sorghum bicolor (sorghum). RNAcentral describes it as "long non-coding RNA (SBIC_LNC003825)". The stretch from base 12583 to 12691 matches the Rfam family "MIR5565 microRNA precursor family". The record is from RNAcentral. Lineage: Eukaryota; Viridiplantae; Streptophyta; Magnoliopsida; Poales; Poaceae.